RNAcentral lists this long non-coding RNA (111259 nucleotides) under Coffea arabica (coffee). RNAcentral's name for it is "long non-coding RNA (CARA_LNC003795)". The record is from RNAcentral. Lineage: Eukaryota; Viridiplantae; Streptophyta; Magnoliopsida; Gentianales; Rubiaceae.
ACUUGCUUCAUUCUACAAUCCAGGCAAUGAUGCAGUUAUUUAUCCAGCACCAGCACUACUGGAAAAAGAAGCAGAAGAAAGAAAAGAAGUCUACCCAAAAUUUGUUUUUGAUGACUACAUGAAACUGUAUGCUGGACUUAAAUUCCAGGCCAAAGAGCCAAGAUUUGAACUCAUGAAGAACGUGGAAGCCAAUGUUACCAUGGGUCCAAUUGCAACUGCCUAGACUCAUAGGAAUAAAACGGUGCUAGGAUGUUUUCUUCUCCCUCUUAUGUUUUCUACUUAUUAUUAUUAUUUUUUUUAUUGUGGGGGUUGUUGGUUAUUCCCAGUCAUUUGUUGCUCCAGAGAGGAGGGUCCUUUAUACAUAUGAGGGACCAAAAUUUAUUAUGUAGUAAGAAUUCUAAGACAAAGAAAUAAAAUAAGCUAUACAUUUCUCCAAAAUCAUUUGUGUCUACUGUUGCAAAGCUAUAUGGUUGAUUGACCUAAUAUUUGGUUUAAUUGCCUUUAAAAGUCCUUAAAAUUUUCUCAAUUAUUAGACACUCAACAUUUUACUUUAAUUUAUGAAUGCCGGAUCAAUUUAGUCCUCAAAUUUCUAACAAAUUUGACAAAUCAAAUAUCUGGUACUUCGAACAAAAAUACAAUUAUGUUUGGAACUAUGAAUUACAAUUAUCAAACUUAAGAGAGAAAACUUACAAGGAGCAGCCGAUAUCAAUAUGCAAGAAAAGCUAAGUUUGUCACACAUAACUACUUAUUUAAUAGUUGUAAGAUAAUUAAUGAUUAACAUAUUAUACAUGUUAAAGCAUUUAACAGUAAUGCAUUAGUAACAUGGCCGAGAACUUAAAAUUGGCAAUAUCCUUCAAAAGCCCACUUUUUGGUGCCAAAUCAGGAAUAACAUAAACAAGUCAUCUAUAGCCAAGACAAGCCAACGAUUUGUUGGCUACUAGGGUUAAAUGAAAAGAAAAAAAAUUCAUUCAACAUUCACCACAUUUGCACUUUGCCCCCUUCAACUUAACAAACAGGCAGUUUGCCUCUCUAGUAAAUCUGGUUAGUGAUUUUAAUGGACAAAACUCAAUAGUCAAAAGCAAGCCAGGUUAUCCUCAAGCUGACAGAAAUAUGGUUGAUUACUAAUGGUAAAAGGUUUUUAGAGUUAAAUAUAUUUUGUAGAAUCAUUUAAGAACCAAAUAAUAAUUUGGAUGUAGUUUAGAGGAAAAAUCAAGGUUGAUUGGCAAGAUAAAACAGUACUUGUAAGUUCAAGAAUUCUCUAUUCUCUUUUUCUUUCUUUUUUUUUGGCGAGUUUUUUCUCAAAACAUGUGUCACUAUUAUCUGUCAUCUUUCAUAUAUCACAAGAACAAGCAGACACACACACACACACACACACUUGUAAUUUAUACCUUUCUAGUCUUUUACUUCUCAUAAGGAGCUGAAUUUUGUAUGCUUCUUUCUGUCGAUGGAGACACAAGUUUUCCUCUAGUAAGUAUGAGGAUUAAAUAACCAACUACUCUAGCCACUAGAGAUAGUUAUAAAACUCUUCUUGAAUGUAGGUCAAGGGAUUAUGGUCUAUAUUUUAAAAAAUUUAGAAUUAUUUGAAAAAAUUUCAUUAGUUGGUACUUAGGUACCUAUUUCGAUUGGUGGUGAUUCAGUUUCUGGCUAAAAAAAAUAAAAGUAUGAGGAUUAAAUAUUGGAUUUUUAUGAUAUAAAUUGCGUGUAUAGGUACACGAUAAUUGUCAUUUAUUUUAUAAUUAAUUCCCUCCUAUUAUCUUACCAACUGUGCAUUAGUUAGUGGAUUCUACUCACUUUUAAAAAUUUGUAUUUAUUGCAUGGAAUAGAACAAAAUACCAUAAAAAGGUACUAAUUUGACGGUAGUUAACAGAAGAGUUUGAACAGUAAAAGGGAACAAGAGUCCAAACGGAAAUUGUUUCCCUUAUCCAGUGGUCAACUGCGGCAAACUAGGAGAAAAUUUUGGGGAACUUCCCUUUUUCUGUUUUUAGUAAUUUCCAAAGAGGACGGAGGUCAGGCUCAACUAGGAGUCUUCCCUUCUAUUCCUCUUGGUAGUCGGAUAGGCAGUAGGAAAAAAAUUUGAGAGGAAAAGGGGCACAGUCAAUCUUAACUCCUUUUUGCUCUUGACUUUUCAUCUUGUUGUGGCUAUUGAUUCCAUCGUAUGUCAGAACAAAGGGAGAAACAAUUGGUCAUUCUUUUGACUUAGCAUAUCUUUUGCUUAUUCUUAAUUGAAUCUAUUUUCUUCAUCGCAUUGAGGAACGAUGUAUGCUACAAUUGUUUCCACGAUUUCGCAUGAGAUUGUUCCAACAGAGAUGAACUAAAUCUCUUUUUCUAGUCAAGGGGCAACGGAUGCUUUGGUUUAUCUAAAAAUUGUGAGAUUGAAUUAAUUUUAUUUAUUUAUCUUAUUUACUGGUCUUUGCAUAUUUUCUGAUUGUAGUGCUUAUGGUUGUUUUAUUAAUUGAAUAUCACGGGCCCGGACAUUGAAUUAAUUUAGCAAUCUAAUGUCAAUUAGUGUAUUGAAUCCGUAAUUGUUCAAUUGCUCUAAAAUAGUGAUAACUGGUAUGAUUGGGUUUGUGUCAGGAGAAUAUACAGACUAAUCUAAAAUAACCUUGGUAGUGUGUUAUUUGGUUAGAAUAGGGCUCCUCUAAUACGUAAGGCAAUUGGAGAAUUAAAUCUUACAGGCGUACCUAGAAUUAAUUCUCGAUUAGAGUAGUAAUUGACGGGCGUAUCUCAGUCGUCGAUACAGUAAGGAAGAGUUGACUGUCAUCGCUUGUUUGGCAGCUAUAACUUAUUUAUUAGUUAAUAAUUGGAAUUAUCUCUGCAUCGAUGAUCAAUUAAUUUAACCAUUACUGAAGUUAUUUCUUGGCUAGAGUUUAGUCAUUAUUAAUUCGAGUUUUAAUAGUUUGUUAUUUAAAUUUUAGUUGGCUAUUUACUUUUAGUCAAACAAUUUAAUUAUUACCAUUGCUAUAAAAAAAAAACCCCAUCGUUAGUUUGAAUUUUAAAAGAGACAAAUAUCCCAGUCCCUGUAGAUUCGACUCUACGUAUCACUAUCUGCAUAAAUUAUAUUUUGUUUGAGUAGGCAUUUAUUAUUGUACGGGCUCGAUAACCUGUCAAUUUUUUGCGCCGUUGUCGGGGGCUAGCGUUAGUUAAUUUGUUUCUUUUAAGUUCAUUUUCGUUUUAAUUUUCUAACAUUUUUCUAGUUUAUGUCUUGGGCUUCUCAUACAGGCAAAUUGAUUUUUUAUCCUGAGCUAGAGAAGACUGCUCGUCGAACGCGAAAAGAGACCAAAUAGCUCAGAAAAGAGCAAUCUAAUGCUGCAUCUCAAAGACCCGAUCCAUAAGUUGAAUGAACAAGUUCGCUUGACGAUACUCCGAAUGACCCCAAUCGAGAAGAAAUCACUAUAGCUAAUACACAGAUAUUAAGGGAGUUGGCUGCUCCUAAUUUAAAUCAAUAACCCUUAUGCAUUACUUUUUCGAAUUUAAAUGAUAACAUCUUGUUUGAAUUAAAAUCUGGGCUAAUUCAUCUUUUACCAUCUUUUCAUAAUUUACCAGGUAAGAAGCCUUAUAAACACUUGCAAGAGUUCGACAUUAUUUGCAAUAGUAUGAAACCCCCGAAAAUUAUGGAAGAACAGAUAAAAAUGAGAGCAUUCUCCUUCUCACUUAAGGACUUAGCAAAGGACUGACUGUACUACUUACCUCUAGACAGUAUCACCAUGUGAGAGCAGCUGAAGAAAAAAUUUUAGAAAAAAUAUUUUCCUGCAUCUUGGGCUGCAAGUCUGAGAAAGGAGAUAUGCGGUAUCAAGCAAUAUUCACGAGAGUCGCUCUAUGAUUAUUUGGAGAAAUUCAAAAAGUUAUACAUCAAAUGCUCUCAACACCAAAUAAGCAAGAAAUUACUUAUCCAAUAUUUUUACGAGAGACUACUUUUCAGAUACAGGAGUAUUAUUGAUGCUGUAAGUGGAAAGGCGUUGGUGAACAAAACUUCUCGAGAAGCGUGAGAGUUGAUUGAAGGGAUAUCCGAAAACUCGCAGCAAUUUGAUAUAAGAGAAGAUAUUCCGAUAUACAGAGUGAAUGAGAUAGAAACAUCCUCUAUCCAAUAGCAGUUAUCCGAAUUAACAUCUUUUAUUAGGCAAUUGACCGUAAGAAAUCUUCCACAAGCCAAGGUGUGUGGGAAUUGCACUGCUAUAGGUCACUAUACAGAGAUGUGCCUAAUGAUUCAAGAAGAAAGUGCCGAGUAAGUAAACAUGGUUGGUUACGUGCCCGCGCCGAAAAAGCCAUAUCACCCGUACUCGAACACAUACAAUUCGGGUUGAAAAGAUCACCCUAACUUUAGUUAUAGAGGAAAUAGGCAAUCAAAUUUUGCAUUAAAUAAACAGCAAGAGUAUCAACAGUAGUAUCAACCUCACCUGCCAUCACCUCCGCUAAGCUCAAACCCAUCUGUAGAAGAAAUGAUGAAGCAGUUAAUUUUUAGUCAACAAAAGACGGAUUCUGACCUAUAAAAUAUAAGGAAUCAAAUGAAACAUAUACAAGCAAUGCAGAGUCAGAUGAGUCAGAUGGCAUUAGCAAUCGACCGCCUGGAAUCCUAAGUUCACGAAAAAUUGCUGUCUCAACCUAAACUUAACCUAAAAAAUGUAAGUGCAAUGACCUUAAAGAGCGGGAAGAAAAUUCAGGGAUCCGAACUCGUGACUCCAAAAGACAAGAAUGAAGAAAAAAUCGAGAAAAAGCUUAAGGAGGAGGACAGAAACAGCAAAAAUUCAGUGGUACUCCCUGACCCAAUCAUUGAGGUUAAAACUAAUCCCCCUCAUUUUUCUAGUAGGUUGGAGAAAUCGAAAAUGCAAAACAAGGAGAAAGAGAUCUUGGAGGUAAUUCGCAAGGUAGAGAUCAACAUUCCCUUGCUAGAUGCAAUCAAAUACGUGUCAAAGUACGCAAAAUUUUGAAAAGAUUUGUGCAUCAACUGAAGAAAGCUGAUGGGAGAUGUAAGAAUUAUUGUGAGAGAGAACGUGUCAGCAGUUCUAUAGAGGAAACUCCCACCAAAAUGUGAGAUCUAGAUAUGUUUUCUAUCCCCUGUAGGAUAGGUAAUACUUUGCUAAAAAUGUCAUGUUGAAUUUAGGAGUAUCAAUCAAUGUAAUGUCUAAAUCUAUCUAUGCUUUCUUGAACAUAAGUCCGUUAAAAGAAAUUAGGAUAAUAAUUUAAUUAGCUGAUCGAACGAAUACAUAUCCUGAUAGGUUGGUCGAAAAUAUGUUGGUUAAAAUUAAUGAAUUGGUAUUCACAACUGAUUUUUAUGUAUUUGACAUGGAUGAUGAUCAUUUCCUUGAUCCCUCGCCUUUGCUACUAGACAGACCCUUUUGUAGCACAAUCCAGACUAAAAUUGAUGUUAAUAAGGGUACCUUGUCCAUGAAAUUUGAUGAAAAAAUUAUUCAUUUCAAUAUCUUUGAAACCAUGAAAUACCCAUCGAAUUCUAAUUUUAGGUCCAUUUUUUCUGUGAGUGCUAUUGACCCUGCAGUGCAGGAAGUAUUUGAAAUUAUUGACAGGAAUAAGUUGAAAGUUGUUUUAACCAAACACCUUGAGUUGGACACAAUUUAUGAGGUAGAAUUGAGUAAAGAGCUGAAAUAUACGAUUGGAGCUUUGCAAUCGCUGUCGAUCACUAUGACAAGGUAUGAGGUCGCACCUAUCUUCGUGCCCGAAUCUCACCAAAGAGUAUUACCAUCUGUGGUGUAGGCACCUAUAAUAGAAUUGAAAUCUCUGUCUAAACAUUUGAAAUUUAAUUAUCUUGGCAGGACUAUCAGAAACACAAGAGAACAAGUUAAUCCGAGUUCUUAGAAAGUAUAAACAAGCGAUAGGAUGGACCAUCUCCGACAUUAAGGAAAUUAGCCCCUCCGUGUAUAUACACCAAAUAAGGUUCAAAAAAUAUACCAAACUGGUACGGCAAGUUCAAAGGAGGCUCAAUCCCCUUAUGAUAGAAGUGGUGAAAAAAAAAUACUAAAACUGCUAGAUGUAGGGAUUAUUUACGCAAUAUUAGACAGUCCAUGGGUGAGCCCAGUACAGGUACUUCCAAAGAAAGUAAGAGUGAUAGUGGAGGUCAACUAGAAGGGUGAGGUCAUGCAAGUGUGCAAACCCACCCGAUGGCAGUAGUAUAUCGAUUAUCGAAAAUUAAACGCUGUCACAAAAAAGGAUCAUUUUUUCUUUCCUUUUAUUGAUCAAAUGAUUAAGCGAUUAGCUUGUCGACCUUACUAUUAUUUUUUAGAUGAAUUUUCAGGAUAUUUUCAAAUUGCAAUCAUAUCGGAAGAUCAAGAGAAGACCACCUUCACGUACCUGUUUGAAACUCACAUACUGGCGAAUGCCUUUCGGAUUAUGCAAUGCAUCUACGACAUUUCAAAGAUGUAUCUUGAGCAUUUUUUUAAAAUAUGUUGAGAAAAUUAUUGAGAUUUUCAUGGACGACUUUAGUGUAUAUGGUGAUAAUUUCGAUAAUUGUUUAGAUAACUUGAAAUUGAUCUUGUUGAGAUAUAUAGAAACUAAUCUCGUGCUUAACUGAAAAAAAUGUCACUUUAUGGUUGAACAUGGGAUAGUUUUAGGUCAUGUAGUGUCCUCUAAGGGUAUUGAGAUUAAUCAGGAUAAAAUAGACAUUAUAUCUACUUUAUCUUAUUCCACGAGUAUGCAGGAAGUGUUUCUUUUCUUAGACAUGCAGGUUUUUAGCGAAAAUUCAUCAAUGAUUUCUCAAAAAUUGGAGCUCCUCUGUUCAAACUCUUACAGAAAGAUAUGGCCUUCAAAUUCGAUGUUGAGUGUGAGAGAGCAUUCAACAAGUUAAAAGAGCUAUUAACAUCGCCACCGAUCAUGCAACCUCCUGACUAGAAUCUCCCAUUUGAGAUCGUGUGCAAUGUCAGUGACCAUACAGUGGGAGUAGUGUUGGGGCAAAGAGUAGGGAAAGCAGCUCACGCCAUCUACUAUGCGUCCCGAGCUUUGAAUGCAACUCAACUAAAUUAUUUCACUACUGAAAAAGAGCCUCUUGCAAUUAUUCUUGCUUUAGAAAAAUUUAGAUCAUAUUUAUUAGGUGUUAAAGUUAUUGUAUUUUCUGAUUAUACAAAGUUGAGGUAUCUAAUGACCAAGAAAGAUACGAAACCGAGGCUAAUAAGAUGGAUAUUUCUCUUGCAAGAAUUCGACCUGGAGAUAAGGGAUAAAAGAGGUUCGGAGAAUUCGGUAGCUAACCAUUUAAAUCGCAUACCAGUUGGAGAGGAUAACAUGCCAUUGAAGGAUACAUUCCCUGAUGAACAACAAUUUUCUCUAAAUUCUAAAGUGCCUUGAUAUGCUGAUUUAGUUAAUUAUCUAGUAAUUGCUAAAUUACCUGCAGAUUGGCGUAAAGAAAAGAGGGACAAGUUGAAGAGCGAUACCAAAUAUUUCAUAUGGGAUGACCCUUACCUGUGAAAGAGAUGCACAGAACAAGGAAUCAGAAGAUACGUAAGUGAAGCUGAAUUCCAAUCAAUACAAACUUUUUGUCAUACUUUUACAUGCGGAGGUCAUUUUGGAUCAAAGCGAACUGCGCAUAAGGCAUUGGAAAGUGGACUUUACUGGAUUUCAUUAUUUAAAAAUGUUUAUUUGUUUUGUAAAUCCUGCAAUUGAUGUCAAAAGGUAUAUAAUAUAACUCAUAGAGAUCAUAUGCCCCAAGUCCCGAUGAUUUUUAUAGAAAUUUUUUAUAUUUGGCGUAUAGAUUUUAUGGGAUCUUUUCCUGCAUUAUUUGGUUUUACAUAUAUAUUAUUGGUAGUGGACUAUAUUUCCAAGUGCGUGAAAAUUGGAGCCACUCAGACUAACGAUUCAAAAGUGGUUUCACAUUUUAUUAAAUCCAAUAUUUUUGUACUUUUUAGAAUACCAAGAGCUAGUGUUAGUGACAGGGGGACGUACUUCUGUAAUAAGACCAUAAUUGCACUAUUUCGAAGGUAUGGUGUACUCCACAAGAUCUCAACAUCAUACUAACCUCAAAUCAAUGGUCAAGCGGAGGUUUCGAAUAGAGAGAUUAAGUCGAUAUUAGAGAAAAUUGUUCGCCCCGAUAGGAAGAAUUGGAGUCAAAGGUUGAAAGAUAUACUUUGGACCUAUCGAAAUGCGUAUAAGUCCCCUAUAGGAAUGUCACCCUACAGAUUGGUAUUCGGAAAGUUGUGUCACCUCCCAGUGAAAUUUGAGCACAAGGCCUUUUGGGCGAUAAAGCAAUGUAAUAUGAAUUUACAGGAAACCGGUGCCCAUCGAAAGUUGGACUUGCAAGAAUUGGGGGAGAUUCGGGAUGAAGCGUAUGAGAACGCAGUAAUUUAUAAGGAGAGAAGUAAGGAGUUUCGUGACCAACAAAUCUCUAGAACGACCUUUGAAAUUGGCUAGAAAGUUCUCCUAUACUAAUCCAGACUUAAGUUAUUUUUAGGUAAAUUGCGUUCCCGUUAGAUCGGUCCUUUUAUUGUUACUCACGUCUUUCCCUAUGGUGCAGUAGAAAUCCAGAGCACUAAGACAGACAAUAAGUUUGUGAUUAAUGGAAAUCGUCUCAAAUACUAUGACGAGAGCUUUCCAAGUGGAGAAGUGGAGAUGAUACAUCUGGAUACACCAAAUUAUUUCGAUUAGCGACAUCUAGCCAUGUCCAGUCAAAGACGUUAAAAAAAAGCAUUUAUUGGGAGGCAACCCAAUUUCUUUUAAUUAUUUAUUCAAUUUUAGUUAGUCACUUCAAUUUGUUUUCUUAAGGUUUUUCCAAAUUCUUGGUGUAAUGUUUUGUUUUUUAUGAUUAGUAGGUGUUCCCCAAACAUGAUGCACCCGUAUCACCAAGGCUCAUGAUAAUAUGCAAUUCCCAGGUGCUUUAUCAGAAGGGUUUCCAUCCUCGUGACGCGCCCACGUCGAGUUACUUGAAAAGCUCUUCCUUCGAUCCUGGAGCGGACUGACCAACAUGACGCACCUGCGUCAACAAAACGCAGGGUAACUUUUAAUUUACCAACUCUCCAUCAGAAGAGUUUCCACCCUUAUGACGUGUCCGCAUCACUUGGGCACGUGAUAAUGUGUCAUUUUCAAAGUUUUCAUGAAAAUGAUUUUCACCCUUAUGAUGCGCCCGCGUCAACCGAGCACGUGAUAAUUUUGAACUCAAUGAACAUUCAUCAGAAAGGUUCUUGCCUUCUUGACGUGUACACGUCAUGUUAAAGGGAAAGAUAUGUAUUAAAAAAAUAAUUAAAAAAAAUAAAUAAGUUUUUUCAUUCCACCUUGAAAUUUAAUUCUUAAUUUUCAAAAUUUAAAAUCUAAAUUCAAAAUUUAAAAUUAAAAAAAAAACAUGCAACCUUUCUUUCCUUUUUCUUCUUUCUUUCUUUCUUUCUCUUUUCCCCUUUCUUCCGCCCCUAGUUCCCUCUCUUUCUCUUUCGGUCCAAAACCCAACGCAUGCCAACGCAUGCUGCCAUCCUUUCUCUCGGGACUCCCCUCGCUAACCGACGCUACACAAUCGCAUGCAGUCACGUAGCUGCAUCCCCCGAUUCUCGGUUCGCCAUGGUCCUCCUCGGCUCAACGCAUGCCGACGCAUGCCGCCCAUCCCUCGUGGUCCUCUUUCGCGAUGCCUACCACCAUAGCACGCCGCCGUCUCUCUCUCUUACAGCCGUCGUUGCUCCACCAAGCACCGCAGCCCACUGCUUCGCCAUCAUUCGCUCGCCUGCCAUCUCGCUUCGUCACACGCCACUGCACGUUGCUGCCUCGCUCGCCGACGUGCACUGCCACGAUUGCCUCUACCACCACUUUUCGUUGUCAUAGGGGUAGAGGUACUCCACUUCCUUACCCCCUCUCAACUAACUCUCUAGAGUACCCAUUUUGAAGUAUUACUUCCGACAGUAGUUAUUCGAUUCAAUUGGGAACUGCCUCCCUAGAUUAUAUCGAUUUUAGGAGUCAUUUGAUUCUUAAUUUGAACUACUGCAUUAUUUGGAAAUUUUUUGAUAUUGUGGCUAGAUAAAUUCUACAUUUGCCUAUUGAAUUGGGAGACACUAGUGACUCUUGAUUGGUUGUUGAAAUUGGUUGAAUUUAAUUGCAUUGUUAGGGGUAAUCUGCCUGUCAACUGCGUGUGGAUUUGUUUGGUACAUUUCUUGGGGUUUUUGAUUGGAUAAAUUAAAUAAUAACCCAUGCUUAUUGAGUGUCUGCUGCAUUGACUACUGUUACCAUGUCUAGAUUACUUGCUUCAUAUACUUGCUGGCAAGUCUAUUUCUUUUGUUGACUUGGGUGAUAAUUGGAGACAAUGGCGAGGCCAAAGUCCAUUUCUAGGUCUAGAACUCCUUAACCUCAACCUCUUACUCCCCAACCCACCAUUCCUGUGAAUGAACCUAUCAACCAACCCGUCCUCUUCAGGGUCCAAACACAUCCAAGUAGGGGUAAGGGUGUCCAUAUGGCUACAUCCUCUUAUUUUGGGGGGCAUUUAAACUUCACUAAGACGUCCGAUCAGCAGCGAUAUGCUAAGUGUUGUGAGCGGCAUAUCAUCCCCUGCAAAUGUUGUGAAAAAAUUGUCAUGGAUGCACUAGGUAUAAGGGACGAGGUUGAGCGGAUAUUUACCGUCAUUGGUUGGUGAUCUUAUCUUGAUAUUUUCUGUCCCGCCUUUGUCAAACUGGUUAUGAGUUUUACUCUACUUUUGAGUUUGAAUUGCUUACGAGAUAUACUGUCGAUCCUGCAAAUAUGAUUCAUUUCCAUAUGAUGGGUCAAGAGUUCAAUUUUUCCAUUAUUCGGUUCAAUUUCACAAAAAAUUGACAGGUUGUAGAGUCUGUACAAUAAUAAAUACCUGUUCAAACAAAAUAUAUUUUCUAUACAUAGCGAUAAAUAGGGUCGAAUCCACAGAAAUUGGGAAUAAUUCGUUCCUACUAAAGUUUAAAUUAUGGAGGGAUUUUAUGAAAAUUAACAAUAAGCUAUGCUAAUCAAAUAUUGCAAUUAAAUAAAAAUUAGAUGACAAACUGUAAAAACUGAAACAGUAUUAGACCGGCUCUAGUCAAGAAGCAACUUCGAAAAUGAUUCUCCCAAUUAAUCAUCGAUGCACAAAUAAUUUCACAUAUAAACUGAUAAAUAAGUUAUAAUUGUCGAACGGGCGAUGACAAUCAAUUUCUCGUUAAUUAUCGAUAGUUAAAGUACGACCGUUAGCUACUGUCCUAAUUGCAAAAUAAUCUUAGGUACGACCGUAGAAUUCAAUUUUGCAAUUGCUUUAAGAUUUAGAGAAAUCCCGUUUUAACCAAACAACACGCUACGAGAGUUGUUUACAAAUUAGCCCGUAUAUUUUCCUGACAUAGUCUCGAUUAUGCCAUUUGUCACUAAUUUAGAACAAUCAAACAAUUAUGAAUUUAAUUAUUCUAAUUGGUUCUAGAUUAUUGAAUUAAUCUAACAUCCAGGGGCUCGGGAUAAUUGAAUAAUACAAUAACCAUAAGAAAGUAAAGCAGGAGCUAUAUAAAUACCAAAAAAAAAUAGGAAAACUAAAAUCAAUUAGAUCUCACAAUUUAAAUCGAACCAAAUCCUCCGUUGUUCUUUGACUAAAAAAAGAGAUUUAGUUCAUCGCCAUUGAAUCAAUCACAUGCAGAUUUGCAGAAAUAAUUGUCACGUCCAUGAAAAAGUUGAUGGAAUAAUAACUAGAAUAAGCAGGAACUACGAAACCCAAAAGAAUGACUAAUGUUUUUCCUUGGGCUCUGACAUAUGAUGGAAUCAAUAGCCACAAAAAGAUGAAAAAGUCAAAAUCUAAUGUAGUCAAGAUUGUCUACUAUUUUCCUAUAUAAUUCCUUACGUCUACUCCCAUGAGUAAUAGGCAAAAAGAAUCCUAAUCUCAAUUGACUUCUAUCUCCUACUUAAUUGAAACCAAAAAAAAUAGGAAAUCUCCUAAUUGGUUCAUUUCCUAUUUUUGCUAAACUACCUUUUUCAAUUCAAAACUAACAAUCAGCUAAUGGAAUAUUUGCAGCUCCAUGUUGCAUUUUCAAUUGGCAAUUGGUGUCACGCACUUGUCCUGCAUUUUUUGGGCAUGUUAAGGUCUGACUUGACGCGCCUACGCCAAAUAGCAAUUGUAGUGGAAAAUUUACACAUUUUUACCACAUUUUGUUCCAAUUCCCUGCAAUCAAUAUAAAUUUUCAAAAGUGAGUAGAAUCUAUCAAUUAAUACACAUUCGGUAAAAUAAUAUGAGGAAAUUAAUUAUAAAAUAAAUGACAAAAGUGUGACUUAUUAAUUCCCCCCACACCUAGACCAUGCUUGUUCUCAAGAAUGAAAACAACAAACAAACACCAAUUCCUGACAUUGGCUAUCAAUCCAUCUAUCUUAUUGCCAAGAUACCGAGAAAACGCAUAUCAAGCAUCAAUAGUCGAGAUCUAGGAAACAUCUCCUCAAUUAGCUUCUAAACCGUAGACGCCUCUAAUUUAUGGCUAACUAUUUUAAGAAAAAAGAAUGGUCGAUCAACAUUUAUCAGCAAAUGGUCCAACUAUUAACCAAAAUCUCAACAUUAAAUUCAUAAAUCGGCAAGCCAACUUUAAUCACAUAUUUACACAACCUUCACAUCUUUUUAUCACAUUUUUCUAUUUCUCCUUCUUUUUUUUCCAUUUUUAAUAGUAAUAAUAAUGAACUUAGUCUCCUCUUUUUUUCUAUUUUAGAGCAAUUGAACAAAUACGGAUUCAACGCUCCAAUUGAUAUUAAAUUGUUAAAUUAAUUCAACGUUCGGGCCCAGGAUAUUCAAUUAACAAGAUAACUAUAAACACCACAAAUAGAGAAUAUGCAAUACCAGUAAAUAAGAUAAAUAAAUAAAAUUAAUUCGAUCUCACAAUUUUUAGAUGAACUAAAACCUCCAUUAUUUUUUGACUAGAAAAAGAGAUUUAGUUCAACUAUGUUGAGGAAAACCUAUGCACAAUUGUAGAAUUAAUUGUUGCAUACAUCGUCUCCCGAUUGAGAUGAUCAAUCCGAAUGAAUAAUUGAAAGAACAAUGAAUAAGAUGAAUAAGAGCAAAAAGUCAAGAACCAGGGAGUACGCCGAGAGUGCUUGUAACUACAUAGAACCAUUUUUCUCUCACUACUCCUAUAUUUGGAAGGAAAUGUCUGACGGGGACCGUUACGACCCUUUUAGAUCCAGAAGUUAUUAUCUUAAGGACCCUAGUUCUCGAUAUGUUCAGCGCUUCUUGGCCUACAGCUACUCGAGUUACAAGGAUAGCUCUGAUAUACUUUGUUGACAAGAAUUCUUCUUUAUCUGGUAUAUGAAGAACAAUAUUAAGGUGAAUUUAGGGUGUUGGCCAGCAUAACAAUUUAAGACCGUUUUAGCCAAGAGGAACAAACCCUUGAUACUUGGGUCGCAUAUCAUGAACCUAACAAUCCAGUUAAGGGUUCUUAAUUUUCAGAAUCACGAUCUCCAACUGGUUUUUGACAUGGAGUUUCUGGAUGAGAGCUGUCUAGAGAAAAUGAGAGUUAUAGAGCAGGUUGAUGAUAUGUACUAGUUUACAUUCCUGAGACCCAUUCGAGCACCAGGUCGACGCCCUUCUAUACGAGCAGGGUCCUCUUCAGCUCUUGGAUCGACCGAUGACACUGUUGGACUAUCUUCUUCUGUGCCGCCUCCACCAAUGGCCUCUAAUGUUGAGUGACGACAUCUGCGUGCACAAGUUCACCAUGUAGAUGAGCGGGUGACAAAUAUCGCCAAUCAGAUAGCACAGAUGUCUCAGAACUUGGCCGCCUACUUCCACCACGUCGGCUUCACUCCACUGUUCCCACCUAUCCCUUAGCUAAUCGGGAUGGAAGUUCCAUUGUCCUCUUUCCUUUAUUUGCUCUAUUACCUCCAUUGGGGACAAUGUCGGACUUAGGUGUAGGAGGGGAGCUGUGGUACAGCUAGUAUUUUUAGUUUUUAGAUGUUUUUCCUUUAUUUCUUGUUAUUUGUUCUGUUUUUCUUUUAUUUUCCUUUUACUUGUAUUAGUGAUUAGCACUUCUGUGACUACCAAGGAUUGAUGAUGGUUGGUUGAUCCUAAUUUUGCUUAUUAUCAAGUUUUAGUAAUAAAAGCGUAUCAAGUUAAUUUGGUUGAUUCAAAAAAAUAUCUCUUUGGUAAAUAUCGAUACUUUUGUGACUUACAAUUUUUGUUUAACUUUUCUCGACAUAGGGAAUAACUGCUUGAUAUUUUUUCUGUAAAUUUGUCCAAUUAUUAACUUUAGUUCUCCAUGUUUGAGGAAAUGAGGCUAGCUGCUAUUGUUUUAUGUGAUAUCUUGAGUUAUUUUGUCGCCUGAUUGUGAAUAAAUUUGGCUGUACUCCACUAGUUAUUACUGUUAAGUAACCAAGGGUCUGCACCAAAAGUGUCGAUUCUCGCAUCAAAUAGUAGUAAUUUCUAUAAAUACGUUGUUAUGUAGCAAUAGAAGCUGAGUAACCGGGGUUCUUCAUCUGACAAAUGUUAGAGUCUGCGUCAAAAGGCUCUAAUGGCUAGAGACUAAGUCUAUUAGUGUUACUAUCGAAUAUAUAUAUAUAUAUAUAUAAGUUGUGAAGAUUGUGUAAAUAUGUGAUUAAAGUCAGCUUACCGGUUUAUGAAUUUAAUAUUGAGAUUUUGAUUAAUAGUUGGACCAGUUACUGAUAAAUGUUGACCGAUUAUUCUUUUUUCUUAGAAUAGUUAUCCAUAAAUUAGAGGAGUCUGCAAUUUAGAAGGUAAUCGAAGUGAUGUUUCUUGGAUCUUGAUCAUGGGUGCUUGAUAUGUGUUUUCAUGGUAUCUUGACAAUAAGUAAAUAGAGUAAUAGCCAUUAUCAGGAAUUGGUUUGCUAUUCUCAUGCUUGAGGAUAAGCAUGGUUUAAGUGUGGGGGAAAUUUAUAGGUCAUAGUUUUGUCAUUUAUUUUAUAAUUAAUUCCCUCCUAUUAUCUUACCAACUGUGCAUUAGUUAGCGAUUUCUACUCAUUUUUGAAAAUUUGUACUUAUUGCAGGGAGUGGAACACAAUACCAUAAAAUGGUGCUAAUUUGACAAUAAUCAGUAGAAGAGUUUGAGUAGUAAAAGAGAACAAAAAUCCAAACGGAGAUUGUUUCCCUUAUCCAGUGAUAAACUACGGCAGACUAGGAGAAAAUUUUGGGGAACUUCCCUUUUUCAACUAGGAGUCUUCCCUUCUAUUCCUCUUGGUAGUCGGAUAGGCAGUAGGAAAAAAAAUAGGGAGCAACAGGGGCCGUCAAUCUUGACUCCUUUUUGCUCUUGACUUUUUCGUCUUUUUGUGGCUAUUGAUUCCAUCAUAUGUCAGAGCAAAGGAAGAAACAAUUGGUCAUUCUUUUGACUUAGCAGAUCUUUUGCUUAUUCUUAAUUGAAUCGAUUUUCUUCAUCGCAUUGAGGAAUGAUGUAUGGGAUAAUUGUUUCUAUGAUUUCACGUGAGAUUGUUCCAACAGAGAUGAACUAAGUCUCUUUUUCUAGUUAAGGAACAACGAAGGCUUUGGUUUAUCUAAAAAUUGUGAGAUUAAAAGAGUUGACUGUCAUCGCUUGUUUGACAGUUAUAACUUAUUUAUUAGCUAAUAAUUGAAAAUAUCUCUGUAUCGAUGAUCAAUUAAUUUAACCAUUGCUGAAGUUAUUUCUUGGCUAGAGUUUAAUCAUUAUUAAUUUGGAUUUUAAUAAUUUUUCAUUUAAUUUUUGGUUGGCUAUUUACUUUUAGUCAAUGGUUUAAUUAUUACCACUGCUAUAAAAAAAAUCCCAUUGUUAGUUUGAACUUCAAAAGAGACAAAUAUCCCCAAUUCCUGUGGAUUCGACCCUAUUUAUCAUUAUCUGUAAAAAUUAUAUUUUGUUUGACCAAGUAUUUAUUAUUAGACAGGUUCGACAACCUAUCAGUACAGCAUCACAAGCUUUGUGAGAUACUGUAAUUUGUACACCUCGUCCACCUUACGGCCUCUCUAACAACUGUCAAUCUCCCAGGAAUUAUUGGACAAAAAUAUGCCCCACAUGUUUGAACCAUUUAUUUCAUUUGCUGAUCUUGCUACCAACAAUAAAAACGAUAGCAUUUAUUUCGUUUAUUAAUUUGCCAGUGACACGAGACAAAACGAGGUCGGUGAAAGCAAAAUGAAAUUGAUUAAUCAAGAUUUCAUUCUGUGGCAUAUGUGGUAGCAACAAAAUUAAGUUUUUCCCAACAAAUUACAAAUAAAGUGGGUAGGCAAUUUAGUGAAAGCAUAUGUUUAAAAAUCUUUGAAUAAAAUGGAUUAAGUUAGUUACCCACAGCGGGUUAUAAAAGUAAAAUUCUGAUCAAAUUUGUUUUAAGGAUCAUAUUACAACUGGGGUAUAAUCCUAGAAAUGUGUAUAGUGUUAUGCCGUUUAUCAAAGUAAAUGUAGUUUAAAUAAGGUAUGCCAUAAAGUUAAACUUUUAUGUAAUAUUUGCAAGUAUGUAUGCUGCCAUAAUUGGAAAAGACGAAAUUCACUUAAAAUGCCAAGUUAAAUGCUGCUUUUAGUUAAGAUCAUAAAACCCUUAGUUUACUGAGAUCAUAGUAUGUAAGAUACAGGAGUGGCAUAAUAUAAAACAUUAUAGAUAUCAUAGAAUAUAACGUGACACUUUUUUAUCUUAGUUUUUGUUAUCUCUAAAUCACCCUCAUGUCUUUUAAUUAGAAUUAUUGUAUUUCAAUGUGGCACUAAUUAAAAGAAAUAAAAACACUCCAAUUGAUUACAUCUCAAUAAUGUUGAUAAUUACAAUUAAAAAUUGCACAUUAAAAAUUAUUUACUUAUCCUUAGACUCCAUUUCCAAUUAUUAUAUAGAUCAAAAUUUCUCAUUAGCCAUUUGAGAUUGUAAAAAAACCAAUGUCAAAAAAAUAGAUAAUUUGAAAAAAAAAAUAGAGAAACAUACAAGGAGAAAAGAUCUCUCAUUCAUUUGUAUAUUUUCAUACAAAUAUCACAAAUAAAUUUCAUAACUAUGUGCUUUUUACAAAUAUGAAGAAAUUUAAAAAAUGAUGGAAAAUCCAACUAUUUCAAUCAAAUGAAUUUAACUAUCUCACAAAUAGAGCUUUUCUCUCUCUCAUUGAGAGCCUUUUCCCCCCAUUGGUGGGAGCUCAACAUUCUUUCAAGGGAAAUUUACCAAAUUGAACCCUAACAUUUUCACAAAAAUUUUUUUUGGUGCCUAACAUUUAAAAUCAGUCAGAAUAGUCCCUAACAUAUAAAUUAUGAGCCAAUUUGGUCCUAGUACUCGUAUUUGCUUAUUUUUCUGACUAAAAAUAGCACACCUCUCUCAUGUGGGCAUAAUUUCGAGCGUAAAAUCGAAAAACAUUCGUUAAUCCAUGGUUUUAGACUAAAGAAAGAGAAUAUUCUCUUCAAAGUUCAAGCUCUCCAAUGGGUACUCUUCCAUAACUCCACCCACUCCUCCUAGAGUCAAUCUUGAGUCAUUUUCCCUGGACGUACUCUAUCAGAUGCAUUUCACCAUCACCACAUUGGCAACUCAGUGUUUCAGGGGGUGAGAGAGGUUAUUAUUCCUCAACCAGGAGGUAAAGAAGGAAGGCACUUGAAGGUGCAAGUCUUGGUUGAUACUUUUCAGCCACUACUGAGGGGCACUAUUGUCAAAGUGAUUGGUUCCAUGAGAUGGAUAAAGUUUAAAUAUGAGAGAUGCCCAAAUUUCUACUACACAAGUGUAGUUAUUGGACAUAGUGAGAAAGGCUGUAAAACAAGAGUUUCAGUGGGGAGUGGACAGCAAGAGAACCAAUAUUGACAUUAGAUAAGAGCAAACCCUAGGAAAGAAUCCCCACAAAAAGAAAGUAAUAGCUACAGAUCCCCUUCCAAAAGGAGUUACUGGGGAGUGCUAAAUGGGGAAGUAGUUUUAAAAUAGCCAAACAAGGAGGAAUUAGUUUCCAACCAAUGUAACCAAAGGGAGAAGGAAACAGAUAGAGGGAUCAACAAGGUAAAUACCUCUAGAAGUGAGGAAGCAUGAGGAAUGCUGAGAAAGAUUAUAGACACAAAUUAGCAUAAUAUCUUCAAAUGUGACAAUAAUCCAACAAAGAAUAUGAUGAGAACUUAAAACUAGAUGCUGUUAUAAAACACUACUUCAAUUACUAGUAUUUAACAGGUACGUCAAACAUGUUAAUGGUGGAGUAAAAUGAAAAAAAAAAUAACAAUGGGACAGAAAAAACACUUUAAAAUGUAAAAUAUCUCCAAAUUGGAAAUUGAGAUGCAAUGCGAAUGUCACAUACAAUUUAUUGUUGUAAAGUACAAACAUGACUCUAAAUAGAAAAGUGUAGAGUAAAAAGCGUUUAACUUAAAAUUUAGGAUUAAAUGUUGGAGUUGAUAUUAAAUUGAAAGAGAAAAAGAAGGAGAUGGAUAAAAAUACAAAAAAAAAUAAUGAUGGUCAAGUGCCGUGAGAAUUUAAACUUUUUUCAACAUUUCUAAAUUUUAGCAUUAACCUAUUUUCUUCCUUUAUUUUUCUUCUUUUGUUAAAAAAUAAUAAAUAAAUAAAUUAAAAUUAAAUUAAAAUUAGGAACUAUUUCGACUUUGCAUUCUGAAGAUGCAUGCAUAGUUUUAUAUUUAAAUGCUCUGAACUAGUGAACUUUACAAUUUCUCUACCUAUUGAAAUUCUCCAUUACGUGCAAUUACUUAUCAAAUAAGACGAACGAAGCUAUUACUAUUAGAUUAAAAUGACUGGCUUAACUUCAAAUAAAUUAACUUGUCGAAGUUUAUUUUGGGUACAUGGAGACAUGAUAGAGCGGCUAUUUUGCACAUUUUGCACUAUUAUUUUGUCCUAAUUUUGGCUGCUCAUGAUGCUAAGAAUUGAGAUUUUGCUCAUAUUUGAUAUUUGUGUGAAUUGUAGGUGGUUGGUGUUGAAAUUAAUCUCUUGAGGCAAAUUUUCAGAAGAUCCUUUAUCUCAGGACGUGCCUACGCCAGAAAUUAUAGGAGGUUACCCAAAAGCCGAACCCGCGGGAUUAAUAGCAGUAGAACCAAUCAAGAAAUCGGGUCCACGUGAACCGCGAGAGGCAUGAGAUUAAAACCCCAAAAAGAAAAGCUUUGUAGCUGACCUUUUGUGGAUUUCUCCUGGCAGCGCUACAAAAGAAAAGAAAAGGCCAGAUUCACGAUCAAUUGAUACAUUAGCUUAGUUUCUCUUCCCAACUCGUCAGACGUUUGGUCUUGCUUUUCGGCUGCAAACAGGAGUACAAGCCAAAAUCACGUGGGCUUAAUAGUUUAGCUUUCGUUUCUUUCACUGUAGACGGAUUCUCUCUCUGCUUUGGCUUUUGAUAAAUUUCGUGAGACUCUUCUUGACUUCGUCCCAGUACGGAUACAAAAUAAGAAAAGGGAUUAAGAGACUUUCUCUUCGUCCUUCGUUGGUUCAUCUUUCCCAAUUUUUCGGCAAUUAAUUGAAUGAUUUCAAUUAAAUCACGCGAGAUGGAUAUGAUAAGGAACGGCUAGGUUUCUCCUCUACCCAAGGGUUAACGCGAGGGCGUGGUCCAUAAUAUCUGUGAGAUCUAAUCGAAUUUUCAUUAUUUCUUCCAAUUUGUUACUAUUUGUGCGUUUCCUGGAUUAAUUGUUCAUGGGUAUUUUAUUAAUUGAGUAUCAAUGGCCGGAUAUUUAAUUUAAUUCAAUAGCCUACCGUCAUGUUAACUAAAUUGAAUCCAUAAUUGUUCGUUUAGUUAACAACUAGUGACGACCACCAUAAUUGGUUUUAUGUUGGGGAAACGCAAGAUCUAGUUUAAAUAAACUCUCUUAGCGUGUUUAUUGACUAGGGUUGGGUUCUUCUAGCUUUAAUGCAACUGGAUAAUUAAAUUCCUACGGUCGUACCUAGGGUUGUUUUCUGGUUAGAGAAACAGUCAGUGGUCGUACCUUGAUUGUCGAAAAAGUAAGGAAGAACUGGUUGUCAGAACUUGUUGAUAACUAUAACCAACAUAGUGACGGAUGAAUGAAAUAUAUUUGCAUCGAUGAUCAUUUAAUUGGACCGUGCCUGAAAAGUUGAUCAUUUGGAUAGAAUUUUAUUAAUUGCUAUUUUUAGUGAAUUGAACUUGUUGAGUUGGCUUUUGAAUUUUGUUUAUUUUAUUUUCAUUUUCAUCCCAUUAAUUAUCCCCCAAUUUUAUUCUAUUGACUUGGAAAGAAACAACUUCCUUCCCGUUCCCUGUGGAAUCGACCCUACUUGCCAUUGUAUGCAAAUUUAAUAUUUUUUUAGACAAUUCUGGUAUAUCGGAUUAAGCAAACUCUUCGGGAAUAGGGUUAAUCAAGUAACCCAUUGCACACGUAGAGUUCCUGCUCCAGUACUCGGAUUUGUUCUAUAAUUAAUUGUUGUGGCAACUAGGAUUUUUUAGUAAUUAUUAUUGCACAGGUUCGGCACCUGUCAAGACACCAUGUUUGUGUGCUUCACUUAUUUUCGACUUACUGUUUAAUAUCCAAAUUUAGUACUUAAAAUUAAUGGAUUCAAAUCUUGAUAUAUUCAAACAUGUUUUAUAACCAAAAAUUGAAUAUUUGAAUUAAUUAAGUGGCACUAAAUUUUUUAAGCAAAAUUUGCUCCCAAAAAUAAGUGUAUUUACUUAUCACUGAAUGUGAUAUAUACUCAAACGUAUUUAAUUUAAUACUCAAUAAUUGGAUAAUUUAACGGAUUCAGAUUUUAGAUUUUAAAUUUCAAUUUUCAAAGUUUAGUUUUAUCAAACGCAGCCUAAUGUCCUAUAGUAUUAAGUAUAUUACUGAGCUAUUAGUUCUAACACGUCACAUCAGACAUGUUUCUCUUUUAUCACAUUUUAUGCUUAUGCCUAUUUGUUCAUGUUUACCUUUUAAGUAGGGUGAAUUUCAACAUUUGAAUUCUUUACCUCCAUAAAAUGAGCAUUGACCACCAGACUAUCAACCAAUGGUAUAAUUUCCACUAUAAAAUGGUCUUUAGAGUAGGAAAAUUUGAAUAUACACACACACAUGUAUGUAUAUAUAUAUAAAGUACUAACUCUAAUUAGCCAUUUUCUCUCUCUUAGUUGACAUGCAUAAUUAUUUGAUGGGUCAUUUGAAUAUUUAGAAUUUAGCUAUAUUUGUAUCCAACUCCUCUCCAAUUAGUUAAUUUUUUCAUAGUUUUCAUCUCUUCUAACAAUUUUUAUCUUUUCAAAUAAACUUAAAAUUGAAUAUUCAUUGAUAAAUGAAUUGCUACAUCUUGUGUUUUUAAUUGAGCACAAAAUUAGUUCUAGGUUUACAACCAUUGUUAAAAUUUAAUUAUACACGCACAUAUACAUGUAUGUGUGUGUACUUGUGUGUGAAGGUAUUAAAAAUUUAAUUAACCAUUUCUCUCUCCUAGAUAGCAAGCCUAAUUGAAGAAAAUUUGUAGGUCAUUUGCAUACUUGAGUUUUAUCCAUAUUUAUAUCUAACUCUUCUCUAAUUAAUAUGUUAUAUAAUUUUUCUCUCUUCUAACAUAUAUAUAUUUAAAUAAAUUUGUUUACCCUUUGCAUCAGUACGGUUUAAAUUUACUUAGUUUAAUUAUUAUAUCUAUAGAUUUAUUAAUAUUUCUAGAAAUUAAAUACUCCUUCACAAAAAAUAAUGUUUGGAUCUUUAGUAUUUAAUUUGGUACAAAUAUAUAGUUCUAGAUUUAUGAUCAUUUCAUACAAUUUUAAUUAUCUCAAAAAAUAUCUAUCAAUUUUUUGCGUAUACAUUGUAGUAUUAAUCAAUAUUAUUAUAUCAAAUGCUAAGAGAAUAUGGAUAUCCGAAUAUGCAGUUAUACCUGCGGUACAAUUCCUCUCAAUUAAUUAAGUAAUGAACAAGUAUCUAUAUGUAGUUUCGAAUUAAUAAUUGUAAUCUAUACAUUCUUUAUAUGGUUUUAGGCUAAAUAUUUUCGAAUACUUGCUUACAUUCAAAGUAUCAACAUAGACAAUAUGCUCCAUGAGUUAUGCAAAAUUGUGGACAGCCAUGUCAAUAUCAUUUUGCAAAAAUUGUAUGUAUCCAUUGUAAUGACGUAGUUGACAUUAUUGUCAGGUAAUUAUUUCCAUAUAUUUAGAAUUUAAUAUACUUUUUUGCAUCAUACAUCACAAUUUAUUCUUAACAGAUAAAUAACAUAGACAUUAGAGAUUCCAGUGGUAACCUAUACCUUGCUCUUCAAUACAGCCAUGCACGAUUCAUAUUUCGUUGUAAUGCUUCUUAUCUUAGAGAUUUAAACACAAAGGUAUACAUUAUUUAUAUGUAUAUAUUUUUAUACAAUAUUAUUUACAAACUGUCUAAAACAAAAGAUAAUUUUGAAUUAUGUAUGCUUUUAAUUGUCCGAAAAAUGGAGAUGCAUUGUUUGACCAACACAUUAAUUCAUGCAAAAAUCGUGCAUUCUUAUUUAUAGUACGAACUCUACAAAAAUCAACAGAAUUAAUUAAACCCCAAAUACUAGCGUUCGUACUCAGAGUUGAUUGGUGUGAAGAAUGUUCACACCUUCGUAGAAGAUUACCAAAUCAAAGGCAAAAUGUUUGUAAGUAUUUCAUUUACUUAUCAAAUUAAAUAUUCAAUUAUAUUUAAUUGGACUCUUAUGUCGUUCAAUUUAUGAUAUAAAUUUCUAUUUUUUUCAUGAUAUUCAAUUAUAUUUAAUUGGACCUUUAUGUCGCUCAAUUUAUGAUAUAAAUUUCUAUUUUUUUUCAGGAUUCAACCUUCAUCAAAGCGAUAGUUUAAAAAGUCAAGUUAAGAUGGAGGAACGUGUAGGUUUACCACCCCACGGCUAGGGUUUAGGCGCCUCUCUUCAACGUUGCGGAGGUACCUCGAUCUAUGGCGGCUGCUUGGCCGCCAAAUCUUGGCCAUGGAGAACUACCCCACCCCUUCAAGUCGUUUGCGGACAUUGUAGAGGGCGGUGACCUCUCUGCGGGAACGGAUAUUGGGACUCUGGGUUUUGCAUAGGGGGGAACCUGCACUCGUGCUGUCUCGGCAAGAACUGUUAGGGCUGGUUGAACCCUACAAGAACACAUUAAUGGGGAGAUUCGCAUUCAACAGGCCAGCAAUAGAGAUCGUUCAGCAUUUCUUUGUGAUGCUGGGGCUGAAGGGAUUGUGUUCGGUGGGAUUGCUAGACGCUAAACAUGUGCUGAUACGACCAGAACUUGAGGAAGAUUACACGAGACUGUUUGUUAGACGCACAUGGUUUAUCCACAACUCUCCCAUGCAAAUCUCUAAGUGGACAAUUGACUUUAAGGCUGGCCAGGAUUGUGCCAUAACCCCCAUCUGGGUGAACCUGCCGGGGCUACCUUUUCCUUUCUUUGACAGGAAAUUGUUGCUGAAAAUAGGCUCACUGAUAGGGAGGCCGCUAUAGGUGGAUGCCGCAACAUUGAGCAUGAAGAGACCAUCCGUAGCCAGGCUCCUAAUUGAGGUUGAUGUGGCCAAUCUUCCAAUAAAGAGGCUUUGGCUAGGAGAUGACCAACAUGGGCAGUGGCAGAAGGUGGAAUUCGAAAGUUGGCCUGCUUUCUAUGGGCAUUGUGAGAGGUUGGGUCAUGGGGAGCAGGAGUGGUUUCGCCUCCACCCAGAACGUAGGCCUGUCCGAAGGGAGAUUGGGUUUCCCAACCAAGCCUACAUACCCAAGGAGCACAAGGAGAAUGAAUCCGUGACUGCGGCUCUCCUCGGCAAGCAGGAACGACCCAUAGUGGUGGCAAGAUAGCGAGAUGCGGAGCUGGUUGUGAAGCUCCAGGAUGGGCUCCAGCAGGGUGGGACAGACUUGCCUGCUACUCAUGUUGUCUAGCCCACGGUGGUGGCAGCAGGUCCGUCUUUGGGGCUUCACGACGUCAAUGAGGAGGAUGGGCAGCGGGAUGGCACCAGGGAAAGGGUUUGGAUUUGGCGGUGGUUCUGACCGCAGGCGAGGCAACUCAGGAAGACACUGUCGCAACAGGGGUGGAGGACAGCCAACCGGGGGAAGGUGGUGUGGUGGUACUGGACAACUCCUUUGCAGUCCUAGGUUCCAUGGAGGACGGGCUGGAGCUGCCGUCCCCUCGAGCAGGGGGGUCGCUCAGUAGGAGUCCUAUCUCCCUUGGAAUCACGCGAGCUCCGCCUUUGCGGCAAUCAUGCUCAAUGGACAGGCAGCUUCAGGAGUACUGCUCGGUCCUUGCCUUGAAGCAGUUUAAGGAGGCUUUGGAUCACCGACUAAAAAGACUCUCCUCUUCUGGAUGCACAGGUGCCUCGGGGAGCAGUGAUUGAUGCCUGUGAUGCGGCGCUACUGAACAACCUUUCCAGGAAAAUGGGAUGACCCGUAAAGUACAAUAAGAAGUUGCAGCUAUUUUUCUCUCAAACUAAGUCUUCUACCUUACCUAAUGAUAAGUCGCAUUAAUAUUCUAGUUUGGAAUGUACGGGGUAUCUCCCGUAAGGAUUCUCAAAGGUAUCUGCAUAAGUUAUGUGUGGAUAAUCACAUAAGAUUACUUGUUUUGAUUGAGCUUAUGACGGAUGCUUCGCAAUUACUUUCAAUUUGUCGUAUGUUGCACUUUUCAAAGGGGUGUUCGGUUUUGGAAGGUACAAUGUGGGUUUUGUGGCAGGAUGAGCUGGUGGCCCAGCUCCGUGAAGUAGGGGAUCAACUGGCUAACAUGGAGAUAAGUUAGGGGGGAUUUACCUUCCUUUUCUCGGCAGUAUAUGCUAAAUGUACACUAGUAGGGAGACGGGAGUUAUGGAAGGCAAUAGAGUCAAUCCAUGGCAUUAAUGAGGGCCCGUGGAUGGUGGCGGGUGACUUCAAUGUUAUUUUGAAUGCUCAGGAGCGCUUCGGGGGGCACCUCCCAAUCUCCGUAACAUGGAGCAAUUUAACGACGCGACUUUCAAUUGUGGCCUAGCGGAGGUGGACUUCGAUGGUUCGGCCAUCACUUGGACAAAUGGAGUACUUUGGCAGCGUUUGGACAGAGCUUUAUCCAACGCCGCUUGGUCGGAAUUAUUUUCUACUACUACUAUCUCACACCUAAUGCCAAGUUGUGCGGACCAUGCUCCGCUCUUGAUCAAGAGCGGAUACCCAAGACCCGGAUCCCCGACUUUUCGUUAUCUGAAUGUUUGGAAACGAUAUCCGAACUUCUUGUUAGUGGUUCAACAGGCGUGGCAUGGGUCGGUUAAUGCCGACGGUAUGGUGGGGUUUCAUCGGAAAUUAGUUAACCGAUCCUAUGGCAAUAGAGCAGGCAAGUUAUUGGUAACAUUUUUCAGGCUGUCAAGGAAGCAGAGGAGGUACUCCGUCAGAGCGAGAAGGAGUUCAAUGAGAGGCGGGAUGCAUUAGCGAAAGGAAAGCUAAGGGAAGCUCGGGCAAGUUAUGCGAGGGCGCUGGCUAUGGAGUGCGAGUUCUGGUGACAAAAAUUGUCAAUCAGAUGGCUUCGUGAAGGGGAUGCCAAUACCAAAUUCUUUCAUUCCGUAGUCAAGCAACGGCAAAACACGAAUUUCAUAGUUCGGAUAAAGGAUGAGACGGGUCGUUGGGUGGAGGACGAGGGUGCCAUUAAACACUCAGCCACUCAAUUUUAUCAAAACUUGUUCACGUCAGAGCGUCAGGACAGGUGGCCCCCCUAUUGGAUUUUCCGAUCCCAAGAAUCACUCAUGGGGACAAUGUUAAGUUACAGCGCCCUCCUAUUUUGGAAGAGGUCAAAGAAGUGGUGUUUUCUCCAGGCCCAGACGGUUUCGGGGCUGGCUUUUAUCAGACAUGUUGGCAAAUUAUAGGCGACGAUUUGGUUGAUGCGGUUCAGGAGUUCUUUCAGGGGGUUCAGCAGCUGAGGGGAUUGUCAAGUGCAGCUAUUGUGCUGAUCCCGAAGGUGCAAGGGGCGGCUUAAUGGAAAGAUUACUGGCCGAUCAGUUUCUGCAACGUGAGCUCGAAAGUGAUUUCCAAAAUUUUGGCGAAUCGCCUCCAGGCCAUGCCUCCUAGGCUGAUCUCCCCCUGGCAGACAGGUUUCGUACCAGGGAGGGCUAUUACAGAGAAUAUUUUGCUAGCUCAGGAGCUAGCUUUGGACCUGGAUAGGAAGUUACGCCAUCCCAAUUUGAUGCUGAAACUUGACAUGGAAAAAGCAAACGAUCCGAUGGAGUGGAAUUUUCUCAUUUUUAUGCUUCGCCAAUUUGGGUUCCAGGAACAAGCAGUCGAUCUUAUGUUCAGAACAGUAUUGAAUAAUUGGUUUUCGAUUUUAAUCAAUGGUUCACCAGGGGAGUACUUUAGAGCCUUUAGAGGAGUUCGACAGGGGGAUCCCCUCUCUCCAGCUAUGUUCUUAUUAGUGUCAGAAUUUUUGGGGAGAGGGCUACAGCACCUCUUCGAACAAAAUGAGAGUCGGUAUUAUGUCUCACCUGGUUCUCGGGUCCCGUAUCUUGCAUUUGCUGACGAUAUGCUAGUCCUUACUUGCUGUUCAGAGGAUUGUUUAGAUUCACUGGUAGCGUUCUUCGCGCGUUAUAAAGCUUACUCUGGGCAGAGAAUAAAUGGGGGUAAAAGCUCCUUUAUUCUCUCUAACAGAGCAUUGGAGGAUACGGUUGCCUUGGUGCGGGAGAAGUUACAGUUCCAGCAGCAAAUGCUACCUUUUGUAUAUUUAGGAGCCCCUAUAUCCCGAAGCAGAGUGACAUGCAUACUUUUUGACCCAAUUUUGGCAAAGAUGCAAAGUCGUUUGUCUCAUUGGAGCUCCCGAUUGAUCUCGGAGGGGGGUAAGUUAGUCCUAUUCCGACAUGCACUCUCCUCCAUUCCAAUGUAUCUGCUGCAGGUCCUUCAACCUCCACGAGCAAUUUUCCAGAGGCUGGGUAGAAUAUGCAAUGCUUUCUUGUGGGAUAAAGCGAAUGGUUCGAAUGGUAUCCAUUGGACCUCAUGGGAGAAGGUUUGCUUCCCAACAUCGGAGGGGGGCUUGGGAGUGCGAUCCUUCGGGGACAUAAGUGUGGCCUUUGCAUGCAAACUGUGGUGGUAGUUACACCAGAAUAGAUCACGGUAGGCGGAUUUCAUGCGUGUGAAGUACAUCAAGGGGGAACACCCAUCUAAGGUGCAAGUGAGCCGGCCCACAAGGAUCUGGCGACGGUUACAGCAGGUCCGCGAUUUUAUGGAGUCGAAGAUUCGGUGGUGCUUGGGUAAAGGGUUUGUCGACUUUUGGUAUGACAAGUGGCUCUUAGAGGUGCCCUGGUUGAGAAAGUAGGUGUAGUUGACCCGCCACACAUGCUAGUAGCUGGGUUUUUGGAGAGAGAGGAUGGAACACUGGGUUGCUAUAGGCCUGGUUACUGAUGGGUUUGGUUCGCCAGGUCCAGGAGGUUUCCUUACAUCCGGACCAGGAGGAUGAAAUGGUGUAGGUAGGGUCUUCAUCGGGAGUUUUCUCAAUCAAAGACGGGUGGGAGGCCCUGCGGCAGAAAAGAAAUCUCUCUAGGGCUGAUAGGUUCAUAUGGAAUAGAGUCCUGCUGCUCAAAAUUUCCUUCCUAGUGUGAAAAGUGAUGUGUAAUAUGGUUCCGGUGGAUGUAAAUUUGCAACGGCGGGGCAUCAAGUUGGCGUCUCGGCGCUGCUGUUGCUCCUUGCAUGAAAAGUCCUUGACUCACCUAUUUCUCGACGGGGCAGUAGCAGAGCAGGUUUGGGGUUUCUUUCGAAGACGGUUUCGGAAUUCUUCAUACUAGUUCCCCCUCAAUCUCGACGGAGUGUCUCUCUUGGUUUGCUUCUACUUCAUCAAUCUCUGCAAAUCAUAUACGGACUGCUCUUCCAUGUUUAAUUUUAUGGUGUCUUUGGCAAGCACGGAACAAGUCAAGGUUUGAGGGGACUCGGAUGGAGCCACAGGGGGUUAUUUGUGCGGUGGGCAGUGAGGUGGAGCAGUUAGGAAGGGCAAAUUUAUGGUCCUUGGCGCACUUCAAGGGUGACUUGGAUGAUCCAUGGGUGUUAUUUGCUGCUUGGCGGCCACAGGCAACACGGCGGUUGCUGAUUUCUUGGAAGCCACCGCCACAAGAUGUCGUCAAGUUGAACACGGAUGCCAGUGUUUCAGGUAGGAGGGUAUCGGGAGGUGGCUUGCUAUGGGACCAUGAUGGUGGCUUGAUCUUUGUAUUCUAUAAGGAAUUCGGGGAUGUUGACGUGCUGACCACCGAGAGUUUAGCAUUACUGCAGGGUUUGCUCUUCUGCAAAAGGGUUCGGGUUCAGAGGCUAUUAGUGGAGGUGGACUCGACGGGGUUGGCUCACUUGCUGGGCUCAAGGGCCUUGGCAAAAUGGCCGUUAUGUAACACAUUACGGCAGAUUCGAGCCAUGCUUCAGAGCUUCAAUACCACUGCUAGACACAUAUUCAGAGAAGUGAACGCCGCGGCGGAUAAAUUAGCAAUGAUGGAGGCUUAGGCUGACUUUUUUACCACGACCUUCCAGCAACUUCCGAGGGAUGUUAGAGCUAUUAUACUUCUAGAUAGCAGGGAAGUUCCUUUUGUUCGAGCACAAAUUGUGAGAGAGUAGAACCCUGGGCUCUGCUUUCUGCUUCAACAAUGUAAUUUGGUCUUCUUAAUAAAUAAAAUCUAUUGAAAAAAAAAGUGAUAGUUUAUAAAUAAUGGAGAUGUUUUUAUCAUAUAUUGAACUAUUGUUACAAGUUUCAUUUUUUUAAAUAUACUUUCAUGUGCCCGUGAUUAUAAUAUUUUACUAUUUUUAAAUUUCUCCAUAGAUUAUAAUUUUUUUAAAAAAUGUAAUCUGCUGUGCGUAGCACGGGUAUUUAUACUAGUACUAGUAUAAUUUGAGAGGAGAUUAGGAACUUAUAUUGACAUUGGAAUAGCUUCAAAUUUAAGGGCAAAAAGGACUCCAGGAUAGCUGGAAAAACAAAAGUUUUGCGGAUCCAAAUGGAUACAUCUAAAAGACUAUGGGAUUAACUUGAAAAUGAUACCAAAGUCGAUCGAGGAAAAUAAAUUUAACCAAAUCUGAAAAUUGAAAAUUUUCCGCUUGUCUAUAUAUCCUUCAACGAACCUAUUUAACCUUUCUUAUUUCCUUGCACGCGCCCGCAAUUCGUGGUGUCAACGGAGAAACUCAGUGGACUUUGGUGGCGGACUCAUUUGAAACUAAUUUAAACUUAAAUGGAAAAUUUUGAUAACCCAACGAAUACACUUUCGUUUAAAGUUCAAAGACCAGGAUGCUCACUUUACCUAAAUUUUAUGAGCUUCAUAGAUAGAAUCACCAUGACAUAUAGAUGUGAUGCGUAUUCCACAAAAAGAUAGCCUUAAGCAUGGAGUCAAUGGAGGAACUCAAAUCAAUUUGUUCUACUGUAAUUGUGGUUGCCAAUUUGGCAAGCAAGGCCUUAAUUUUUUUUUAUUAGAUCCGAGAGUUUUUUCAAAUUUUGUAUGCCAAAUUUAGGAUUUGUAGGCCCUCCCAUCAAAAUUCAUCCUAGAAUUUGAGCUUGAACUAGUUGAACAACAGAUUAGACAGUAUUAACAUACACAAAUGUUCAUUGGUUUACUGGUGAUUUAUUUGAGUUUGAAAUCUGUUGGAACUUCAAAGUGUAAUAUCUAUUAUUUUUUAAAUGUAUUAGAUAUAUUGAUUUUUUUCAAAUUUGUUCAUUUCCUGGCAUGUGUCAAUGUACUCUCUGUCAUUAAUAUAGAUCUGAUGAAAUAAAAAUAUUUUUUUAUUUUAUUAGAAAAAGAAAAAUAAGUAGACCCGCUAUAUUAGACCUAAUGACAUUUUCAAUUUGUUGUUACAAAAUUUCUUUCUAAUAAUGAUGACAAGCAUUGUUCUUUGCCUUUAGAAAAUGAUCUUCAACCAUUUAACUUACUUGUAUCUCUUGAUUAGUUCUUACGAAUAAGACCCCCAAAAAAAAAAAAAAACCAAGAAAGUUAGACCCAUUUGGUUGGCCGUGCUUCAAUGUCCAAGAAGUUGGGGGGAAUCCAGAAUUUGUAUUCCAAGUCAAUUGUCAAGGUUCAAAUUACAUUCCUUUUCACCAUUACGAGGUAGCCAAGGUCCUGUCUAAAUCAACUUGACCAUUCUUCGAAAAGGAAAAAAGCUGGACCCUUCUUGUAAUGACUUAUCCAGAUUCUUCAGCAAACCAGCCAACCAUUUGUUGUUUAGAGGUCCAUAUCAUACAUAUUGCCAGUUAAAAUUUCUCUCUAAGUAUUUUAAUUUUUGUUCAAUUGAAGUGUUAUUGAAACUUGGAUAAAGUUAUUACAAGAAACAGCAAAAUCAACAGAAGUAAUUCCAUUAGUAUCCAAAAAAAAAAGUAAAAAAAAUACAUAUCCAGAAUAGCUGCCUCAGACAAAUAGCAAGCUUAUAAAUCCAAUUUCUCUAACUUUUUAACUUUUACUGAUACAAUUACCUCAGCACAAUUUCAAGUGAUUAAUACAAUAGUUUACAAUUCAUCGAUAUUACAAUUUGAUCUACACUUGGAGGUAUAAAUACUCGUCAACAAAACAUUCUAUCCCGUACUUCAUAGGACAAAUACUAAUGUAAAAUUAGAUUAAAGUCCACAAGUCAUGAGGACUAUAUAAUAGUUUGAUUGUAAAUUGAAUGACAAGUAAUUAUUUUAUCAAAGAGACAAAUUUAAGUGAUAGGUGGAACAAGAAAAAUGAAAUGCUGCCCGUAAUAUAGUACGUAUGUUUAUUAGUUUAAUAUGUUUAAUGAUCUAAUAGCCAAUAGUCAGAAACUUGUCGAAUCAAAUACUUAAAUUACUUUGCUUCUUGAUCUGCAUCAAAUCAUUGACUUAUAAAAAUUUUUAUUAUAGAUUUUGUAAAAUAAUCAGUACUGGAUGACUUUCAACAAGUUUAAUAAUAAUAUUUUUCUCUUUAUUUAUUAAAAAAAAGAGUAAAAAUUUUUGUAAAUCACAAAAUUUGAAUUCAAGAUGUGUCAAUGACUCAUUGAUAAGCACAACAUAAUGGAAUUUAAUUGUCAUUGUCAUCAUCUGUUAUUUAAACUUGUACCCAUCCUUUGGCACGAGGGAAUUGCUCUACCAUUUUCUAUUUCCUCGUCUCUACCCACUUUUACUUUUCAAAUAUUUCGUCAGAUUUGAAGAUUUUCUAGUCUUACUAAUUAGUGUUAUUUGCGGAAUUUAGAAGUGACUAGAUAGACAGAAGCUUCACGUGGUUUAUACCUAAUUCUCCAAAAAAAAAAUUUCCUCGUGAAAACGACAGGUAAUGUGUUUUCUGAUACCUAAUUCUCCAAAAAAAAAAAACAAAGGAAAAGAAAAUUAAGUUAUGAGACUUGCAAGGAUACACUAUGGACAAAUUAUAUUUCGUACCCUAAAACUUUAUAUUAAUGUGGCUAUAUAGUUCACCUCUACUCGUGGCGUCCCCGUCCUUUCUUCACAUAGCUUUUCCCCUACUCGAAAGUCAAUUCUAAAUCUACCUUUCUAAUUGUAAAGAAUCAGAUCAUUAUUUAGGUGAUUCAGCCAAAAGAAGAAAAACCAAAAAGAUGUUUAUCUAGGUGUAAUAUAUGUGAAGAAGACAAAACUUUAGAGCCGACCAUAACACAAAAUGGACCAUCUUGUACGAAACAAAACACAUGCACGAAACGAUUUACACAAAAUCAACACACAAUCAAGUGAAAAGAUUUUUUGUAUGUAUAUAAAAAAGAAGAGAAUUUCAAUCAAUUAAAGAAAGCCGAACCAAUGGUAACAAAUGCGUGAAAAACAUGCAACAAAAAAAAAAAACAACAGAUGAAAGGGAUUUUCUUGACGUCUUAGAAACCAAUAAGAAAUAAUACUGUACAGCUCCAAAAUUUUCUUACAAACACAGAUUCUCUGUAGCUCCAAUGCAUGAUUCGUGCAUGUUUUCCACGGACAGAUUAUAUAAAUUUUAGUUUCGAACUCUGAAACAAUUGAUUUAACAAGUUUUAGUUUAAAGGCCAAGUUUUUCUCCUAUAAGUUUUUUUAACAACGUUAUAUAUAUUAACUCAAAAAACUCCUCAAAAUUUUUAAUAUACACACUUCAAAAAUACCAAAAAAUACAAAUAAACUUCACUUCUUUCCUUUCCUCUUCUUCCUCCCCCACAUCAACCCACCACCACCUCCGGCGCCGGACACCUCUUCCGAAAAAGGAAAAAGAAAAGGAAAAGAAAAAAAAAUUUACAUCUUAAAAUAUUUUUCUAUAAUUUCUACGGUAAAUUACAGUAAAGCUUAUAUCAGUUUUACUUUCAAACUCUGCUUCCAAACAGAUUGAACCAAAUUGAUUUAAAAGACCCCACAUCUAACAAGAACAUAGAAAAUAAAGAAAAUAAUAAUCAUAAAAAACUCUCAUUAAGAAACAAAGAAAUUUUUACUAGGAAAAUGCUAGACGAGAAUAAACUCUUACUAGGAAAAUUCCAGAAGAGAAAAAUUUAUUUCAAAAGCAAAGACAAAAACAAUUGGGACAGACACCAGGGGAACUGGAGAAUGAGAGGUGGAGUUCGUUAGCUGAAGAAAUUUUUGAAAGAAGAGGGAAAGAGGGUGAGCAAAUGAAGAGAUAAAUAUGAGGAAGUAUCCAAAUGCAUAUGCACUUGAUUUCUACAUGGCUUUUUCUAUUUGUGGUCGGACGGCACGAUACACUUACCAAAUAAAAUAAUGUACUCAUUAUGAAAUUCUAACAUUAUCAUGCACCUAGUAAACUGCGUAUAAUAAAUGAAUCUUGUAUACACUAUUAUCAUUAGAUAUAUGAUAUAUGUAUAAAAUUUGAAUUUGAAAUUCAAAAGUUACUCAUAUGUCAUCGAUCUAACCGUGAUAGUGUAUAUAUUGGCAGUGUAUAUGAAAUUUAUUCAAAUAAAUUGCUAUCAAUAUAAACUUUUGCUGAUUAGAUAACAGUGGAACCACCUAUUAACUAAUUUAAAAUUCACCAUUAGUGUACUUCAGGUUAAUUGUUCACUAAUAUUGUAAAAGGUUUUAACAUAAACCACAAAACAAGUGAACGGAUUAGUUGGUCAACAGUUAAUAGAUUUAGCAUGGCGGGGCCAGGAUUUUUAAAAAGAGAGGGUGAACUUAAAAAUAUGGCAAUUUUACUUUACGAGUCUAAAUUUGAAAAUUAUAAGAUGCAUGUUAAUUUUUUGUGACUAUAUCGCUUAAUAUUUUGGUCUUUAUAGUUAAUCCGAAAUCAAUGUAAAUUAUUUUAAACCAAAUUUCUAUAUGAAGAAGUUUUUUAUGAUUUUAAGAUGGUUUUUAAUAGAGUAAUAAUAAAAAGUAAGUCUACAAACCACAAGAAGGAAGCUAUUUCCCCAAUAUUGGAACAAGAUACAUGAUAAUAUACCAAAUUCGUGUAACUAUUCAUGUCUCUACCUUCUCAUUUCUUGUGUACCGGAAAAACGAACUUCUCUUUGCUUUAAUACCAAAUUUCAGGGAGGUAAUACAUAAAGUUCUAAAAAAAAACAUGUAUUAUGAAGUUAAAUUAUGUAUAUGAACUAAAUAGAAGUCUAAAGUAUUUAAAGUCUAAAAGAUAAUAAUUUUCAUGAGGCAAAAAUUAGAUUGGGAGAGGGGGGGGGGGGAAUAUGAUUUUAAAUGGAAAAUCCAAAGUAUUCAGGAAUCAAAAGGAAUUUUUCAGAACUUGGACAAACCUGCCCCUAGCGCCCUUAUGACUCUGCCACUGCCGACUACCAUAAAAAAACAAAAAAGAUUUGACAUAAUCACUUAAAUUUGACUGAUAUAUGAAAGACGUCAGAAGCUUUAACUAUUUAUCCUUAUUUGUCUUCUUAAAGAGGACAAACACGACGACAAACACGACGAUAAAGAAAACCCAAGUUGGAUUCAUUCAAUUAGCCAAUAAAACUGUCUGUUUCCUGUUAGACCAAGGACUUUGCCAUGCUUGAAAACCUUAUUCCAUCCGGCAGCCACAGGUUUAUGGAUAAAAAAAAAAAGGGAUUUGUGCGCCUCAAUAAUUGCUAAAUGAUGGAUAAGGAACGGUUGGAGGCAAAAUUGAUUUUAAACGGUUGAGAUCAGUUUUUGUAUAGGUUGCAUGAGAUAAAUGUUAACAUAUUUUAAACGUAUAAUUGUAAAUUUUGAUAUAGGUCAUAUAAAAUUUUUUGCAUCAAUUAUUACUUAAAUGAUAUAUCUAUUUAAGUAUGAAUUAAUUUAUUCUACAUUAUGAAAGUAUAAUUUUUUUACGUUUCUGAACAAUUUUAAGUGCAUGACAUAUAAUUUUUAUUUAAAUUUAAGUAUUAUAUAUAUAUAAUUACUAGAGUAAAAAAUCUUAUUAUACAAACUCAUCCAAGUAUUCAGGCAAUUUUGCUUGAUAACAACUUAGAUCACAUUUCAACAAAACAAUAAUAACAAUAAUAAUAUGCAGCCGCUAGAGCUGUUAAGCCAAUCAAGUAGCUCGAAAGCUCGUUAGAGCUCGGCUCGUUAAGGCUCGAGCUCGGCUCGUUAAUUUUGGUUAACGAGUCAAGCUCGAGCUCGAAACAUGCUCGUUUAGUUAACGAGCCGAGUAAGCUCGGCUCGUUUGAUACUCGAGUAGCUCGUUAGAGCUCGUUAAUGAAGGGCAUAUUUGUCAUUUUAGAAAUUAAAAUUAUAUAAAUUAAAAAUUAUAGGUUUUUAUUAAUGUUAAUUUGCACGAGCUCGAGCUCGAACUCGAGCCACAUGUACAUUUAACGAGUCGAGUUCGAACACAUUUUAAAGCUCGUUUUCUUAACGAGCUCGAGUUGAGCUCGGCUCGAAUUAAACUCGAGUCGAGCUCGGCAGCCCAAUACUCGGCUCGACUCGGCUCGAUUAACAGCUCUAGCAGCCGCCCAAAGGGCUGAUGGUCACCACAAGAAAUUUAGUCUGGUCAAGGUGUGGGAGGUCAAGAUCCUUGCCUUCUAUCAAUUUGUCAUUAUAUAUGAUUGUUUUGAAUGAUUUUCUCCAAUGGUGAUUCAAUUCCUUCGACUCCCCUUCCUCUUAGAUUAGAAACAUAGAUUAGAUUAUAGAAAUAUUACUAUUGUGAUAAAAAAUAAUAAUAAUAAAAUAGGGCAGCCACACAUUAUCGGUCAAGAUAUAAAGAAAAUGUCCAGCCAUCAGAAGUGGGACCUUUGCACUUCAGGUAAGAUGGUCCAACAAGGCAAAACGACCUAGAACAACUGGAAUUUAAGUCAUGUGUUGUUGGUGGGCCAAAUGGAAAUUUCCAUCCAUUUACAAGCUUUCGACCACUACAUGAUUUAUUGAUUUUCAAGUGUUCUCUAGUCUCCGCUCCUGCCAGCUUUCUCCUAUAAAUUGCCACCCCAAUAUCCAAAUCCCACACACAACACACAAACACACAAAAUACACAACAAAAUCCAACUCCCACGCACAAAACACACACUUUAGGCAAGAAAAGUAGCCACCACAAAGGCUAAUAAGAUGGAGAACUUCCCAGUAAUCAACAUGAAAAACCUCAAUGGUGACAAGAGAGCUUCCACCAUGGAGCAUAUAAAGGAUGCUUGUGAAAACUGGGGUUUCUUUGAGGUACUAUACAUUCCUUUUUUUUUUUUUAUUUUCUUUCUGAUAUAAGGCAAACUAGUGUACCUCAUUUUGUUUUUUUGAUGUAACAAACUGCUGUACCUAGGAUUUUCAUGAGUUAGUUUUAAUUUUAAUGGUUCUAAGAAGUUUACAUUAUUAACUUUUGUUUCUUUUCUUUUGAAACUUUGAUGUAGUUGGUGAACCACGGAAUCCCACACGAGAUGAUGGACACAGUUGAAAGAUUGACAAAAGGUCAUUACAAGAAAUGCAUGGAGCAAAGGUUCAAGGAAUUGGUGGCAAGCAAGGCUUUAGAGGGUGUACAAGUUGAGAUUACUGAUAUGGAUUGGGAGAGCACAUUUUUCUUGCGCCACCUUCCUGUCUCAAACAUUUCACAAGUCCCUGAUCUAGAUAAUGAAUACAGGUAAUAAUUAUUUUGAAGCACAUUUCCCACUUCAAGAAAUAUUUUGAAGCAAGUCUUAUGUGGAUAAGUAAUGAUUUUGCUGACAGAAAGAAAACUAAAAAAAAUUUGAAGAAAUCUUCAGUAUGAAUUUGUCUUUAUGUUACUUGUACUAAUUCAUAGCUUGGUUGUUAAAGGUUGUAAAUUUGAGUAUUUGUUAACAUUUUAUUUGCGUUCUUAGCCCAGAUUUUCUUCUCAUCUUUGUAUUAUUAGAGUGUUGUUUACAGAUGUGGAGAGUUAUUCAAGACAAGAUCUUAACAGGAACAUGAAAAGCAUAAAUACUACUGUUACACAUUAGGAAGUUUUGAGCUGACUGAACAUGCUACACAUGCAACCAUACUUCUGUGUCCCUUCUCAAGAAACAGAUAGAUUUGGAUUUCCAUUCAGGUUUAUCAAUAAAAUAGCCUUUCAUCAGACACAAUUAUUGACAACUUCGCUUAAAAUAUGUUAAAAUAUUCCGUUGUCAACGCCUAAAAAGCAAGAUAUAUCCAUGCUCUGUCGUAGGCUAUUUUUCUCUUUUUACUAAUUCCACCUAUCCAAUCAAAUUUUCCUCAUUAUUUUUUUCUUGUGAUGCAGGACCAUCAUGAAGGAGUUUGCUGUAAGAUUAGAAAAACUGGCUGAAGAACUUCUUGAUUUACUAUGUGAAAAUCUUGGUCUUGAGAAGGGCUAUUUGAAGAAAGCCUUUUAUGGUUCAAAAGGUCCCAAUUUUGGCACUAAGGUUAGCAACUACCCUCCAUGUCCCAAGCCCGAGUUGAUUAAGGGACUUCGACCACACACUGAUGCUGGUGGGGUUAUCUUGCUUUUCCAAGAUGAUAAAGUAAGUGGUCUACAACUCCUCAAGGGUGAUCAAUGGGUUGAUGUCCCUCCAAUGAAGCACUCUAUUGUGGUCAACCUUGGUGACCAACUCGAGGUACACUUUAAUUUCUUGGGAUUAAAAAUGUAUACUUUUAUAAGUAAUAUGAUAAAGAAACAAUAGAUUUCUUACUUUCAUACCAACAUAAUACGUAUAGCUACACUUGUGCUUCAUAAAUAAAUAUUACUUAUGAAUAGAUUAUUUCUCAUAAAGAUUACUUAUAAUUACGGAAUAUCAUACUAGAUUUAGAGGGAUGAUUGUAAUUUGUAAGCAACAAUAAACAUCAAUAUUAAUUUAUGCAAAAAUUAACAAAUCGAAUUGACUGUUUAUUCAUUUAUGCCUUUUUAUUUAGGGUUCUAAUUAUGUUACAAAUUAAUCACAGGUGAUUACCAAUGGAAAAUACAAAAGUGUGCUCCACAGAGUCAUAGCUCAAACAGAUGGAAAUAGGAUGUCACUUGCUUCAUUCUACAAUCCAGGUAAUGAUGCAGUUAUUUAUCCAGCACCAGCACUGCUGGAAAAAGAAGCAGAAGAAAGAAAAGAAGUCUACCCAAAAUUUGUUUUUGAUGACUACAUGAAACUCUAUGCUGGACUUAAAUUCCAGGCCAAAGAGCCAAGAUUUGAACUCAUGAAGAAUGUGGAAGCCAAUGUUACCAUGGGUCCAAUUGCAACUGCUUAGACUCAUAGGAAUAAAACAGUGCUAGGAUGUUUUCUUCUCCCUCUUAUGUUUUCUACUUAUUAUUAUUAUUUUUUUAUUGUGGGGGUUGUUGGUUAUUCCUAGUCAUUUGUUGCUCCAGACAGGAGGAUCCUUUCUGCAUCUGGGGGACCAAAAUUUAUUAUGUAGUAAGAAUUCUAAGACAAAGAAAUAAAUAAGCUAUACAUUUCUCCAAAAUCAUUUGUGGCUACUGUUGCAAAGCUAUAUGGUUGAUUGACCUAAUAUUUGGUUUAAUUGCCUUUAAAAGUCCUUAAAAUUUUCUCAAUUAUUAGACACUCAACAUUUUACUUUAAUUUAUGAAUGCCGGAUCAAUUUAGUCCUCAAAUUUCUAACAAAUCUGACAAAUCAAGUGUCGGGUACUUCGAACAAAAAUACAAUUAUGUUUGGAACUAUGAAUUACAAUAAGCAAACUUAAGAGAGAAAACUUACAAGGAGCAGCCGAUAUCAAUAUGCAAGAAAAGCUAAGUUUGUCACACAUAACUGCUUAUUUAAUAGUUGUAAGAGAAUAAUUAACAUACUAUGAAUUUAACAGUAAUGCAUUAGUAACAUGGCCAGAACUUAAAAUUGGCAAUAUCCAUCAAAAGCCCACUUUUUGGUACCAAAUCAGGAAUAACAUAAACAAGUCAUCAUUAGCCAAGACAAGCCAACGAUUUGUUGACUCCUAGGUUUAAAUGAAAAAACAAAAAAAUCCAUUCAACAUUCACCACAUUUACGCUUUGCCCCCUUCAACUAAACAAACAGGCAGUUUGCCCCACUAGCAAAUCUGAUUAGUGAUUUUGUGGUCAAAAGUCAAAAGCAAGCCAAGUUAUCCUCAAGCUGACAGAAAUAUGGUUGAUUACUAAAUGUCAAACAUUUUUAGAGUUAAAUAUAUUUUGUAGAAUCAUUUAAGAACCAAAUGAUAAUUGGGAUGUAGUUUAGAGGAAAAUCAAGGUUGAUUGGUGAGAUAAAAAAAAGUUGUGUGUAAGUUCAAGAAUUUUCUCGUUGUUUUUUUCUUUCUUUUUUUUUCAAGCUUUUUCUCGAAAGACGUGUCACUAUUAUCCCUCACCUUUUAUAUAUCACAAGAACAAGCAAACACACACACACACACACAUGUAACUUACACUUUCUGGUUUUUUACUUUUCACAAGGAGUUGAAUUUUGUCUGCUUCUUUCUGUGGAUGGAGGCAUAGUUUCUUCUCAAGUAUAAGGAUUAAAUAAGCAACUACUCAUAGAGCAGUUAGCCACUAAAGAGUUUUAAAAUUCUCAUUGAGUGCAGGCCAAGGUAUCAUGACCUACAUUCUAAAAAAUUUAAAUUUUUUUGAAAAAAUUUCACCAACAGGUACUCAGAUACCCGUUUGAAUAGGUGGUGAUUCAGUCUCUGGCAAAAAAAAAAAAAACCGUAUGAGGAUUAAAUACUGGAUUUUUAUGAUAUAAACUGUGUGUAUAGGUACACCAUCACAAGCUUUGUGAGAUGCUGUAAUUUGUACACCUCGUCCACAAUGGAGCCUCUCUAAUAACUGUCAAUCUCACAGGAAUUAUUGGGCAGAAAUGUGCCCCACAUGUUUGAACCAUUUAUUUCAUUUGCUGAUCUUGCUACCAACAGUAAAAACGAUAGCAUUUGUUUUGUUUAUUAAUUUGCUAGUGACUCGAGACAAAACAAGGUCGGUGAAAGCAAAAUUAAAUUGAUUAAUCAAGAUUUCAUUCUGUGGCAUAUGUGGUAGCAACAAAAUUAAGUUUCUCUCAACCAAAUUACAAAUAAAGUGGGCAGACAAUUUAGCGAAAACAUAUAUUCAAAAAUCUUUGAAUAAAAUGGAUUAAGUUAGUUACCCAUAGUGGGUUAUAAAAGUAAAAUUCUGAUCAAAUUUGUUUUAAGGGGCAUAUCACAACUGGGGUAUAAUCUUAUAGGUGUGUAGUGUUAUGUCGUUUAUCAAAGUAAGUGUAGUUUAAAGAAGGUAUGUUAUGAAGUUAAACUUUUAUGUAAUAUUUGCAAGUAUGUAUGCUUCCAAAAUUGGAAAAGAAGAAAUUGACUUAAAAUGCCAAGUUAAAGUUAAGAUUAUAAAACCCUUAGCUUAUUGAGAUCAUAGUAUGUAAGAUACAGGAGUGCUAUAAUAUAAAACAUUAUAGAUAUCAAAGAAUACAAUGUGGUACUUUUUUAUCUUAGUUUUUGUUAUCCCUAAAUCGCUCUCAUGUCUUUUAAUUAGAAUUAUUGCAUUUCAAUAUGGCACUAAUUAAAAGAAAUAAAACACUGCAAUUGAUUACAUCUCAAUAAUGUUGAUAAUUACAAUUAAAAAUUGCCCAUUAAAAAUUAUUUACCUAUCCCUAGACUCCAUUUCCAAUUAUUAUAUAGAUCAAAAUUUCUUAAUCGAAGCAUGAAAAAUUUCUCAUUAGCCAAUUGAGAUUCUAAAAAAAAUGAAUGUAAAAAAAAAUACACUCUAAAAAAAAUAGAGAAACAUACAAGGAAAAAGAUCCCUUAUUCAUUUGUAUAUCUUCCUACAAAUAUCACAAGUAAAUUUCACAAUUAUCUGCUUUUUACAAAUAUGAAGAAAUUUAAAAAAUGAAAUGAAAAAUCCAACUAUUUCAAUCAAAUGAAUUUAACUAUCUCACAAAUAGAGCUUUUCUCUUUCUCAUUGAGAACAUUUUCCCCCCAUUGGUGGGAGCUCAAGACUAUUUCAAAUUUCCAAAAAUUCAAACCUACCAAAUUUCCAGUCUCAAACACAGAUUUUCUUAGCUGAUAAGCCCGGACAAGAGUAAAUGCAAAGAAGUAACUACAGGAACUAAUUUUAACAGCAAAGAUUAUAAAUGCUUAGCUGCAAUGAAGUAGAAGAUGCAAGCCGGAACACAAGAUUAAAGAAGUAAAAGCUAGACAAUGGUGGGCUGGAUCUACACAGACAUAAAUCUGUCCAACUUGAGGCCAGUUCAUACUCUUUCAACCCUUUGUUUAGCUAGCUUUUCAUUUUUUUUCCUUUCUUUUUCUUUUAUUUCCCAGCUUGGCAUUUACGUAGUGGAAAAAGCUGAUUUUCUUUUGAGCUGUUUUGGAGUGGUUAGCUUCUAUACAUUAUCAGAUAGAUUUGGUAUUCCUUUAAUAUCUCAGCUCGUUACUAUGGCAGAAGAGGUGACAAAGAUAAUGCAAAAGUUUGCCUUAAACAACCAAGAAUGCAAUAUAACAGAUCUCGAUGUAGGAGAUUCUAGUCUUAGUAGACAGGAAUGUUUGCUAAGUUUGAUGGGGAAAAUCCAGGGUGAAAAGAUAGCCAACUUUAUUGGAGUUAAAUACUUUGUCACUAAUGCCUGGGGCUACCCUAAAGAUUUGAAAGUGAAAGAUUGGGACCUAACCUAUACCAAUUUAUAAACCCAGGAGAGGAAAGUCGAGAAAGGAUAGCAAAUGGGGGGCCAUGGAUAGUGGAUAACCAACUGCUAGUUCUGAACAAAUGGUAUGAAGGAAUUGAGGAUGACCAAGAUGCAUUCGGAAUAGCCCCUCGAGGUAUGUUAUGAAGUUAAACUGUUAUGUAAUAUUUGCAAGUAUGUAUGCUGCCAUAAUUGGAAAAGAUGAAAUUCACUUAAAAUGCCAAGUUAAAUGCUGCUUUUAGUUAAGAUCAUAAAACCCUUAGCUUACUAAGAUCACAGUGUGUAAGAUACAGAAGUGGUAUAAUAUAAAACAUUUAGAUAUCAUAGAAUACAAAGUGGCAUUUUUUAUCUUAGAUUUUGUUAUUCUUAAAUCACCCUCAUGUCUUUCAAAUAGAAUUAUUGUAUUUCAAUGUGGUACUAAUUAAAAGAAAUAAAAUACUCCAAUUGAUUACAUCUCAAUAAUGUUGAUAAUUACAAUUAAAAAUUGCCCAUUAAAAAUUAUUUACUUAUCCUUAGACUCCAUUUGCAAUUAUUAUAUAGAUCAAAAUUUCUUAAUCGAAACAUGAGAAAUUUCUCAUUAGCCCUUUGAGAUUGUAAAAAAAUCAAUGUCAAAAAAUAGAUAAUAUGAAAAAAAAAACAGAAAAACAUACAAGGAGAAAAGAUUCUUUAUUCAUUUGUAUAUUUUCACACAAAUAUCACAAAUAAAUUUCACAAUUAUGUGCUUUUUACAAAUAUGAAGAAAUUUAAAAAAUGAAAUGGAAAAUCCAACUAUUUCAAUCAAAUGAAUUUAACUAUCUCACAAAUAGAGCUUUUCUCUCUCUCACUGAGAGCCUUUUCCCCCCAUUGGUGGGAGCUCAACAUUCUUUCAAGGGAAAUUUGCCAAAUUGGUCCCUAUCAUUUUCACAAAAAACUUUUUUGGUGCCUAACAUUUAAAAUCAAUCAGAAUAGUCCCUAACAUAUAAAUUAUAAGCCAGUUUGGUCCUAGUACUCGUAUUUGCUCAUUUCUCUGACUAAAAAUAGCACACCUCUCUCACGUGGGCAUAAUUUCAAGGGUAAAAUCGAAAAACAUUCAUUAAUCCAUGGUUUUAGACUAAAGAAAGAGAAUAUUCUCUUCAAAGUUCAAGCUCUCCAAUGGCUACUCUUCUAUCACUCCUCCUAGAGUCAAUCUUGAGUCAUUUUCCCUGGACCUACUCUAUCAGAUGCAUUCCACCAUCGCCACAUUGGCAACUCAGUGUUUCAGGGGGUGAGAGAGGUUAUUAUUAUUCCUCAAACAGGAGGUAAAGAAGGAAGGCACUUGAAGGUGCAAGUCUUGGUGGAUACUUUCCAGCCACUAAUGAGGGGCACUAUUGUCAAAAUGAUUGGUUCCAUGAGAUGGAUAAAGUUUAAAUAUGAGAGAUGCCCAAAUUUCUACUACACAAGUGUAGUUAUUGGACAUAGCGAAAAGGGUUGUAAAACAAGAGUUUCAGUGGGGAGUGGACAACAAGAGAACCAAUAUAGACCUUGGAUGAGAGCAAACCCUAGGAAAGGAUUCCCACAAAAAGAAACUAAUAGCUACAGAUUCCCUUCCAAAAGGAGUUACUGGGGAGUACUAAAUGAGGAAGUAGUUCGAAAAGAGUCAAGCAAGGAGGAAUUAGUUUCCAACCAAUGUAUCCAAAGGGAGAAUGAAACAGAUAGAGGGAGCAACAAGGUAAAUACCUUUAGAAGUGAGGAAACAAAAGCAGCAAACAGAUGCAUCAAAUGCAAGGCAAAGGGAGGAAGGAAUGGAGGCAAGGGACUUGAUGGAACUUCACAUUGCAACACAAAAAGCAUCUGAGGGACACAAGAUGGGGAUUGGCGUUGUGGCCAAGCUGAAUGGAACAAGAAUCACGGCUGACUGGGCGCUAGUGGACAGGACCUCGCUACUGGACAUCCAAGAUGAAGCUGCAGCAGUGAGACUGGCACUCAUCAAAGUAACGCAGCUUGGUUGGCACAGGAUUAAAGUCAUAAACGUCAAUAAACAUCUUAUUGCCAUGCUGAAAAGUGGGAAAGGAGACAAUCCGAACAUAAUCACGUUAGUGGAAGAUAUACUUCCUCUAGCUAAUCUGUUUCAAAUGUGCUUUUUUGAAGUAGGAAAAAAUAGUUAUAUGUCUCUAUGUAAAAGCAUUAGUCGUUAUGCUCUAAGCAUAGUUAUAGAUGAAGAGAGAAUUUUUGUCUCUUCUUAGUGUCAUCGUACACUUUGUAUUGGUGGUUGAGCCAUUGCUCAAAUAUUGUAAAGUUUGGUUUGCUAUAAAAUUCAUCUAUCGUUUCCGGAAAAAAAAAAGAGAAAACAAGAGCAAUGCUGACAAAGAUUAUAGACACAAAUUAGGGUAAUAUCUUCAAAUGUGACAAUGAUCCAACAAAGAAUAUGAUGGGAACUUAAAACUAGAUGCUGUUAUAAAACACUACUAUGAUUACUAGUAUUUAACAGGUAUGUCAAACAUGUUAAUGGUGGAGUAAAAUGAAAAAAAAAAUAACAGUGGGAUAGAAAAAACACUUUAAAGUGUAAAAUAUCUCCAAAUUGGAAAUUGAGAUGCAAUGCGAAUGUCACAUACAAUUUAUUGUUGUAAAGUACAAACAUGACUCUAAAUAGAAAAGUUUAGGGUAAAAAGCGUUUAACUUAAAAUUUAGGAUUAAAUGUUGGAGUUGAUAUUAAAUUGAAAGAGAAAAGGAAAGAGAUGGAUAAAAAUAAAAAAAAAUAAAAAUGAUGGUCAAGUGCCGUGAGAAGUUAAACUUCUUUCAACAUUUCUAAAUUUUAGCAUUAACCUAUGUUCUUCCUUUAUUUUUCUUCUUUUGUUAAAAAAUAAUAAAUAAAUAAAAAUUAGGAACUAUUUUGACUUUGCAUUCUGAAGAUGCAUGCAUAGUUAAAUAUUUAAAUGCUCUGAACUAGUGAACUUUACAAUUUCUCUACCUAUUGAAAUUCUCCAUUAUGUGCAGUUACCCAUCAAAUAAGACGACCGAAGCUAUUACUAUCAGAUUAAAAUGAUUGCUCUAACCUCAAAUAAAUUAACUUGUGGAAGUUUAGAGACACCAUGUUUGUGUGCUUCACUUAUUUUCCGCUCACUAUUUGAUAUCCAAAUUCAGCACUUAAAGUUAAUAGAUUCAGAUCUUAAUAUGUUCAGAUAUGUUUGAUAAUAAAAAAUUAAAUAUUUGAAUUAAUUAAGUGGUACUGAAUUUUUUAGGCAAAAUUUGCUCCCAAAAAUAAGUGAUAAAGUAUUUACUUAUCACUUAAUGUGAUAUACACUCAAAUGUAUUUAAUUUCAUACUUAAUAAUUUAAUAAUUUAAUGGAUUCAGAUUUCAGAUUUCAAUUUUCAAAGUUUAGUUUUAUCAAACGCCACCUAAUGUCCUAUAGUAUUAAGCGUAUUACUAAGCUAUUAGUUCUAACAUGUCACAUCAGACAUGUUUCUCUUUUGCCACAUUUUAUGCUUAUGCCUAUUAGUUCAUGUUUACCUUUUGAGUAGGGUGAAUAACAACAUUUGAAUUCUUUACCUCCAUAGAAUGAGCUUCGACCACUAGACUAUCAACCAAUGGCAUAUUAUACCACUUAAUUCCAUGAUAAAAUGGUCUUUAUAGUAGGAAAAUUUGAAUAUACACAUACACAUGCAUACAUAUACAUAUACAUAUACAUAUAUACAUACAUACAUACAUAUACACACACAUGUAUGUAUGUAUAUAUGAAGUACUAACUCUAAUUAGCCAUUUUCUCUCUCUUAGGUGACAUGCAUAAUUAUUUGAUGAGUCAUUUGAAUAUUUAGAAUUUAGCCAUAUUUGUAUCCAAUUCCUCUCUAAUUAGUUAAUUUUUUCUUAUAGUUUUCAUCUCUUCUAACAAUUUUUAUCUUUUCAAAUAAACUUAAAACUGAAUAUUCAUUGAUAAAUGAAUUGCUACAUCUUGUGUAUUUAAUUGAGCACAAAAUUAGUUCUAGGUUUACGACCAUUGUUAAAAUUUAAUUAUACAUGCACAUAUACAUGUAUGUGUGUGCACUUGUGUGUGAAAGUAUUAAAAAUUUAAUUAACCAUUUCUCUCUCCUAGAUAGCAAGCCUAAUUGAAGAAAAUUUGUAGGUCAUUUGCAUACUUGGGUUUUAUCCAUAUUUGUAUCGAACUCUUCACUAAUUAAUAGGUUAUUUACUUUUUCUCUCUUCUAACAAAAAAAUAUAUAUCUUUUUUAAUAAAUUUGUUUACCCUUUGUAUCAGUACGACUUAAAUUUACUUAGUUUAAUUAUUAUAUCUAUAGAUUUAUUAAAUCUAGAGAAAUUAAAUAUUCCUUCAUGAAAAAUAAUGUUUGGAUCUUUAGUAUUUAAUUUGGUAGAAAUAUAUAGUUCUAGGUUCAUGGUCAUUUAAUCAAAUUUUAAUUAUUUUGAUAGGGUGUUAAUUGUUGAUUAUUUUAUUAUUAAUUUCCCCUUUGUCCUUGCCAAAUAUUGUUUUAAUUAUUAAUAUUUACUUAUAUUUGGUAUCUGGAUUUAAUUUCAGGGAAUGAAGCAGAAAACUACAAAAAAAGGAGGUAUUUUCUGGAGAAAAUGGAGACUUCUAAAUACUCCACAGACCUGGCCCACAUUGCUGAGAAGAACCGGACUUCCAUUCCCCUUUUUUACUGACUAAGAGUCCUCCUACCAAGAGAAAACAUAAUACAAGGAAUUUGGCAGAGCUUUCUUUUGAGUACUUGGACUCUCAAUUUCGGCGGGGACCACGGAUAAGAAGCAUGAGUCAUUUGGACUCUUGGAAAAGAAACGUACAAAGGCUUGUGAAAUGGAAUUGGACUCUCAAUUCCGGCGGGGACCACUAGAGAUAGCAUUAGACUUUCUUUUGGCUUUAAAAAGGGAGAAACGUACAGAGGGUUGGUGGCUGAGUUUUUAGAGACAGUUUAGUUUUCUUUCUUUUCAUUAUGCAUGCGUUUUCUUUGGUUCGUAUGUACGCCAGAAGUAUUGUGACAAUCUUGCGUGGGUUCUCCUCAAUAGGGAUGAACUAAAUCCCUUCUUCUAGUCAAGAACAAUGGAGAAUUUGGUUCGACUUAAAUUGUGAGAUCUAAUCGAUUUUAGCUUUCCUAUUAUUUUCUAGUAUCCGUAUAUUUUCUGCUUUAUUUUCUUAUGGUUAUUGUAUUAUUAAAUUGUCCUAAGCCCGGAUGUUAGAUUAAUUCAAUAACCUAGAGCCAAUUAGAAUAAUUAAAUCCGUAAUUGUUUGAUUGUUCUAAAUUAGUGGUAACUGGCAUAAUCAAGAUUAUGUCAGGGAAAUAUACGGGCUAAUUAGUAGACAACCCUCGUAGCGUGUUAUCUGAUUAGAACAGGGUUUCUCUAAAUCUUAAGACAAUUGUGAAAUUUAAUUCUAUGGUCGUACCUAGGAUUAUUUUGCAAUUAGGGCAAUAGCUAACGGUCGUACCUUAGCUAUCGAUAAUUAUGGAGGAAUUGAUUGUCAUCGUUUGUUUGACAAUUAUAACUUGUUUGUCAGUUUAUAUGUGGAAUAUUCUUGCAUCGAUGAUCAAUUAGAAGAACCAUUUCCGAAGUUGCUUCUUGACUAGAGCUGUCCAAUACUAUUUGAGUUUCUAUAGUUUGCCAUUUAAUUUCUAUUUAAUUGUAAUAAUUGAUUAGUAUAGUUCAUUGUUAAUUUUCCUAAAAUCCCCCAUUGUUAAUUUGAGCUUUAAAAGAGACAAAUAUCUCCAGUCCCUGUGGAUUCGACCCUACUUAUCACUGUCUACAUAAAUUAUAUUUUAUUUGAGCAGGUAUUUAUUAUUGCACAGGAUUCGACAACCUGUCAAUUUUUGGUGCCGUUGCCGGGGAUUUUUUUUUUUUUUUUGUAUAUAGUUGAUGGCUGCUAACAUUCCGUAUUUUGAUGAUAGACUGGAUUUUAUUCCUGAAUGGAGUUAUGAGACUCGUGUUUUUCCUAAUGAUCAAUUGACUGUUGCAGAUUGUGGAAGUUAUUUUUUUUCAGGUUAUUCAACCGACAUAUGCCCCGCAUUUUAAGAUAACCUAAGUGCUUCAAUUGAUAAUUUUGGAGAUUCUUCACCUCAGUAUCAAAUGUGGUAUGACCCUUAUUCAAACGGGUAUGAUCAAGGAUGGUGGGAUGAUUCCAAUUUCAAUUAUACGACCGGGCCGAUGGAUUUUCAACAGCAAGAGUCUCAACAACCAUUAUCCAUGCCAGAUCCGUCUCUAGAAGAAACGAUGAAGCAGUUAAUUGCUAAUCAACAAAAGAUGAAUUCUGACCUACAAAGCAUGAGGAAUCAAUGGGGACAAGUGCAAUCAUUGCAAACUCAGGUCAAUCAAUUGAUGAUAGCAAUUAACCGCCUAGAAUUCCAAGUCCAAGAAAGACUCUCAAAUUAUGAAGAAUUGCCCUCACAAACCAUCGUCGACCUUGAAGAAGAUGAGAGUGCAAUUAUUCUGACAAGUGACAUGGAGCUACAAGAGUCUCAAGAAAAUGGAUCUAAAGAGGCAAUUGAAAAGGAAGUUGAACUGCAAGAAAUGAGACCCCAACAUCAACUCGUUCAAGUGAAUGAAUCCAGUGAACAAUUUCCAAAUGCGGUGACAUCUUCUCAAUUCUUUAAUCAAUAUUUUCCAGACUUCUAUUCUUCAACUCCUGUUAUUGAAAUUGAUUUUAUUAUACCAGAAAAUUUUAAAUUUCAUGACAGAAAUAAGUUAAGAGCGGUAAUGGCAAAAUAUGUUGAACCAAUAAAUGCACGUGAUGGAGGAGUGGGUGAAGAAUCCAGAUUAUUGUUGACCAGUUUGGCGCCAUCUAUUAGUUCAUGGAAGCUCGUAGCUCGUGUGCUCAAGAAUUACUCUAUUAACGAGGGUUAUUAGGAUUAUAUAAAAGAUGAAGCACUGAAACGAGCCACAAGAUUUUAUCCUCCCUGAGCAGACAUGACAAUGUUUAGCCAAAGACGUUAAAGAAUGACGCUUUUUGGGAGGCAACCCAAAUAUUGAUUUUAUUGUUUUUCAUUGUUAAAUUCUUUAAUUAUGUCGUUUCUUAUUUAGGUUGUGGUCGAUUUUAAUGUUUUCCUCCACUAUGGUUAGGACAGCAAUCUUGGCGUGCCCACGUGGUGUUUGUGACUCCUGAGAUCAGUGGACGUUUACCCAUUUUGGCGUGCCCACGCGGUGUUUGACGACCCAAAACAUGAAUUCAAAAAAAAAAAAUCAAUAAAUUUUUUUUAACAUUAUUUUCCUUUUUAACCUUAAGUUCUGCUUUCUUUUCCAAAAUUCAAAAUUUUGAAAUAUAAAUUUUUGAAAAGAACCAAAAAAAAAAAUCUUCUUCUUUUUUUUUUUCUCAUUUCUUUUUCUUUCUUUCUUUCUUUCUUUUUCUUUUCUUUCUUUCCUUUCUUUCCCUUUUCUUCUUCUUCUUCCCCGCUGCUUGGCUUUUUCUUUUUUGUUCUUUUCUUCUUCGGCCGACGCUCCUCCAUCGCGCGUCGCCGCCUCCCUCGCUCACCUCCAACUCGCCGCGCCUCUCUCUACCCACCGCGACAGCCGCACGCCACCAGCUCCACCUCGCGCCACCUACUACCAGAGCAAGCCGCCUGCCCAUGCCACCGCCACCCUCUCUUUCUCCAUCAUCUCUCCUCUCUCCCCUCGCGGCCGUCCACCACUCAAUGCUGCUCACGAGCUCCACCGGUCCCCCCAGUUCACUUUUCCCUCUCUCUCCGCGCCCAGCGCCGCCAUUGCGCGCUGCCCGUGUGCACGGCCGUCCACCACCGAACGCCACCUCACUCCUCUUCCUCGUGCGCUGCCUUCGAGUGCCACAAGCUGCCUCAAUGCUGUCCGCUUUUCCCUCCACCAUGGACCUCCACUGGCCACCAACUCCUCUCCGCCGCUCGAUCUCUCUCCUUCCAGCGCCACCAGCCGCGAGCUACCCAGCGCCGCAAGCCACAGCCACAGCCACAACCGUACCUCCCUCUAGCCAGCUCUCCUGCUCCAUUUUGCCGCCAACCGCCACGCGUUUCUCUCCCACAGGCCACGGCUGUUGCCUCUACCGUUCCCCACUGCCACCAACGACGCCGUUGGGCAGUGGGCAGGUAUCUCUGUGUCCCUCUGUUUCCGAGUUGUACUUUACUCUCUCGCAUUCUUAGAGUCCGUUCUUGGGCUCACUUGAGGACUCUAUGGUUCAAUUUCUACUUGACACAGUCCGUGGCCAUUGUACUGUCACUUCGAAUUAUUGAUUUGUAGGAGCCAUUGCUGCGAUUUCGGGUUACAUCAUUUUUGCAUGAGACUAACAUUCAGAUCACCAUUGCUUAUUGGUUGUAAUUGCUGCUUUGUUGAGGCAUUUGUCUAGACACUAGGUGCCUAGAAUUACAUUUUCUUGCUUGGGGUGGCCGUUUAUGUUACUUUAUUAUCUGUAAGGUAUACCAGUGAUACUAGUUGUAGUAAUUUGCAUACAAUUUCUUAAUUCGAUGUGAUUGAGCUUUUGUGACUGAGUUGCUAGAAUUUUUGGUUGGUUGAGUUGUGCAAUUGACUGUCCAAUUGGAGACAGUUGUUGAGAUUUUGGAUGGAAUUGUGUCUAAUUGCUGACAUUUGUGGAUUGUGUCCAAUCGGGCAAUAUUUGGGUCUAAUUCCCUUGUUUGGGAGUUUUCGGGCAAGAGAUUUCAGUUACUUAGUUCAUUGAAGCACUUGCUGCGCUUCUGGGCUGCCUUGAUUCUGCAUUUGACCAAAUUGGGCCCAUAGGUGCUUAUUGACUGCAUUUGCUAUCAGUGUUGGGGUAUUUGUAAAACCUGUGGGUGAUUGAAUUGUGCAUUUUGUUCAUGGGGUUGGCUUUUCAAUUGUUAUUGCUUUGAAUUUCCUGUUUCCAUUAUUCGUUGGCCAUUGUUGUCUCUUGUCAAUUGGAGUGAUCUUUAGAACCAAUGGUGAGGCCAUGGUCAUCUUCUAGGUCUAGGACACCUAGAAUCUCACAUGGCACAGAAUUUGGCAGCAUUUAUGCACUAUGCAAGUCUUUCUCCUCAGUUCCCGCCCGACCCGCCCCUAUUUUGACGACUUCAGGGAAGUACCGUUGCCCUUCGCCUUGCAAUUACUGUUUAUUUGUCACAUUGAGGGCAAUGUGUGAUUUAGGUGUGGGGGGAAUCAGUUGUGGUACUAGUAUUUUCAGUUUUCGAUUUUUAGGUGUUUUUCCUUUGUUUUUACUUUGAUAUUUAUCUCCUUUUUCGUUUAUUUUCUUUUCUUUAUCCGAGUGGUCAGUUCGUAUUUGAAUACCAAGUUUGAUGUUGGUUGUUGAGCCCCAAUUCUACUAUUGUCAAGUUUUAAUAAUAAAAGUGUAUCAAGUUAAUGUGGUUGAGUUCAAGAACAUCUCUUUGGUGAAUAGCAAUAAUUGCUUAACUUUUCCAAUUUUUGGUUAACUUUUCUAGGCAUAGGGAAUUAUUGUUGGCAUUUUUCAUGUGAAUUAGUCCAAUUAUUAAUUUUAGUUCUCCAUGUUUGGAAAUUUGAGGCCGGUUGCUGUUAUUUUUGUGUUAUGUUUAGUUAUUGUGCUAUAUGGUUGUAAAUAAGAGUUGACUGUACUCCGCUAGUGGUUACUAUUGAGUAAUCGGGGACCUUCACCUAAAGUAUCGAUUCUCGCGUCAAAAGGUAGUAGUUACUAUGAGUGCGUGGUCCCGUAGCAAUCAAGGUUUGUAAAAUCGGGAUCCUACGUAGGAUCGAUUUUAGUUUCACAGAAUCGGAUUGUAGAAUCGUAAGAUCCUACCAAAAGCUCCUAAUUGCAAUUAAAGGUUGCAAUUCUUUGAUAAAUUACAAAUAUACCACAAAUAUUUCAUUUACUUGCAAAAUGGAGCUUCGUAUUUCACAAAUUUACAAAAAAAUUGUAGGAUCGUACGAUCUUACGAUCCUACACGAUCCUACCGAUCCUGCUACUAGCAAUUGGAGCUGAGUAACCGGGCUCCUCCAUCUGGCAAAUGUUGGAGUUCGCGUCAAAAGGCUCUAAGGGCUAUAGACUAAAUCUUUUGUUACUCAAAAAAAAAAAAAAGAAACAAAAACAAAACAAAAAGAAAAAAAAAUAAAAUAAAGAUUGUGUUAGUAUGUGAAUAAGUCAGCUUAUCGGUUCGUGAUCUUAAUGUCGAGAUUUUGGUUAAUAGUUGGACCAUUUGAUGAUAAAUAUGAGCAACCAUUCCUUUUUCUUAGAUUAGUUUGCUUUAAAUUGGUGGAGUUGGUGGUUGGGAAGCUAACUGGGGUGAUUUUUCUUGGAUCUUAACUUGUGAAGCUUGAUAUAUGUUUUUCUGGAUAUCUUGGCAAUACGGUAGUUGGAGCAACAGCCAUUGUCAAAUUUUGGUGUUCAAUUGAUGUUCUCAUGCUUGAGAGCAAGCAUGGUUCAGGUGUGGGGGGAAUUGAUAGGGUGUUAAUUGCUGAUUAUUUUAUUAUUAAUUUCUCCUUUGUCCUUGCCAAAUAUGGUUUUAAUUAUUAAUAUUUACUUAUAUUUGCCAAUCUGGUCAGCAGCUUCCAAGUAGAGUUCGGUCGCUGAUUAAUUUGGAUGCAAUAGGUUAUCCAUACAUUCGCAGAUUUACUGUGUAGGAGUAGUACUCCUAGUUCUCCGGCAUGUAUUGAAGGUUGGGAUUUUUUCCACCUUCUUGGUUUUUUCCUUUACAAUAAAUAAAUGAUCGGGGGUUUUCCCUUUUAUUAAAAAAAAAAUAUUUGGUAUCUGGACUUAAUUUCAGGGAAUGGAGCAGAAAACUACAAAAAAUGAGGUAUUUUCUGGAGAAAAUGGAGACUUCUAAAUACUCCACAGACCUGGCCCACAUUGCUGAGAAGAACCGGACUUCCAUUCCCCUUUUUUGCUGACUAAGAGUCCUCCUACCAAGAGAAAACAUAAUACAAGGAAUUUGGCAGAGCUUUCUUUUGAGUACUUGGACUCUCAAUUUCGGCGGGGACCACGGAUAAGAAGCAUGAGUCAUUUGGACUCUUGGAAAAGAAACGUACAAAGGCUUGUGAAAUGGAAUUGGACUCUCAAUUCCGGCGGGGACCACUAGAGAUAGCAUUAGACUUUCUUUUGGUUUUAAAAAGGGAGAAACGUACAGAGGGUUGGUGGCUGAGUUUUUAGAGACAGUUUAGUUUUCUUUCUUUUCAUUAUGCAUGCGUUUUCUUUGGUUCGUAUGUACGCCAGAAGUAUUGUGACAAUCUUGUGUGGGUUCUCCUCAAUAGGGAUGAACUAAAUCCCUUCUUCUAGUCAAGAACAAUGGAGAAUUUGGUUCGACUUAAAUUGUGAGAUCUAAUCGAUUUUAGCUUUCCUAUUAUUUUCUGGUAUCCGUAUAUUUUCUUAUGGUUAUUGUAUUAUUAAAUUGUCCUGGGCUCGGAUGUUAGAUUAAUUCAAUAACCUAGAGCCAAUUAGAAUAAUUAAAUCCGUAAUUGUUUGAUUAUUCUAAAUUAGUGGUAACUGGCAUAAUCAAGAUUAUGUCAGGAAAAUAUACGGGCUAAUUAGUAGACAACCCUCGUAGCGUGUUGUCUGGUUAGAACAGGGUUUCUCUAAAUCUUAAGGCAAUUGUGAAAUUUAAUUCUAUGGUCGUACCUAGGAUUAUUUUGCAAUUAGGGUAAUAGCUAACGGUCGUACCUUAGUUAUCGAUAAUUACGGAGGAAUUGAUUGUCAUCGUUUAUUUGAUAAUUAUAACUUGUUUGUCAGUUUAUAUGUGGAAUAUUCUUGCAUCGAUGAUCAAUUAGAAGAACCAUUUCCGAAGUUGCUUCUUGACUAGAGCUGUCCAAUACUAUUUGAGUUUCUAUAGUUUGCUAUUUAAUUUCUAUUUAAUUGUAAUAAUUGAUUAGUAUAGUUCAUUGUUAAUUUUCCUAAAAUCCCCCGUUGUUAAUUUGAGCUUUAAAAGAGACAAAUAUCCUCAGUCCCUGUGGAUUCGACCCUGCUUAUCACUGUCUACAGAAAUUAUAUUUUGUUUGAGCAGGUAUUUAUUAUUGCACAGGUUUCAACAACCUGUCAUAUUUCAAAAAAUAUCUAUCAAUUUUUUGGGUAGACAUUAUAGUAUUAAUCAAUAUUAUUAUAUCAUAGUAAAAGCAUGUAUAGAAGUUUUUAAAAAUUGGUAUGGUAACUAAACACUUAGAAUGCAUCAAUUUUCUAAAGCCAAUUUUAAAGAAUAUGUAAGAAGAAUGACUUGAAUUAUUCAUACUAUAUUCACAAACAAUUAGAAAAAGAAUAAAUCUUAUACACACUGACACCAUAUAUACUAUCAUCAUUGGAUCUAUGAUACAUGUGCAAAAAUUAAAUUUUAAAUUUAAAUAUUACAUAAUUCUUAUUCAUCCAAAACUGACGAUAUAUACACUAUUAGUGUAGGAAAGGUUAAUCGAUUAGAAAAAAAUAAAAAGUGUGCUAGGCACGAGCUAAAUACUAGUAUAAUUUGAGAGGAGAUUAGGAAUUUAUAUUGACAUUGGAAUAGCUUCAAAUUUAAGGGCAAAAAGGACUCCAGGAUAACUGGAAAAACAAAAGUUUUGCGGAUCCAAAUGGAUACAUCUAAAAGACUAUGGGAUUAACUUGAAAAUGACACGAAAGUAGAUCGAGCAAAAUAAAUUUAAUCAAAUCUGAAAAUUGAAAAUUUUCCGCUUGUCUAGGUAUCCUUCAACGAACCUAUUUAACCUUUCUCAUUUCCUUGCACGCGCCCGCAAGUCAUGGUGUCAACAGAGAAAUCAGUGGACUUUGGUUGCCGACUCAUUUGAAACCAAUUUAAACUUAAAUUGAAAAUUUUGAUAAACCAAGGAAUACACUUUCGUUUAAAGUUCAAAGACCAGGAUGCUCACUUUACCUAAAUUUUAUGAGCUUCAUGGAUAGAAUCACCAUGCCAUAUAGAUGUGAUGCGUAUUCCACAAAAGAGCAUUUUAAAUUAAUUAUAGUCAAAAUAAUCCAUUUUCUUCCUAUAAUAUUGUCAAAGUGACUAAAAGUGGAACAAAAUAUCAUCCAAAUACAACACAAAAUCGUCACUUAUCACUCACCUCUACAUUUUCUCCUAAUAUUAGAAAUCAAUUCUUGAACCAAAAGAUAAUUAUCAGAAAUAGUCCGACCCUUCACAAAAUCACUCUGCUGAGGAGAAAUAAUUUGAGGUAAAAUAAUAGACAACGGCCCAACCAAGAUUCGCGAAAUAAUUUUGUUUAAAAAAUUAUACAAAUUGAUAAGUCGAAAUUGAGUAAAAUCUUGAGGAUUCAUGACCUUUGGAAUAAACACAAUAAAUGUAGAUGUUACAAAUCAUGAAAGUUUAGCCCCACAGAAAAAACUCAAAAAUGCCUUAUAAACAUCCUAAAUUAUCACCUCCCAAGCAAGAGUGAAGAACUUACUCGUAAAACCAUCCAGUCCUACCGCACUAUCACCAUCCAUAUCAAAAAUUACCUUCUUAACUUCAUCUAAAGAAGGGAUUUCUUCCAAACAACUGUUAUCAAUUUCAAAGCUCAAUUAGGGACAACAUGAAGCAACUGAAACUAUGGAAUAGGAUCAACCAAAAAUAAAUCACCAAAAAAUCUUACAGCUUGCCCUCCUAUUUCAUUGUCUUCCAUAAUCCAAAUUCUAUUUAAAUCUUUAAUCCUAUGAAUUGUUGCACGAUACCUCUGUUGCUUUACUACUGCAUGAAAAUAUCUAGAAUUAUGUUCCCCAUGUUGAAGCCAUUUAACCCUAGCUUUCUGAUACCAAAACUACUCUUCAAUAGCCAAAACAUUCUUCAAUUCAAGUUAUACCCGUUGUAACUCAAUAUGAGCAUUAUCCAAACUAUCUGCCUGUGCCCAAACUUCAACUGAAGCCACUGCUUCCUUAGCCUUCUUCACAUUAACAAAAAUAUCACCAAACAUCUUCUUAUUCCACUAUUGAAUAGCUUUAGAAACACUUCUCAACUUUACCCAUACAACAUAAAAUGGAGAGCCUGUAACAUCUAAUUGCCAAACUAUCUUAAUAACAUCCAAUAAACCAUCCUUAAAAGUCCAAACAUUGAGAAAUCUGAAUGAAUGAGGCUUAUUGUCCAGCCUAGAAGAAAAGAAAAUGAAAAGCAGAGUAUGGUCUAACGCCUCAUGAACCAAAUGUGAAACAAACAACGAGGCAGAAAAGUUCAAGCACUCGAUGUUAACCAAUAACCGAUCAAGUUUCUUCCAAUUUCUUGCAUGCCCAUACUUGUUAUUACAUCAAGUAAAAUUGGAACCAGAAAAAUCAGCAUAAAAAACACCAGCCUCACUCAUAAAAUUUGAUAAUUCCAACCCCUCAGAAGGAUGACAAGGCCGACCACCCUUCUUUUCACUCAAAGACAAAAUAAAAUUAAAAUCCCCCACAAUAUACCAUGGCUCAUUACACAGCUUGUCAUGUAACAAGGCACUCCAUAAAUUCUUCCUCUCAAAAGAUAUACACUUUGCACGAACAAAGGAGACUAAAAAAGAACAAGAAAAUUGAGGAUGACUUAACAAAAUAGACAAAUGUUGAUCCAAAUCACCUUUAACCUGACUAACAAAAGGAAAACUAAAGAAAACCUGAAAAAUUACAAACCACAUAAUCAAAAUUUAAAUGCAGUCGAAUUGAGUCAACUUCAUCCAUAAAUAAUUUAGGUUCGCAAAUCCCAACAACUGAUAGCUUAUGCAUCAAAAUUAAUAUCUUCAAUCUUCUAAAAUUUGGGGAUUUAGAAAUCUGACGAAUAUUCCAAAAAAUUGCAUUAAUCGUGAGAUAAAAAUUGAAAGGAAUUUUGAGAUUUUUUUGAUACCGACCUGAGUUCUUUAUCAGAAGGAAAUUUUGUAUGAAUAUCCUGAUUUUUUACCUGUUCAAACACAGCAAGUUGAUCAAUAUUCAAUGGAUCAAUCGAAGAAUGCGAACUUCCCUCCAUAUUGCUCUAUACAUUUUGUCACCGAGGAGAUAAACUUGCUGUAUUAGAAGACAAUCCAACCAAAAUAUCGUCGUCUAUCCCAUCUGAUUCAACAUCACCAAUGAUAGAAUUAUUAACAUCUCCCACAUCACCACCUACAAUAUUAUCAACUGCAUUGGAGUCUUCUUGAACCACACGAUCAGCAAAUCCUAAAUGAAAACAUCAGCAGCAGCUUUAAUUGCAUCAUCAGCCAUGUUAGUUAAAUUAGCAUGGGUAAAAUUCCCAUCAUGCCUAACCGAUUCCACAAAAGCCUAAAAACUGGGAAACUCUAACAAAGUUAGAUUGAUAGAUGAUCUACUUGGCACGAAAUCUGUAAUGGAGACCCGCUACGCAAGAAUAAUAAUAGCAUCUAUAGAUACAGCAUUUUUUGGAUUCAAUGACACCUCCAAUCCAUUCAAAACUUGAGUAGAACAUGCGAUGGAAGAUGGAGCAAUGAAUAACUCAUUCACCCCAAAGGUCCCAUAGGAACUGAUCCAUUUAACAUCAGAGGAUCUGAAGUAAUUAUGGUUUGCUCUAUAUCUAACGACGGAACUUCCCUAUGAGCUGCUAUAAUACCAUUUAACUGAGCCAUUUAACAUGACCUCUAGAGCAGAGACUGAAGUAACUAUGGUUUGCUCUAUAUCUAAUGAUGGAACUUCCCUAUGAGCUGCUAUAGUACCAUUAUCAUGAGAACCAUCCUUCUUAGGCCGAAAUUCCAUAAUAGGUUUUGCCUCAGCUUGUGACACUAAUUUGGGUCGAAGUUCCAAAUUUUUAACGUGACAAUCUUCUUCUUCAUGGCUUUGGCGAUUGGCAAAAUUUCAGGGUUCAAUAGUUGCCAAAAACCAUGACCCUCUCCAAGUUGAACCCAAAUGCGUGAUGGCAAAUCCUUCAACAAAUCUACCUCUACACAUAAUCUAACUACGCUAGGCCUUGAAAGUGCAGCAGCCACUAAAUUGGACGUUCCAAACAAAAGACUAUUUGAAACAAGCAUUGCUUAUCAAAUAGGUGUAUGGGAAGCUUCGGAAGACUAAACCAAAUAUGAACCAAAGUCAAUUCCUUAUCCACAUGAAAAGUUGUCAACCACUUAAACACUCGCAUAGGACAACCGAAAACAUACCAAACAUUUCUUCUCCAAAUGUACACGAAAUCAACCUCAUUAUGAAACCUAAUCAAUACAUGGUGUGCAUCAAGAAGGCCAAUGCAAAAAGAAUCCUUCAAAUCAAGGGAAUAGAAAAAUUUCCUCAUGUCCUCCAUGAGUAGCUAUUCUUAGAGAAUAUUUCAACCAGAGGAAAAUGAAAAGAAUGAGCAAUAGACUCUAAAUCAUAAUUAGAGAAAGAAAUAGCAGGUGCUUCUCGAUGAGUCAUAAAUGUCGCAUUAAGUUAAAGAUUGGAUUGGGAUGAUGUAGAUGAAGAAAAUGAUUCAAAAAAAACUUUCUUACGAAACACAGGUAACAAAGAACACGGUUCCCACUAUCACAAAAUGGCUAGGCAGCCGAAACUGCCAUGGGUUUCACUCUUGAAAUGGCUAGGGUUUCACUCUUUCUUGCUCUGCUGAUUAGUUCUAAGUCUCAUUUUUAACUAGUUAUAAAAGCAAUUCACGGAAAUAAAUAGAAAUUAAAUCAACAACAGACACGACUCUAACCCAAGGUGCAACUUUUCAGAUAUGGUUCAUACAAUUGAUCAUCAAUGCAAAAAUAAUUUAAUUAUUCAUUAAUAGAUUAGGUAUAGCCAUCAACAAAUUCUGACAACCAAUUAUUUCUCACAUUAGUCAAAAUACAACCGUUAAUUAUUUCCCUAACCAAGAAAUAACCUAGAUAUGACCGUAAGAUUUAAUUUCCUGAUUGCAUUAAAGACUAGAAAAGAUCAAUCCUAACCAACAAACACACUACGUGGAUUUGUUUAAAUUAUAUCAUAUAUUUUUCUAACAUGAAACCAAUGACACUAGUUACCACUAAUAUUAACCAAUCAAAUAAUUGUGGAUUUAACUGGUUAAUAUGCCAGUAGAUUAUUAGGUUAAUUCAAAUAUCAGACUCUUGACAUCCAAAUAACAAAAUAAUCAUAAGAAAUUAAAUCAAAAAAUGUACAAAUACCAAUGAAUUAAAAGAAACAAUUAGUAAUCAAUUUGAUCUCACAGAUAUUUGAAAUUGCGUCUUCUUGUUGACCUUUGACUAGAAAGAAAAUUAGUUGUUCAUUUAAAGAAUCUAUAUAAAGUGGGAAGAGUAUGCAACAACAUGGUCGUUCUUCAUGUGCUCCUCACGUGUGUGAUGUGAGAAUUGAGCAUCAAGUGGAAUUCCUUUUGUGUUUGGUUUUUUUCUUUAUUUUGUCUUUUUUCCUUUUUUUUCUCGGAACCAUAAAGCGAUGAUUACGUUUUUUGAAAAAUGUAUAAAAAGGAAGAAAAUUAUGAUUAUCUUUUCUUUUGUUGUAUCUUGGAACCGAAAGAGAUUAGCAUGUCUAUAUAAAAAAAAACAUAAAAAAGAGAACAUGCUCCGUUGUGACUCUUUGUUCAUAAUUUUUAAACAUUUCUCCUCUCUCCUCGAUCUCCAUCAAUCUCAAGACUUUUUCCCUUGUAUUCUUCGUUUACCCACUGGACCAAAAUAGGAAAAAACAGAUAACUAUUUGUCUCACCCAUUUCUCCUCAAUUCUCCAUUAAUGGCCGAUUCCUCUUAAAGUCUUCCUUCUCUGAAUAGGAAAAGGGAAACAAGGAUGAAGGGGCAAUGACAAGAUUCUAUCAUGCAUCAAAUUGUAAUAAAACUUAAAUACCCCGUUUACUACAAGUAUACAGAUCAUUUAUCGAGUAUAGGGGAUAUUAGGUAUCAAUCCCACAGAAAAGAUUAUCAAUUACUGAUGGUUUUCGAACUCGUUUAUUAUUUAGACUAUCACAAGUGUAAGAAGUUAAAUCUACACUACAAACAUGAAAUAAAAGUAAUAAAAAUAUUAGAAAGCUUCUAAGGUUAUGGAAUUCCUUACUACUCUUGCAAAUGAAACUACCGAUUAAUUGAAUGUUAUUAUCUUGGCUAGUUAUGGCGUAAUUUUCUAAUGUAUGUGAAACCUACUCUCACAGUGAAUCAACAAUACUUGUAAUUCAUCUAUACCUACUAUUAUGGUUAUGAAAUUAACUACAAGGUCAUUUCUUCUAUGAAAUUACAUGGAACAAGCUACUAUAACCACAAAGGCGCACCUCUACUUUUGUGAGUGAACUCCCUAAGUUUAGCAUUUCUUUGAACUAGUGUCAAAUUCCAAUUCUUAUUAUAAACUUAACAUCUUAAGAUUAUCACAAUUAAUGACAGGUUAAUCAUGAUUAGAAAAGCAAAAGUGAUAAACAACUUGCUCAAAAUAAUAUCAUAAAAUAACCAAAUAAACAUCACAAACAAGUUAUAGAAAGUUCAUCCAUAACUCUAGGCAUAAAUUUUAGCAAAACAUGAUAAAAUUUAAACUUGUAUUAUAACUAAAUAUGAAAUAAAAUUCAAAAGAAAAAAUUAUAGGAGAGAGGUUACCUUUGUCACAUGAGUUCCAAUUCUCUAUCUUGUUCCUUAAUUCUUCAUCCAAAUCUAACUACAAGUAUAAAAUGGAUAAACUAUACUAACUAUACUAUACUAAUGAACUAAACUAAUGAACUGAGAAAAACUAGUGAAGACUAUAUUUUGAUAGUAUCUCUAGUCUUACAAAGUUAUGAAACAAGCUCAACAAAGGCCCUAUUUGUAAAGAAUUAAAGUUCAAAGUGAGUUGUUUUUAGUUGGCAAUUUUGUCUCUUGAAAUUCCCAAAAGUUGCUUCUACAAGUUUCCACACUUUUUUUUACAGCUACAGCCAAAAUUCUAAACUGGAGAUAAGCUGGGAAAGCUGUGUGAAUGCAGAACAAGUUGAUGUGCAAAUUGCAAGUUCAAUUGAAGAAUACGUAGGCAUGCCCCUGUUUUGCCUUAUUACAGGUUUCCUCAUUUUUUAUCAGUUUUCAACUUUACUUUAUUUUUGCAUCAAGUUCCACUGCUAUUUUCUCAAUGAUGGAGGAUGAACUAGAUCUUGUGUUAUCUUUCCACUGCCUCAAGAAUCACCCAAUAUGGAGCUUUGUAAACUAAGAAAUGACCAAACUACCCUUGACUGUUCAAAGUUUUGUUUUAGCUUUCGACAACAGAAAUGACCAAUUGUUUUUUGACUUUUUGAUUGGGAAAAAUCAUGAAUUGAAUUUCGAUGUCUCAUAAGAAAUGUAGAGAUAUAUAUUAGCUUCAAAAUAGCUCAAGAAUCACCUCAAUCUGUUACUUGUAGCUCAAUAUAUAGCCAAAAUACCAAUAGGUGUCAAAACUAUCAAACUCCUCUUCUUUUAUACUUGAUUGCAUUUUAUCUAUUGAUCAUUUUGCACUUCAUAUUCUCUUUAAAUCACUUAAAAUCAUCAACAAUCAUCCAAUUAUCUUCUCAAUUCAUUCCAAUUGAUGAUUGAAUCAUUAAAAUCUACAAAAACAUGAAAUUUUCACUACUUUAAACACAUAGAUAUGCAAUUUUUCAUACUUAAACCACAAAAUGUAAACUUUACUAAAAACCUAGUUAAUUAGUUAUAAAAAUAAGUAAAACAAACCAAAACUAAAUAAUAAAACACAUUUAAAUCACUCAAACGUAUACUUAUCCGGUAAGAUGUUUGAUUUAUCUCAAUCAUUUGAAUAAUUUCUUUUCAAAUAUAAUCAUGAAUAACUUUUACCCUCUUGCCUAGGUUUAAUGUCUUUUUUUCGUUUUUUGUUAGUGAUUUUUUCCUCUUUUCUUUUGGUUUGGUCUCUCUAACCACAAGAGCAAGAACCUUCAUUCCUGUGCUAAGAUUUGGAAUAAUCUGAUAUAGGUACCUAUCAUAUAUCUAGAAUUUUUGACCUUCAAAAUUAAUUUCGUUGAUAGAUUUCGUCUUUUGUGGGUUUGUGCGAUUUUAUUUUAAGAAAUAUGUAUUUAGUUAUUGUGCAUUUAAAAUUUGCAAUUUAGGUUAGAGAAUUUAUUAAAAGGUAAGCUUUGUAUGCCUUUAUUUCUUGUUUUAUUACCUAUUUUGCUUCUAUUUUCCCUUGGCUGAGACAAUUCAAACCAUUAAUGAAAAAUUCUAGAAAGCCUGAAAGAAAAAAAAAGGAAAAAAUUAGAAAGUUUCUUCACACGUGAGUUUUCUACUACUUUUAAUUUCUAAUGGUGAAAUUGAAGAUGAGCACAUAAUUUUAUUAUUUAAUAGGUGAAGGAGAAAGGAAAUAGUGUACUUUUGUUUUUCCUUUCCAUUUAUCAAAAACUAGCUUUUUAUGCCCUAAAUCCUAAAUCCCUUGCAAUAUGUUUUAUAUGUCGUUUUUUCCUCUAAUAUCUCCUUGGCUUGUAGCGUCUUAGACCAUUAUUGACAAAUUUCAGAUAAUUUAUUCUAAAAUGAAUUGCUAUCCUACUCUCAAAUUUCAAUAGUGGAAUUCAAGUUUAAAAGAUAAUACCUUUACCCUUCAACCAAUAUUUUUUCUUGAGCAAGGAUAACAAAGAUGUAAAUGUCUGACUGUUGGAGCUCCUGUUUUCUUGGCACUUGUUUUUUCUUUUUUUCCUUUUAGAUUGAUUAUUAGUUUGUUUUUCCAGUAAUGCAAGUAUACAUUUGAAGAUUUUGUUAUGGAUCGCUAACACUCCUCCAUGGAUGAAUGGUAGGUUUUAUGGAGUUGAAAAGUAUGUUGUUAUAUAUUUCCUUUUGAUUGAUGAAGAAAAUAGUUAGCUAUUUUUUCUUUAAAUUUGAGGGAUUUCUGGUGAAGAAUUUCAUGUUGUGCUUUUAAAGCUAUAAAUGUUGGCUCUUGUGCAAUCUAACAGAACGUUACUCUGUUCUUUGAGUUUGUUCUUGAAUCUGCUAAGUAUUUAAUGCAUUUUAGUUGGUUUUACUCCUUAGCUCCUUCGAUUGAUCAAGAUACAAUGGUCACCUGCGAAAAGACUAUCUAAGUAAGAAUUGUCAUCUGAUUUUAAGUUUUUCCCCCCUCUAUUCUACUCUGGACUCUUCAACUGAUUUGAUUUUUUGUUUUUCUUCUUUUUUGUGGGUUCCUGCUAUGCAGGUUUGUGGACAACUCUUGACCCACAAAAGGCUUUGUGAGAUGUCUCAUUUUUCUUACCGACUCUAAAUUAUGUAUCGUUAACUGGAAAUGGAUCAAAUUGCUAUAUCAUUAUUAUAUUUCUCUUUUAUUUUGUAGUUACUAUCUAAAAAUUUUCUUAAUUCAUUAUUAUAUUUUGUAGUCACUUUUGUUUUUGAAACUUUUUUUCAAUUAGCUUACUUAUCUUAGUUGGACUCCUUUUUGCUGAAAAUAUGAACCUGAGGCGAUAGUUAUUUUGCUAGUUGCUUUAAGAUUUUAAUUGGUUUACUCAUAAAAGCUACAAAUUGAACAGCAACAAAUAUAUCUACACUUUCUUCGUGGGUUGCCUCAAUGGACUUGAUUAUUCACAUAUACUAUGGAAAAUUCUAUGUAAAAAACUCCAUAGUGAAAUAAGAUUUUUCUUAUCUUUCACCUUUUUGUUUGCUUUAACAAAAUAUGAAGAAAAUUCAUUAUGCAGUUUAUUUUCCAUGUUCUUUUAACUUCAACAUGCUGAUAUUUUUUCCUGCCUAUAAGUUGACAUGUAAUUGAUCUUUUGGAGGAAAUCAUCUGAUGAAAACAGAGAGAUGUUAUCUUGAGAAUUAGCAAUCAGCAGUUGCUUUGAGAUACGUAUGUUUUUUAAACCAAUCACAACUACUUCUCCUCUCUUCAGUAUUUAUGUAAUUAGUAUUUUUAUCUUUUGGGAUUUCGGCUACAUCUAUCCAAAUAAAAAUGUGAAGUUUCAUUAAAUCGCCAAAUUGAGAUAUGUAACUACUUCAGGAUACAUGUCAUUUGGGUCAAUUUAGGUAGUGAUGAACUACCAUAUAUUGAUUUUGCUGUCAUUUGGGUAGAUUUUGGUACGUCACUUACCCUAUUACAUUGGGAUUUGAAUAUGUUGCCUCCACUAGAUCAUUAUGGCUUUUGAUACUUCUUUUACAGCAAAAAGGAAAUUGUGUAUUCAAAAAUAGGAAGGAAGGGAAAAGUUAAGAGAAAUUGACUAGGUAUUGACUUUAUUAGUAGAAAAAUUUGAGUUUUAGUUAAGGUGAUUCUCAAUAUGUUUUUCCCAAUAACUACAAAUUUUUUUGUACCGGCAAUGUUCUAACCCAAUUGUAGAUGUUUCCAACUCAAUUUCAAGCCAUCUAAUUAAACAUCAGUAUAGCCUAAUUACUAUGAGAGAAGGCUACAAGACAUGGAUCAUUAAAUUUGAUUGACAAUGGUUUGGAGAAGGAUGGCAACAAUUCCGUCGCAUCAACAUCCUCAACGAAAAUGGUGCUUUCUUGCUUCGUCAUUUUGGAAGUUUGAUUUUUGACAUGAUCCACUUUUCAACAGGACAAGAAACAAGGAUACAUGCCAUGGACAUAUCCACUACCUAAUGUUUUACAUCCAAAACCAUCUUUUGAUUUAGAAAGUUAGCCUUACUAUUUUCGUUUUAUUUAAUUCAUUUCUUUUUCUUAAAAACCUUCUUUACCUUAGACAUAUACAAUCUACUUUCCAGUGAAUAGGAAAUCAAGAAUAAUACAGCAACGAGUAUCAUCAUCAAUGAAACUAGAUUUUGUACAAAGCUUAGCUGGAGGUGUGUGCUUCUAAGAAACAACUGCUAUAGCUUUGAACGUUUUGUAUGUAUUUUUUUCACUUUUGACCAUUCAUUUUCCGCAACAAUCUUGACUUUACCUGAUGUAACAUUAGGAAGUUCCAAGGUUUGUCACUCAUUUCUUGCAUGGUGACAAGACACGGUCGAUUGCUUUGAGAACUGGAAACAGAACAAUAACAGUUACAAUGCAUGGAAGGCAGUUUGCAGAUAAUUGGAAUGUUUGUAGCUAAACCCCAAUUGUAGUUUGAAGAAAUAUUGGUCUUUGUUCCUGAAUCAAGCUCCACCUACAUUGUCCUAAUAUUUGAUAACUAUGGUGUAGGAAAGCCAUUCUCAUGGUAUAAUAGUUUUUAUAUGUACUCUAUCAUGGAAAAUGACUGGACCUAGAUGUAUCUGAGAAAGGAUCUUCAUUGGACUAUGUUUCUUUCUUCAAUGUUUAAUAUGAAAACUGUUUUUGUUGCUGUGUUGUCUCAUUCUCCAUAGGUACUUUUUCUUUACAAUGUUAAACUAAGAAAAUGAAAUGCUUCCUUAAUCAAAGAUCACCUAUAGUGCACAGACACUUAUAAAUGGAAUACACAGUAAAGAAAUAGCUUAUUCUUCUAUUCCAAUGUCUUUGUAGCAACUACUAAAGAACAAUCAAAGUAAACAUGACACAUUAGAAAAUAAGAGUAUAUUCUUAGUAUAUUUCACUUUGAGGACUUUAUGCCUACAUUUCCUUUAUAUUUGGUAAGACCUACUAAAAAACUUCUAAACAAACUAAAUACUGUUUCUAUACAAGAAAUUUAUUCUCAGGCAAAUGUUGAAACACUUAUUCAAUAAAAAAAAUUUUUGCAGUAUAAUUCACUAUCUUUAAAUCUGGGCAUAUCUAUAAUUUACCAUCAUGCCCGAGCACAGUGAUCCUCUCCUAGUCAUUGAUAUGACCCAAGCAAAAGUAUGGAGAAUUGCAAGGGACAUGCGGCUUCUGGAAAAGAACAAAAGUAAGUUGUCCUCUUUUUCCAAGGAAAAGAUACAAUGCAAAUUGUUUCUUGCUUCCAAGUAAUAAGAGCCAAUAACCAGUCUAACUUGUUCCUAACUAAUCUCCUAAUUUAUAGCUAUUGAGAUAAAAUAUACUUCCUAAUUGGAAAAGAAAAUCUUUAAGAGAUAAUGUCUAUUAUUUCUUAAUUGAAUACUCUAUUUAAUAAGGGAAGAAAUCCAUCCAAUCUUUAGCAAAGAGUCCGUUCGGAAUUCGAUUUGAAUUAGGAAACUUCUAUGCGCAAGAAGAUCCAGAGCAUUCCAAUUGAAUUAGCAAACUUCUAUGUGCAAGAAGAUCCCGAGCUUUCCAGACUUGACAGCAAGAAUUAGACGCACCCUCACCAAACUGUGCACAGGUUUUCUGAAAAAUCUCCCUUUAACCUCUUUUUGCUCCACAACCCCUACAAUUAACAUGCUUUACCAAAUAUGAUAGAAUCUAUCUAUUAAUACAAUAUUUGGUCAAAAAUUGAGGGGAAAAUAUCCACAAAUUUAUUAACAAAAUGCAUCCUAUCAAUAAUUGUGAAAUCCAACCCCUAUGAAUUUGGGAUUCAAUUCUAAUUACGUGAUAAACAUAGUAGCCAAACAGCUAUACUGGAAUUGGGGCUCCAAUUUAUAUUUUGUAACUCCAAUUUCAUAGAACCAAGCACACUCAAAAAAUAAACUACAAUAAAAUAGAAACUUACUCGUAGAAUUGAAAAAAUCAAUAAAAGAUAUCUAGAUAUGAAAAAAACCAAUAAAAGAUUUCUAGAUAACAUAUUCUUUUAAAAAAAGAUUUGAUAUUUUUUUAUUAUUUGUAUAGCUUAAUAGUUUCAAACAAUAUAAAAAUACCUUAGUUGUCAAUUAUCCGGAUGCUUUCUUCAAGUUUUCCAUUGUCUCUCGGAUGCUUUCUUCAAGUUUUCCAUUGUCUUCGAGAGACAAUGAGAACCGCUACAUUUGAAGUUGCUGAUGUACUCUUCCAAGUUGGGGUUUAGGCCGCUUCUAUGCUAACUUUUACAUCUGAAGUUGAAUUGCCUAGAGCUGCUACAGGUGAAGUUAGACGUGACAGAUCAUGGUUGCUUGCUUUCCGCAAAUGCAAUAGUUAAUUUUGUGAUUUUUUUCUUUUCUUGUUCUUUUAAAAUAUUCAUGUACUUUGGAGGUCAGGUUAAUGCCCUCUCCUUUUGUAACUUUUGUUAUAUUUAAUAAAAUUUUAGUUAGCAUCCCACCCCAUGUACGAGGUUUGCUAACCAAAAAAAAAAAAAGGGAAUUUCGCCAAUUUGGUCCCUAAACAUUUUCACUUAAAUCAAUUUCGUCCUUCAUUAAAUAUUUUAAUCAAUUUAGUCCCUGAACUAGUUUUUUACUUUCAAUGUAGGACUUUUUACUACAUUUUACUCAAUUCGCGUGGACCAAAGGGGUAUAAUUGUCACACUGGCUUAAUCUGCUGCAAUUAUCCACUGAAACGGAUUAGAUGUCAUUAUCCCGCCCAUGCGAUUAUCUAAAUGCCCAACUUGAGCAAGCAUGUCUAUAACACAACCAUAAUGCUGCAUUUUAGGUCUGAUCUUAUACUUAUUCUUCAUAGUUCUGAAGCAAGCCAAGCCUUCACUCACCAUAUGCCCAUUCCUAUAAGUCGAUAAAAGUGCAGUCAAUGUCCUCUCAUCUGGCUUUAUCUCAAGACCCUUCAUCUUAUCAAACAAGUCCAUAGCCUCUUUACAUUGCCCAUGAAUGGCAAGGCCAGCAAUCAUUGCAGUCCAUGUAACAACAUCUUUGCUCACUAUUUCAGAAAAUACCUCCUUUGCACCAUCUAUGCACCCACAUUUCGCAUAUAUGUCUAUGAGAGCCGUGCUAACUUUACCAUUCAAACUAAUAAGCUUCUUCUCCUUAACCAAAUCAUGAACUUUUCUACCCAUACUAAGAGCACCAGUAUCAGCACAAGCUCUAAGAACCGAAACAACCGUUGCUUCAUUAAAUUCAACGUCAUUUUCCAACAUGUGCUCAAACAAAGCUAUAGCUUUAACGGGUUUAUCAUUAUCCACAAGCCCAUCGAUUAUAGAAGUCCAAGACACCACAUCUCUCUCGAGCAUUUUAUCAAACAUCGUGAACGCAAGGUCCGAAACACCACCAGCGGUCCGGAACACCACCAGCUGAAUACAUAUGAAUCAAUGCAUUGCUUAUAUGCAUAUCCGGCCCAAAACCCAACUUCCAGACUAGUCCGUGGAGUUGUUCUCCAAGAGGGAUUUGACAUAAUUUGGAGCAAGCUUUGAGGACAAAGGGAAAAGUGAACUUCCAACGAUAAUCGCAUGGGCGGGAUAAUGAUAUCUAAUCCAUUUUGGUGGAUAAUUGCAGCAGAUUAAGCUAGUAUGACAAUUAUACCCCUUUGGUCCACGCGAAUUGAGUAAAAUGUAGUAAAAAGUCCUACAUUGAAAGUAAAAAACUAGCUCAGGGACUAAAUUGGUUAAAAUAUUUAAUAAAGGACGAAAUUGAUUUAAGUGAAAAUGUUUAGGGACCAAAUUGGCGAAAUUCCCAAAAAAACAUAGUUGAUAAUGCCUUAAUGGCAUAUAUUUAUAUUAGUAGAAAAUUUAUUGAGUAUAUUCUUAUCCUUAUACUUACUCUAAAACAAGAAUAGCUAAGGAGAAACAUGAAUCAAGAAAGUGAUAAAAAUUCUUUUUUCAUGCUAGUUGAGUUCAAUGCUAUUGGUGUCGGGUUUUAAAUUCCACUAUAUUAUUAGCUGGUCGAGUUUAUUGAGUUGGACAAGAAAUAUUGGAUGAAUUUAUUUAAUGCUAUUGGGGUUCGAUUUGACAAUAGUUUUGUAUAGUUCAAUGAGUUUAUUGAGUUAGAUAUAAAAUGUUGGAUGAUUUUAUAGAUCUAAAGAUUUUUUUCUCUUUAUAAGAAUCUCACAAACUCUAGAUAAGUGACAUCUUAUAAUUUACUAAAAGUAAAUGAAAGAUUUUUGUGGACUUACUAUCUUACUUGAUUUUGACAUCAAAACUGCAUAGAUUUUAUUUUAAAAUAAAUUUCAAUAGACUUUAAUUCUUUACAUGUACAAAUACACCUUAAAGAUAAAGAGUAAAACUUCACGAGUCACAUAACAAACUAUAGUAAAGAUAAAUGCCAAUGUUUCUUAUGACAUUAAGAAAAAAAUAAUGAAAAUUCAAUUAAUUAAAUAUGUAUUAAAUAAUAUAUUGUGAUAAAGUAGAAUAAAAUAAGGGUGGAGGAUUGGGUUGGAUGGUAAGAUGGAAGGCGUUGUAGGUAAGAGGUCUUUGAUUCAAAUCCUCCCACUCACCAAAAGAAAAAAAAGUAGAAUAAAAUAAUUCACAAAGUUGAAGAUUUGAGAUGGAUUAUAUUUAAUUUCCUAUUAACUUGUGAGAGGUUGGUUUUUUUCCGUGUAUAUUGGGUAUUCAAAAUUACUGUCCCUUGCAUGGUAACAUUUAAAGUAAUUUCUGUUAUGGAAAUUCAAUUCAAAACAAAACAAGUCUUAAUCUGCAUGGUAAGUCUUCUAUUUUUGUUCAGAAGUUCCUAAAUCAUGUAAUAUGCAUGCAUUAUCACUACGAGAAAACCAUCACACGGCUCCACUUGUUCUAAUUGUACUUCACAAAUAACUAAUAAAUUCAAGGAAAUAAAAAAGUAGUGCACCAUGCAGUUAAAAAUCACUAAUUAACAAGUGAACCAUGUUAUAUUACAAAAAUGUGAGUUAUGAUAGCUUAGUUGUAAUUUUAGUUUGCACUCCUAAACUCAGUAUCUUUUCCCCUUUGCACCCUAGAUACCAAAUUCGAACAUUUUGACUCAUUUAACAGCCACGUUGAGAAAAUUGACAAUUUUUAUACGUAUGAAACAAAAUAUCAGUUAAUAAGUCAAAAUUGACUUUGCACCCUGAUGCGACAGCCAAAAACCAGAUCCGAGCUGAACUGUUGCGAGCCGAGCUGGUCAGGCGCAGCCGAGCUGGUCAGGCGCAGCCGACCUGAGAGGGUGAACCGAGUUGAGAGUCCUGUAAAGAAAGGAAGAUGGUUGGACUGGCGUCCCCGGAAUAACUCCGACGGUCAAGUCAGUAAAGCUUGUCCACAGAGUAAUAGUUUAGAGUACUGGUCGACACGUACCUUGUGUGGUCUUAUGGCGUUGCUUAUAUAGGGCCGAAUGGGUUGUAGUUUCCUUGUGGGAGUCAAAGUCCUCUUAGGGUUCGGAGUCGUUUUAGGGCUUCGCAUGACGGCUCCUGAAAGUUCAGAGGCGGCGGCCCACAAGGCCCAACACAGGGGCCAUUGACACAGCCGAGCUGGCUCCCUCCGGCCGAGCUGGCAUGUGCGAGAGGCGUAGUCCCUAACGCCGAACUGAUGUGUGUAAUAUACCGAGCUGACACAUGUCACGUGUGGAUUUGCCCUACUACACUAGCUCCCCUUGAGUCUAGAGUCACCGAGGAGUCGCAUGAGUCUAGACCAAAUUACGAAGCGUCAGGUCGACCUAGUGCGGGGCCCAUGAUCCCACGAUCGCGCACCUUGUUCGAAUAACCGCCACGUAUACCGUCACAACCGUCACCUCAAAGGUCACGUCCUCCCAUGAUGGCGGUUGUCAGCUCAAACAUUUUCCAAGGUAACCGUCCCUUUGCAAUAAAUUCGAAUUUUCAACUCGGGGCUCUUCAACUUCCCGCCCAGGAGGCCUAUAAAUAGGUCCUACCAAAUGUCACUUUCAAGCUUCCAUUCUCAUUCUCUCCUUUCCCCAAUCUUCUUCAGCUCGCUCCUCGCCUAGUGAGUCCACCUGAGAGUUGCGUUAAUCAUCUACCAGCUCUUCCCUAUCAUCCGCUAGUAAGUCUUCUUUCCCUUUUAUGUCUUCCUCUUCCACACACUCAGACCUUACUAGCUCGGCACCUAGGCGUAGAGUAACCCGACUUGCACUCAUAGAGAUACUCUCUUCUAGCUCUUCUUCUUCCAGUUCGUCCGGGUCUGAGUACCUUCCUUCUCCAGUCCCUUCUCCAGUUUUAACCAUGGACCAGCCCGGUCAAUCUGCCCAGCCUGAGGUUGGAGCUGCUGGCCCAAAGAUCCCUCUAGAGGCAAUUCCAGCUCGCGCUAGGGCUGGACCCCCUAGGGGGCCCGAUAUCGACUUUGGGGAAGUCGAAAUAAUUCCCCCCAUCCUUGACCAGGGGGAUGUGGACGAGUUGGUGGGAAGGUACUAUAUUCCUCCCCAGUUCGAGGCUAGGGCAGCCCAGCCGGGGGAGUUCGCGUGCCGACCUCCUUCCGAGUUCUUAGCUAUCUACACGGAUCAGCUCGUGGCUGGUCUCCGCCUUCCCAUCCCCCAAUUUCUUUAUGACAUUCUGACCUUCUGGGGUAUCCGAAUUACCCAACUCGUUCCCAAUGCCAUUCGGUCGAUCCUCGGCUUCUUCAUUUUGUGCCGAGCUCUCGAAAUUCCUUAUUCUUUGGACCUGUUUAGGUCAUUUUUUCAAAUGAAAGUGAGCGGCCCGGUUCACGGCUGGUUCUACUUCGCUCGCAGGAGCGGAGGGGAGCUCCCCACCCGCGAGCUAUUCACGCAAAUGCCUUCCUCCAUCAAAGGCUGGAAGGCACAAUUCUUUUUUGUGAAGAACAUUGGGUUUCCUCCCCUGACCUGGAGGGAGGAGACCCAGGUUUCUGAUCCAAUUCUCUCACCUUUGCCUGAAGCCGAGCUGGACCGCCUGGUCAGCUCGGAAGCCCGGCUGAAGGUAAAAGAGUUUAACAAUGCACAGCUCUGGUCGGCAGGGCUGAUUCGAGCAGAGGUGAAUGACCCUGCCCCCGAUCUCCGACCUCUUCUCCCAGAGAAGCUGACAGCUUGUAACUUCUGGGCCUCAUUUCUUCCUUCUUUUUAAUGAGUUUGGUCACAUUGCCCUAGCUGACCCACUCUUUUUCCUCUGCAGUGAAGAGAUUCUCCUAGCUUUUGAACAUUGGAGGAUCCGGUAGUACUAGCACGCCUACUCCCGCUCUAUCCACGGCCCCCAGCAGCGCGGCUCCUCCUCCUCCGCCAGCGCCCAAUCCACAGAUCGCAGCUCAGUCGUCGCCUGGAGAGGAGCCAAAGAAGAAAAGGAAGAAGACGGCGGCCAAAAGGGUUAGGACCGAGGCGACUUCCCCUCAAUCCCAGGAGGAACCCUUAAUAGCUCUUGCAUUCCACUACGGAGUGAACUCCGCCGAGCAGCAGGUCUCGUCCGAGUCGCCUUCAGCCAUGUGGCGUAUGAGGAACGUGAUUCCUCUGAAGCCUCCUACCGACCAGAGCUCGCACCCGCACCCCCAACAUUUCUGCCCAAAGUGGGGGCUGUCGGUGAAUAACCGAGCUCAAUUUCCUGAAGCUGCCCGGGAGCUCGUCCAGGGCGCAGUGCUCCCACGCGAUCAUCACUUCAUCCAACUCGCCUCCAACUCCGAGCUGCUGGAGCAUUUUUACCUCAGCACAGCCCAGGUGAUUCCUUAACUUAGUGCCUCCCUGACAUCCCCUUUAAUUUGCUGAUUUCUUAUCCUGUAUUCGAUCUACAGCUCAAUGUCGCUGGGGCCGAGCUGGCGCAGCGGUACAAAAACAUGGGGGUCAACCUAUCUCAGGUCGACGCCGCCAAGGAAAGGCUAUCAAGCCAGCUCGAAGCCGCGGAGGCCGAGUUAGAGUCCCUGAAGAAACAAUUUGCGGAUGCCCAAUCCUCCUGCGAGUUGGAAAAGAAGAAGGCAGCCGAGCUGGCCGUGACUCUGGAGGCCGAGCAGAAAAGAUCUACCGAGCUGAUAGAAACGGCGAGGGCGGAAAGGCGUCAGCUAGGCGUUCAAGAGUUUAAGAAGUCCGAAGGUUUCAUGAACGACCUGGCCAUCCUGAAUGGCCCCGUCCUGCAGCUCGGUUACACCAAAGCCAUGGCGGAUGUUCAGUCCUUGAACUUGCCGGGUUUUGACCUGAGCAAAUGGCCUGAUUACAACCCCCAAACCGUCCAUCAAAUUGACAGACUUAUCGCGGGCUACACCAAUGGGCGCGACCUGGCUGCCUUGGUCGCCGACCCUACUCUUCCCGCAACCUCUCCCGAGCCAGAGCAAGAACAGCAAGGGGAGAGUUAGACGGAUAGUACAUAGGAUAGGCCUAUAGGAAUUAGGCUAGGGUAGGGACCGAGUUGGUCAACUCGCUUUUGUAUGGCCCUCCGCAUAUAUGCCUUUUUUGAAAUGGAAUAGAUGGCCUUCUUUCUUAUCCAACACUUGUAAAAAUUUUCUAUUAUUUAAAAGUUUUGAAUACAUUAUAAGCCCAAGUGCUGAACUAAUAAAAUGAAAAACAGACCUGUCCAGCUGACCAUUUUCAGGUCGGGCAGGAUACUAAAGAAAAAGUCUUAAAUUUGAGUUGUGCCAGGUGCGCGGGACUUCGCCUCCAUCCAGGCGAGUUAGUUUACAAUAACCUGCCCGGUCAGCUUCCCUUACCACGUAGGGACCUUCCCAAUUUGGGUCUAACUUACUCGCGCCCACAGCUCGGCUCACAGAGUUCUUGCGUAAUAUCAGGUCCCCUGGCUUGAAAGAAAGGUGUCUUACCCUGGCAUUGUAGUAGCGUGCGACCUGUCCCUUAUACUUAGCCAUUCUUAUAGCCGCCUCUUCCCUUCGAUGCUCGAGCAGGUCCAAACUAAGCCGUAUCUCCUCCUCAUUAUUCUGAGCCACAAAGUGUUGCACCCUACCCGAGGGUACUCCAAUUUCUGCUGAGAUUACUGCUUCGACCCCAUAUGUCAGGACGAACGGGGUCUCUUGGGUGGCCGUCCGAGGCGUUGUCCGGUAAGCCCAUAGUAUAGUAGGCAACUCCUCCAGCCAAUUAGUUCGGGCAGACUCUAUUCUUGUCUUCAGGCCGUGCAGGAUGGUUCUGUUAACAUUCUCGACCUGCCCAUUGGUUUGGGGGUGCCCCACUGAAGUGAAGUGCUGCUGGAUGCCGAGCUCCGUGCACCAUUCCUGGAGAGAGUGGUCAGCGAACUGCCUGCCGUUGUCCGAGACGAGAGCCUUUGGUAUGCCAAAUCGGUAGACUAUGCUUUUCCAAAGGAAUUUCUGGAUCGACCUGCUACUAAUUGUGUUGAGGGGCUCGGCCUCUACCCAUUUAGUGAAGUAAUCAAUGGCUACCACCAAAUGUUCGUAGCCACCUGGAGCUCGGGGAAAUGGCCCCAACAGGUCAAUCCCCCAUUGAAAGAAUGAUCACGGGCUAAUGAGAGGAAUCAUUUCCUGAGUGGGGGUGUGAUGGAUUGGGGCGUGUAGCUGGCAAGACUUACACCGAGCUAUCAGUUCGGCCGAGUCCCUGAAGAUGGUGGGCCAAUAGUAUCCAGCCAGCAUUUCCUUCUUGGCCAAUACUCUUGGACCAACGUGAUUGCCGCAGAUGCUUUCAUGCAACUCGCGCAAGACAUAGCUCCCUUCCUCGGGCGUUACACACUUCAACCAGGGCUGCAUGUAGGAUUUCCUGUAUAGGACUUCAUGCGUGAGCACGUACUUUUGCGACUUAAGGAGGACUUUGCGGGCCUCUACCCUGCUCGGUGGGAGCUCCCCUUGAGCCAGGUACUGGACAAUGGGAUCCAUCCACGAGCUCACCACCUGAAUAACCGCAGUGUUGAACGGUUCAUGGGCCCGACUUCUGACGACCUCCACCAGUAUUUCCCGACUUAAGAUGCCAACCGAGGUAGAGGCCAGUUUAGACAGGGCGUCAACUCUCUUGUUCUGGCUUCGCGGAAUCUGCUCAAGCGCGAACUGCUCGAACAGGCCCUUCAGCUCGCGUGUCUUGACCACGUACCUUCUUAGCGUCCCCUCUUUGACCUCGUAGCUUCCCCAUACCUGGUUUACUAUCAGCUGCGAGUCGUUAUAGACUUUUAUCGAUCUAGCCCCUAACUUUCGGGCCAUCUCCAUUCUUGCAAUCAGAGUCUCGUACUCUGAUUCAUUGUUAGAAGCUCUAAAAUCGAACCUCAGAGCCUAGGGCAGCUCCUCCCCCAGUAGGGCUGAUUAGGAGGAGCCCGGCCCCAUAUCAUUCCUUACUUGACGCGCCGUCCACGUACAACGUUCAGGUGGGAUCAGCUCGUCCCGCAGCCUCAGUAACCUUCCCGGCCUGAGCCGUCUCUCUGGCCAGUUCAGCUUUGACUGCAUUUCCAGAAUGCUCGGCCUUGGCAGCGUUUAAUGCCUGUCCCACCUCCGCUGCCUCUCCGGUCUGUCCCACCUCGGUAGUUUCCUGGGUUUGUUUGGUCUUAGCUGCUUCUCCAGCCUGUCCGCCCUCGGCAGCUUCUUUGGCCUGCUCGACCUCAGCUGCCUCUUUGGACGGUCCGACCUCCGCUACUUGGAUGGCCUGGGUGACCUCGGCAGCGUCUCCAGCUUGAAAGACCUCUGCUGCUUCUCGGGGCUGGGUGGCCUUGGUAGUUUUUGGGGUCUAUAAGGUUUUGGCUACUUGUCCGGUGUGCGCAUCUUCCGGUGUGCGCAUCUUUAACAAUUUCUCCAUCCUUCCUGGCCUGUAUAUCCCUGGCCUGAUCGACCUCCGCUUCGGGCGAUCCAAAGGAAACGUCAUCCGCUAUGAAAUCCGCCAAUGUUUGGGCUUUGAUGGCCUUCCGGGGCUGAUAUCCCAGGUCGUAUUCUGACAAUUCUACAGCCCACUUCACCAUUCGACCCGAGGACUCGGGUUUGGAAAGGAUCUGCUUCAGGGGCUGGUCCGUCAUGACCACUACGGGGUGAGUUUGGAAGUACGUCCUGAGCUUCCGAGCUGCAUGUACUAAUGCCAAAACAUAUCGUUCUACCGCCGAGUACCUUGCCUCGGCCCCCUGCAGGGCGUGGCUGACAUAAUACACGGGUUUCUGCACUUUGUUUUCCUCUCGCACUAGCACUGCGCUAAUGGCCCCCUCUCCCGCAGUUAAAUAGAUGAACAGGGUCUCCCCGAACUCGGGAGAGGUCAGGGCUGGCAACCGAGCGAGGUGGGCCUUCAGUUCAUCGAACGUCUUCUGGCACUCCGGGCUCCACUCGAACUGCCGACCUCCUUUCAGGGCCUUGAAGAAAGGUGACCACCGAACUGCCGAUUUGGACAGGAACCUGUUCAAGACUGCCAUCCUCCCUGUUAGACGUUGCACCUCCUUAAUAUUCCGGGGUAGAGCCAUGUCCAUGAUAGCCUUGAUCUUGUCUGGGUUAGCUCUCACCUCUUCUUUAGAAAUCAUGUAGCCCAGGAAUUUUUCCGACCUGACCCCAAAGGUACACUUCUUUGGGUUUAGCCGCAUUCGUGAGCUCCGAAGAACCUCAAAAAUUUCUCUCAGGUCAGAGAUGAACUUCUCUUGAGUUCGACUUUUCACUAACAUAUCGUCCACAUAGACCUCCAGGUUUCGGCCGAUCUGAUUCUUGAACAACUUGUUUACCAACCUCUGAUAGGUCGCGCCUGCAUUCUUUAGUCCGAAUGGCAUAGUGACGUAACAAUAUGUGCCGUCCUCGGUGAUAAACGAGGUCUUCUCCUGAUUCUCCUCGUCCAAGGCUAUCUGAUGGUACCCCUUGAAGGCAUCCAAGAAACAGAAAAUCUCAUAACCAGCUGUUGAGUCCACGAGCUGGUCAAUCCGUGGGAGUGGGUAACAGUCCUUCGGGCAAGUCUUAUUUAAGUCAGUGAAAUCCACACACAUCCUCCAAGCUUUCUCCUUCUUCUUGACCAGCACCGGAUUGGCUAGCCAGGUCGGGUAGUAGAUUUCUUUAACGAUCUUAGCCUCCAGCAACUUACCCACCUCGCUUUUGACGACCUCCUUUCGCUCAGGAGCAAAGUUCCUCUUCUUCUGCUUCACAGGUCGGACGUUGGGGUCCACAUAUAGCCUAUGGACUGCCAGCUCGGUGGGGAUUUCUGGCAUGUCAUCAGCACUCCAAGCAAAAAUCUCAGCAUAUUCCUCCAAGAGAGAUUCUAAAGAACUCCUGACCAGCUCGCCUAGGCCGAUGCCGACCUUCACUGUGUGCUCAGGUCGGUCGGGCUGGACGGGCAACUCGGCUAACCCCUCGUCCGUCUCCAAUCUUUCCCCUUUCUCCAUGGGCUCCCAGGGCUCUAAACAAACUGUCUGAGCUACCAAUUUCUCUUUACCCUUGAGGGUGGCAAUAUAACACGCCCUCGCCACCUCCGGAUCUCCCAGCACCUCAGCCACCCCAGCAGGAGUAGGAAACUUCAUACUGAGGUGCAAGGUGGAGCAAAUAGCUCGGAGGGCAUUCAGUGUGGGCCGUCCCAGAAUCAUAUUGUACGACGACGGCUCCUUAACCACCGCGAAGUUUACUGGGACCGUUCGGCACUUCGGGGACACCCCCACCGUAACCAUGAGAGUGAUCAUUCCUUCCGGCCUCACGGGAGGACCUGCAAAACCGAUCAACGGAGUUCGAACCGGUACGAGCUGUCUAUCCUCCAGUUGUAGCUCCUUAAAGGUCUUGUAAUACAGCACGUCUAUGGCACUUCCGUUGUCUAUGUAUACCUUCUUCACCUUGUAAUUACAGGUGAUGACUUCUAUCACAAUGGCUUCAUGGUUAUUAGAGGCCAGAGGGACUGCGUCUUCAGGUCCAUAGAUUAUUUCCUCAUACAUCUUCAAUCGUUUGGCCGAGCUCUCCCCCGUGGGAUGGGGGCGAUUGUGCCGUCGAACUGUAUGACUAUCCCCGCCAAUAGGUCCUCCGACAAUAGUGUUAAUCACCCCCGCCAGAUUCUGUGUUUCCUGCUCGGGAGUUCGGCCACAAGGCCCCUAAGGUCGGUCCCGGAGGUAGCUCGGACGUUCCGACCUGGGCCUUCCUCGUUGCUGGUCAGCUCGUUCCUCUCGUAUGAACUGCCCAAGAUGGCCUCGUUUAAUCAGUUUUUCAAUGUCUUUCUUGAGGUGACGGCAGUCCUCUGUAUCGUGCCCCACAUCUCGAUGAUAAGCGCAAUACAGACCUUGGUCCCGUCUGCUUUUGUCUCCGGCCAAAGAUCGAGGAGGUCGGGAGAGCCCUUCCUGUUCCAUCACUGCGAGCACCCGAGCUCGAGGUGCCGUGAGGCUAGCCCAAGACUUGUCUCCUCCCAUUGGGCGGCUCCUGGGGAGGCGGUCAUAAGCGUUUUUCCUUCCCUGGCCAGGCCGUAUAUCCACCUGGUCGGCGCCCCUCCUGCGCUUGUCAUCCCUCAAUCUUUCUUGUGCACUCUUAAGGCGAUUGGCUUCCUUCGCGUUGGCCUUCUCAUGAGCUCGGUCUAGCAUCUCCCGAACUGACUUGGGAGGUCUCUCCACGAGCUCGGUAUAGAGUUUCUGUUUUCGCAGCCCGUUAAUAAAGGCAGCCAUGACCACCUUGUCAUCGCGAUCUCGAACUUGAAGGGACUCGUUAUUGAAACGUACCAUGUAUUCGCACAAGGACUCCUCAGGCCUUUGCUGGAUAGUCAUCAAAUACGCCGUGCUCUUGGAGAAGGCUCGUGACGAAACGAACUGGGCCGCGAACAGUCGCGCGAGCUGGGCAAAGGACAGGAUGGACCUGGGAGGAAGCCCCUGGAACCACUGACGCGCCUUACCCUCCAAAAACAUUGGAAUGGUCUUGCACCUGACCGCAUCCGCAGCAGUUUGCAGGCGCAUUUGGGUCAUAAAGGCAAACAAGUGAUCCUUCGGAUCCGUAGUCACAUCGUAAGACUUCAUGUUUGGUAUCUUGAACUUCGCUGGCAGCGGGUAAUCCUUGAUGUCAGGGACGAAGAGGGAGGCGAUAUACCUAUCCGCCUCUGGAUCUAAGAGUAGAUCCAGCUUGUCCUGCACCUGGAGCUAUUCCUUCCGUGGUGAGAGUUCCUCCUUAAAACACCUCCGGAAGGGCUCCGGGUGCUCGGUUCUGGAGUGCUUGUGAGAAGGUUCUACAACGUCAACCUGGUCGCGCGUGAGCUCCCGGCGUACUCUUUUUGGCCGAGGGCUAGGGCUCCCCGUCCUAGAUUCGGACGGCCCAUCUCCCUGGCUCUUUAGCCCCUGGCCGGGAUUACCUACUGCCUGCCCCUUUAGGUAAUUCACAAUUGCCUCAAAAGUUGACAGGUUCCCUGCCACCGCCUGGACCAACUGCUCCGGCGGAAUUCGUGAGAGCCCCACGCCCUCGUCUCCAGGAGUCGGCCCUCGUGAGAGGUGUUGGGGGCUGCUUCCCUCGUUCCCCUUGGAUCCAUCGGCAUUCCUUUGGGACCUCGUUCUUGGCAUGAUUCGCAAGAGAAGAAUUACGUUUUCCCACAAACGGCCCCAAUUGAUGCGACAGCCAAAAACCAGAUCCGAGCUGAACUGUUGCGAGCCAAGCUGGUUAGGCGCAGCCGACCUGAGAGGGUAAACCGAACUGAGGAUCCUGUAAAGAAAGAAAGAUGGCGGGAUUGGCGUCCCCGGAAUAACUCCGACGGUCAAGUCAGUAAAGUUUGUCCACAGAGUAAUAGUUUAGAAUACUGGUCUACACGUACCUUGUGUGGUCUUAUGGCGUUGCUUAUAUAGGGCCGAAUGGGUUGUAGUUUUUUUGUGGGAGUCAAAGUCCCCUUAGGAUUCGGAGUAUUUUUAGGGCUUCGCAUGACAGCUCCUGAAAGUUCGGAGGCGGCGGCCUACAAGGCCCAACACAGGGGCCAUUGACACAGCCGAGCUGGCUCCCUCCGGCCAAGCUGGCAUGUGCGAGAGGCGUAGUCCCUAACGCCGAACUGACGUGUGUAAUAUACCGAGCUGACACGUGUCACGCGUGGAUUUGCCCUACUACACACCCCUAACUUAUUUCCUUUUUUUCCCUAUGCAUCCCCUAACUUUAUUAAUUUUUAAACAUACAACAAAUAAGCAUGGAUUUUUUAGUCAAUAUUUUAAAAUUCGGAAAUGGCAAUAACUUGGUCAAGCUUUGGGGUUAUGGGUUUAAUUGGUUGAACCAGUGGUUAAAAUUGAAUGACAUCGCAUAUAUAUAUAUAUAUAUAUACACAUACAAUUAAAUGCUAUGAUAAAAUACAAGAAAUAAAGAACAAAAAAAAGUACACAACAAAUAGAGAUAAUUUGAAAUUCAAUCUUUUGUGCAUGGUUUUUCCCAAUCAAAGCCAAUUCUUUACCAGAAUUGACUCGGUCAAUGAUUAACUUGAGCACCAAAAGUACCUAAUUCCCAAUUCAACCGAUCUAAUCAGCUGGUCUAGUCUAAGAUUAACCUGCCAUUGACGCAUGUCUUUGCUAUCAAACUUUUAAGUUGUUUUUUUUUUAUGCUUUUAGUAUUCCGUAUAAAAUGUUGUUAUUUGUGUGCACAAGAUCAGGUUGACUCCAUGUCUAGUCUAGCAUCAGAUUAGAUGACUCUUCAGUAGUCUGCGGUGUUUUUUUUUUCUCGCAAAUGAUCAAGAAUCCACGCACACAAUUAGAUUAAACACUCAGAGAAUAUCAAAGAACAACCCAAACGAGCAAUCGAAGGUGGGACCCAUAAAACAACCAAAUUCAACCACAAACGAGUAGUCUGCGGUGUUUACUUCACCAAUUUUAGCAUGCACACUACAGCAAAAAAAGAACUUUUCAACAUUACCUGCAAAAUACGUAAAAACAAUCAAGUAUAUGUAUAAGUUUACAUUCUUGCCAACAAGUUUUGGGCCUAAAGAUUGCAAUUUGUGUUCGGUGCUAUUUUCUAACAUCCCUUUCUUGCAUUGUCUUAGAUCUCGCACAAAAUCAUGUCUAACCAAGAACAAUCAAAUUAAAGAUUUAGUAAAAUCUAGAGGACACCUUUAAGUUACCUUGACUAGCAAUGCUUUUCGUAAGUACAUUUCUUCCUAUUUGAUAGAAAAACUUGGAGAUUAUUAACCGUUUUAGCAGUGCAAGUUUCUGGCAACUCAAUAAUGAAAUGUCCCAAAUAAUUUACAUAGGACAUCCACGGGUACUCAUUAAUUAUUUUUUUCCCAUCCAUGGUAGUUUUAUCUCACCAAAUGAAACAUCUCUAUGAAGUAGAUGGGCCAAAUGUUUUCUAGAAUUUUUUGUAUUUAAUAAGUUAUUUAUUUUCUUGCAUUUUAAUGUGCAUUUUUCUCAUUUUUGCAGGUUUGUUUUAGGGAAAAAAAACAAAAUAAAAAAAAUCAAGAAAUCAAAAAUCUUCUCCUAAUUAUUUCUCUCUCACCAAAUGCAAUAAUUGAUCCAUUUUUGCACUCAAAAUCUCCAUGCAUCUUUCUUUUUAGGGAUAAUUUCAGAAACCUCCCUUGAGAUUUCUGACAAUUUCACUGGCCUCCCUUAAGAUUUUCAAAAUAUCAGCCACCUCCCCUAAAACUAAUUAGGCAGUAACAAAUCCAACCCAUUUCAAAAACACAAAUAAUAUAAUAUGUGUAUCAGGAGAGAGGAAAAAACUUCAUUCCACAGCUACCCUUGAGAUUGUCAUUAGUGGGUUAAUUUGUAAUGAGCAGUACUUAUGCAUAUAGCAAGAAUGAAAAUUCGAGAGGCGCAUUUGAAACUCUCAUCAAAGGCUAGGUUGCUAUUGCAUUUUGGAAACUAGUAACCAACGGUUCUUUCUGAACAGCUUCUAACGUCUCUUUGCAACCAUACUCUUGCAGGAAACUCUAUAUAACAGCAAAAUGAAGUAGCAAUAGAUAAAAGUGCAUCUUGUUGGGUGUUUGAUGAGCUUUGCAUAUGCUACUAGGAUUAUAUUGCCUCAGAAGAAUAGCAUACUUUGGUAUCUUACUGUAUGAAGCAAUGUGUGUGCCUUCAAUUUCAUGUCUGAAUCAAGACUUAAGUCAUGUACAUAAAUCACAAUUACAAAAUGGCGCAAAAAAGGCACCUAGAUAAGGUGUGUGAUGUACACCAUGUUUAUCAGAAUAUACAAUAUGUUAUUCAUCAAUAAUAUUAUAUCAAAAGCUUUUACUAGAUGGUUAUUUGUUCCAAUUGCCUAUUAAAUCAAUCAUUAGUGCUUAUAAGAGUGCAUUAAAUAUAUAUUUAGUAGAUAUGUAGUUAACUUCAAUAAGUAGAAUGUAUAUAAAUACUUAGUGCAUGUACAAUCUGGUUGAAAUAAUAUACACCGUGUUAUCGACCAAGUAUAAUGCAUAGAAAUUGUUGAACAUACAGUUAUUUGUUCACAUGCAUAUUGCAAUUAGUCAUCACAGCAAUUUGUAUAGUGCAAUGGUAUGCAUACAUUUGGAAUGGUUAUUGGUGUUUUGACCCACUUGUACAUCUCCUUACAAACUGCAGUGGGUAUGUAAUUUUAUCUAUAUGACUAAUACUAAUUUGUCUAUAUACACCUUACACGAGGUGAUCUAUGAGGUACAAUCAGUUUACAAACAUGUACAUUAUGUUAGAUAUUAGUUACUUGACUGUGUAUAUCUAUAAAAGGUAGUACAAUGGUACGCAUAAAUUUGGAAUGGUUAUUUAGCCCUUUGAUCAAUUUAUGCAUCUCCCUAUAAUAGAUGUGUAAUUUUACUUGUAUGAGUAGUCCUUAUUUGUCUGUGAGUACUUUACAUGGGGUGAUCUAUGAGAUACAAUCAAUUUACAAAAAUAUACAUCAUGUUAGGUAUUAAUUGCUUAACUAUGUAUACAUAUAAAAGGGAGAUUAGAUAUAGCGUAGGAAAAAGUAGUUACGUGAGUUGGAAUGUAUUUGUCAUGAUAAUCAUGAAAUAUUAGCUAACUUGUGAGGGUAUUUAAGUCUUUUUGGCCAUGAUGAUGUAAGAAAUGGGACCUAAAAUUCUGACAGAGGAGGUUUGUGAUAUUUUUGAAAUCACAGGAAGGAGAGUGAGACUGUCAGAAAUCUCAGGAGAGGUAUCUGAAAUUAUCCCUUCUUUUUAUUUGGAAGAAACCAUCAUUUUAUCCCCUGCCUUUCUUUUCAUUAGGUGAGAAGGCCAUCAUUUUGACCACCCCCACACUCCACUCUCGACUCCCUCUCUUUCGUUUCUCUCAAUUGGCAAGGCACAAAAACAGACCAUCUCUCGCUCUGUCUCUCAAAGGCUCUCUCUCAUUUUGCUUAACAACACACAAACACUCCCUCAACUCUUUUAUUGAUGUUUGUUGUGUAGUUCAAAAUUUGGGAAAUGGCUUGAGCUAGAUUAAGAAAAAGGAAAUAAUUUUUGUAUAUGCCUGCUAGGUGUUUGAAAAAAUACCUAAAUAAAAAAUCGAAUUAAAGUACCUAUUAUUGUGCAUAUUUUUUUUGUUAAAAUAAAUUAUUACAGCUAGUACAAAGCCUGAAAUGCUUGGUUAUCCAAAUUUUUGCAGUUUUUGAGCCUUAAAAGCAUUAGAAUAAUUUUCUUCAUUUUUGGGGCUGUUUUGACUUAACGCAUCAUUUUGUUGUUGUUUACUUGUCAAACUAAGAUUAUAGUUUUGGCAUCAUUUUGUUGUUGUUUACUUGUCAAACUAAGAUUAUAGUGUUUUGGUUUACUUGUCAUCAUAUCAUUCUUUUACAUGUGUAAAUGUGUCUCUGGAUUUAUGUGAUUUUUGGUGCUUUUCAAUUAUAUCGCCUGGCAAAUACGAGGUACUGAACUCUUAUAACUACAAUCUCCAAAAGAAGCGAUUUGGACUUGUAACAAUUUUAUUGUUUUAAAAUUUAAACCGCUAUUAUCAUUAAGGGGUAGAAAUUGAAUAAAUGGAUACCUAGAGAGGCCAUAGAAUUUUGGCAUAAAGUUAUCCAAAUUCCAAAUUACUAAGGUUAAUUUCAUUUUAUCCCCUCAAACUAUAAAAUUCGUUCCACUUAAGUAAGAUCUGUGAUGGAAUCCAAAAAACUAAUGGUGUCUUAGAGAGGUAGAUAGCACGCACUUAGAGAUGGCAACGGGGCGGGGGAGGGGGAGGGGAUGGCAACGGGGCGGGAGACCCCCCGCCCCGUUGCCUAUUAAUUCCCCCCGUCCCCCGCUUCCCACUACCCCCGCCCCGCCCCACCCCGUCCCGCUUCCCUCGCAGGUGCCCCCGCGGGGUUAAUAAAAUUUUUUCUUCGGGGUUAAUAAAAUUUUAUUAUAGUUAAAUUUUAAUAAAUAAUUAAGUAUUAAAAUAUCAACACAUCAUCAAAUUAUUAUUCAUUGUAAUUUUACAAUUGAAACUCAUAAAAACAAUCAAACAAAAGUUAUUUGAAUACAAUCCAACAUGAUGAAUAAAUACAAUUAAAAUAGUUAAGUUUUCACUUUUUGUACAAAUACAAUCACUAAUUCAUUAUUGUGUUUGUGCUUUGUUUUGAGAAAAAAUGUUAUUCUAUUAAGUGUAAUUAAAAAUUUAUUAUAAAUGUAUUAGUAAAUUUAGUAUAACUAAUUAAUAAAUUCUAUUAGUAGACAUGUCUAAUUAUUCGUAUAAUUGAUAAUAUCAAUUAUAUUAUAUACACUAAUAUACAUUAUAUAAUACAUCUAACUAAUAAUAUCAUUAUCAUAAGUUUAUAACUAAUUAAAUUACAUAUUAUAUAUAAUUAUAUCUAUAUAUAUUUAUAUAUAUAAUUUUUUUUGCGGGUGGUGGGGCGGGGGUAAAUACUCCCCCGCCCCAACCCCCACCCCAAGAGCCCCCCGCGGGGCUCUCGCGGGUAACCGUCCCCAUUGCCAUCCCUACACGCACUGUUAGUGUAAUUGUUUAAGUGUUAUAAACCAAAGAGAUAAGGGCAUAAAGACCCCACCCCACCUCCCGCCCCAACCCCCGCCCCGAGAGCCCCCCGCGGGGCUCUCGCGGGUAACCGUCCCCAUUGCCAUCCCUACACGCACUAUUAGUGUAAUUGUGUAAGUGUUAUAAACCAAAGAGAUAAGGGCAUAAAGAUAAUUUUGCCCCCUUCCCUUUUCCCUCUUCCUUUCUUUUUCCUUUUCUUUCUUGCUCAUAUUGUUCUCGCUUUCUCAACAUUUCCAGCCAUUUCCAUUAAUCAAUUUUCAUCUUUUCAUCCUAAAUCUUCGCUCACUCCCCGAACUCUGAAUUUAUUUCUUUUUUUUUUCUCAAUCUCCAUUGGGAUUUUAGAGUCCACUACGUUAACAAAUUCUUUGGUUAAAUUUGACUGCUUACCCAAGUUUUUAAAUGAGAAAGAAAUGAGAAAAAUGGCCGGUCAUUGGCAAAGUCAAGGAUGCAUAAGCAUGACUACGAGGACAUUCAGUUGGAAGGCUGGACAGAUGAUAAAUGGGGACCAUUUUAGUAAUGAUAACUUCUUUUUCCACCGGCAUCUUUUUUGGUCGGAAAAAGACAUGUAAAAAAGCACAGUCCUCCUUUGUGAGAGUUUCUUUCUCUCUUAGUAAGAGUGCCCUCUCUCUUCUGAGAGUUCCUCACCGCUGAACAUCCUUGAAACUUUGAAACUUUCAAAACCCCUAACUUUUCAACAUUGUAACUGAAAUCCAAACCUCAAACAAGACCAGAUCGUCUUUACUGCGGGCAUGCACACUAAAGAUGCUGGUAUGUAGACGGUUUUUCUGCCAAACAAGGGUCAAUUCCAACUAAGCAAGACUAUCUGGGUUGGAGCCCUCUUCUGUACGAACCCAGUUGAGACAAGAAUAGGGUCUGUGGUAAUUCCAGGAGCUAUCACAGCAGAGUUGUAGCGGUUGAACAGGUUUGAAAAGUGCCAUUUCUACUCAAUAAGAGUUUUGACAUGUUACUUGACUGCCUAAGCUGUCUUUUUCUGGUUCUUGAUUCUUAGCUUUAUGGUUAUCCCUUCUUGUCUUUUCUCUAUUUUUUUCUGAUUUGUGGUGUAGUCGGCUAGCUUGUGUGUUUUUCUGCUCUUAGUUUUGUGGUGUAGCCGGCUAGCUUGUGUGUUUUCUGUUCUUAGUUUUACCUCAUAUUAGAGGUCUGUUGAGUGUGGUAUUCCCUCGUAGUAUUCUCUAGUAUCUCAAUGGCCGAACAACUAGUGGAUAUAAUGGAAAAUUUUGAUCUUUCAGAGAAAGAGUUGGGAGGCGCUGAUUUGGACUUGGGAGAUAUACACCUGGGUAUUAAAGAAUGUGAAGUUAGUCUUGUAGGGAAAGUGAAAGGUGAAAAAAUAGUGAAUUUUGUUGGGGUGAAAAAUUUUGUGAACUCUGCCUGGGGUUAUCCUAGAGAUAUCAGGAUAAUGGAAUUAGGUCCAAAUCUCUUUCAGUUUUACAUUCCUUGUGAGGAGAACAGAGACAGAAUUUUAAAUGGAGGACCUUGGGUUUUGGAUAAUCAGAUACUGGUGCUCAGGAACUGGUAUGAGGGGGUUGAAGAGGAUGAUGAAACCUUUAACCUUGCACCACUAUGGGUGCAGAUAUGGAAUUUACCAGUGCACUGGAUAUCAAAGGAGAUAGGUAGGAAAAUUGGUAAGGUAUUCGAUGAAGUCAGAGAUGCAAUAGUUCCCCAAGUAGGAGGGAAAGAAGGAAGGCACUUGAAAAUCUUAGUGACAGCUGACAUAUCUCAACCAUUGCUGAGGGGAACAACUGUCAAAAUGAAUGGAACCACCAAAUGGUUGGCUUUUAAAUAUGAACGAUGCCCGGACUUUUGCUAUAAAUGUGGCUUAAUUGGUCACAGUGAAAGGAACUGUAAGUGUUUCAUCUCUAUAACCAAAGAGAAAUCUGAAAAUCAGUUUGGGCCAUGGUUAAGAGCAAAUUGUGGAAAGGCAUCCCCACAGAAGGAACAACAGAGUGGAUAUAAUCCUGAGAGAAGUAAUUGGGGUUUUAGAAAUGGAGAACUGGUUCCUAGACAUGUUAAUCACAAAGAAUCACAAGCGCAAGGUUCAGGAGUUGACAGGCAGGAGAGGACAGACAGGCACCCCCUACAGGAAGAAAGGAACACACGAAUGAAUGACAAGGAAAAAAGCACUGCAAUGGGAGGACCCCAUCAUGACAUAACUGGAGAAAACAAACAAGACCACAGUGAUCCAGUAAAUGGUGGAAACAAGACCAAUGUGAGUACCCUGAAUUCUACUCUUAUGGAAGAAGGAGGUAGUGGUACAAAUGCUGCGAGGAGAGAAGAUAGAUGUCAAAAUGAGAACCAAAAAUAGCAGGUUGAGAGAGAGGCUGAGUCAUCAGAGAUGAGCCUAGUUGAUGUGGCAUUGGAGCUGAAGGAGGCUCUAACAGUGGAAGAUGUGACACAAAGGGGUGACCAGAAUCCCAUGCAAAUAGUUUCAGAAAUUGCAGCGAAACAGCAAAGAGGAGGAAGAAGGCAGUACAGCAGAGGGAAAAGACAACUGAGAUCCCCUGGUGUGGGGAGCAAAGCUCUGCCAGCACUAGAUGGAAACUGCAACCGCGAGGGACGUCAAGGUAAAAGAAAGAUAGUUUUGGUUGAUGAAGAGAUGAAAGAUGUUGUAGUGGAGGAACAAGAAACAAAAAGGAACAAGAUUGAUCUCCAAACAGUUGAAGUAAGGAUGGAAGGCAUAGAAGGGGUAGGGGCCAGCCACACAUGGCCCCUCAAAGAUAAAUGAAGGUCCUGGUGUGGAAUUGUCAAGGAGUGGGGAGCCCCUUGACAGUUCCCCAACUGAGGGAGGCUAACAACCUCUUCUCUCCAAAUAUAGUUUUCUUAAGUGAGACCAAAAAUAGGAUUAAAUACAUGAAAAAAGUCAAAUCAAUCCUCAGAUUUGAUGAGAUGACAGUGGUGAAAGCUAUGAAUAGAGCUGGUGGUAUGACCCUUAUGUGGAACAGAAAUAUAGAUGUCAUGAGAGUAGUUACUACUGCUUUCACAAUCGAAGCUCAUGUUAAGGAUUCAAACAGCAAGGAGGACUGGUGGCUAAUUGGAAUUUAUGCUAGUUGUGAGAGCAGAAUCAGAAAGAACCAGUGGCAAGUCAUUAGGGAAAGAAAGAGACUAUGGGGGGACAGAUGGCUCCUGGCUGGGGACUUUAAUGAUAUUGUUUCAAAUGAAGAGAAAUAGGGUGGUAAGCUAAGAGAAGAGGGGAGUUUCAUGGAUUUUAAGGAAUUCAUAGGAGCUAAUGAUCUGGUAGACAUAGGCUUUAAAGGCAACCCCUGGACAUGGAGUAAUAACUGGGAAGAAGAAGUGGAGGUUAGACAGAGAUUGGAUAGAGGAUUAUGCAGUCCAGCUUGGUAUCAAACUUUUGAAGGAGCUACUUGUGACCAUUUGGAAACAUAUGCAUCAGAUCAUAGUAUGUUAUUGGUUAACACUAAUCCACUGGCAGAGAGAAGAAAGAAAAGGUUCUUUUUUUAUAACAGAUGGUUACAUAGAGAAGGAGUAGGUCAAGUGGUGGAACGAGCAUGGAAUCAAAGGUUUGAAGGUUCUAACAUGUUUAGGCUGACAAAAAAGAUAGCAAAUUGUAGAGUGGCUCUUCUCAAGUGGAGAAAUAGUUUCAUUAGUAACUCUAAGCAGAAGAUUAAUCAUGUUAAACUGCAAUUAGGUGAGUUAGAUAGUGCUGACUGUCAGGACAAAAAGGCUAGGAAAAAAGUUCUAAAACAGCAGUUACAAAAGGCUUAUGCAGAAGAGGAGCUAUUCUGGAGCCAAAAGGCAAGAGUGAAUUGGCUAAGGGAGGGAGAUAGGAAUACUAGCUAUUUUCAUGCAUGCGUGAGAGGUAGAAGAAAGCAGAACAGAAUGCUAAACAUUCAAAACAGUGAUGGGACAUGGACCGAGAAUGAAGAAGAUUUGGGAAGAAUAGUGGCUGGAUAUUAUAGCAAUCUUUUUUCAAGCUCAGGGGGUGAAGAGAUACAGAGCAUACUAGAAGGAAUGCCACACUCAAUAACUCCUAGUAUGAAUGAAAACUUGACUAGAUCAGUUAAUGAAGAGGAGAUUAAAUCUGCUUUGUUUGCUAUGAAUCCUAAUAAAUCUCCAGGUUCAGAUGGGAUGACUCAUCUUUUUUUCCAGAAAUUUUGGAAAAUUGUAAAGAUUGAUCUGGUUAAAGCCAUAGACUCUUUCUUUUAUUCUGGUCACAUGCUUAAGUCUAUGAACCAUACUCUGAUUUCCCUUAUUCCUAAAGUUCUGAACCCCACUGAUAUGAAGCACUAUAGGCCUAUUAGUCUGUGUAAUGUAGUGUAUAAAAUUAUAUCCAAAAUCCUGGCCAAUAGGCUUAAAUCUGUGCUGAAUUUUUGUAUUAGUAAAAAUCAGGUUGCUUUUAUUUCUGGAAGACAAAUUCUGGAUAAUGUCAUUCUUUCCCAUGAACUUCUGCAUUUCAUGAAAAAUAAAAGACAAGGGAAAGAUGGGUAUAUGGCAGUUAAACUAGACAUGUCUAAAGCCUAUGACAGAGUAGAAUGAAACUUUUUAGAUGCUGUGAUGGUUAGAAUGGGCUUUUGUGGUAUGUGGAGAACAUGGAUCAUGAACUGCUUGAAUACUGUAACUUUCUCUUUCAACAUCAAUGGACAGCCUAGGGAAUACAUUACUCCUAUGAGGGGCAUUAGGCAGGGGGAUCCGCUUUCACCAUACUUAUUCCUUCUGUGCUCUGAAGGUUUUUCAAAUCUGCUAAGACAAGCUGCUGAGAGGAGAAAGCUUUUUGGCAUGAAAAUAAGCAGAGGUGGACCAUGUCUUACUCAUCUAUUUUUUGCGGAUGACUCAUUGAUUUUUUGUAAAGCUAACAGUGGACAAGCAAGGGAACUGAUGACCAUAUUAAAGCAAUAUGAGAAGGAAUCAGGCCAGAGCAUAAAUCUGGAAAAGUCCUCUGUCUUUUUUAGUAAAAAUAUGAACUCUGAGGAGAAGGCAGUGGUGACUCAACAACUGGGAAGCAUACAGACAGCUUCACAAGGAAAGUAUCUCGGACUUCCGAUGGUGAUUACUAGAUCAAAAGAACAGAUUUUUGGUUUUAUCAAGGACAACAUCAGAAAUAGAGCAAGCAACCGGAAAAGUAAGAUGCUCAGUCAAGCAGGGAAGGAAGUCAUGAUUAAAGCUAUAUCCAUGGCCAUGCCAGUCUACACAAUGCCAUGGUUCAAACUCUCUAACAAGCUGUGCAGAGAGAUAAGCUCUAUAAUGGCAAAAUUCUGGUGGGGAGAUUCUAAGGAAAAGAACAAGAUACACUGGUGUUCUUGGGAGAAAAUGACUCAAGGUAAAAAGUGGGGAGGGCUGGGCUUUAAAGAACUACAGAGCUUUAAUAAAGCUCUUCUGGGGAAACAAGUAUGGAGAAUCCUGACCAACCCCAACUUACUGGUGAGCAAAGUGUUGAAGGCAAAAUAUUUCAACAAUGAAUCCAUUCUCAAGUGCAAAGUACCAAAACAGUUCUCUUGGAUGUGGCAAAGUCUAAUGGAUUCAAGAGACCUGGUGCAAGAGGGAACAAGAAGAAAGGUGGGAAAUGGCAGAAGUAUAAACAUCUGGAACGAUGGGUGGAUACCAGGAAAUAAGGAUGGUAGAGUGCAAAUAGACAAACCUCCCAAUUGUGAUGUGUCUAAGGUUGAACAUUUGAUUAGGGGCUUCCGAUGGAAUAGGUACGUAAUUUUUUCAACUUUCAACAAAAAAGAUGCUGAAAAGAUCCUGCAGAUACCUGUUAGUUUGUCAGGGAGAGAGGACAGCAACUAUUGGAUACAUAGUGAAACUGGUCAAUACACUGUGAAGUCGGGUUAUAAACUUUUGUGUGACUGGAGUGAACAAAGGAAAAACAAAGAAGAAGCUCUGGGGGAAACAAGUGUGGCAAACAAUUUCAGCAACAUAUGGAAGAAGUUAUGGAAGCUAAACGUAAAAGGAAAAUUGAAACAUUUUUUGUGGAAGUGCAUUAAAGGAAUUCUACCAGUGAACAACCAGGUCUACAAAAGGACAGGGAAGGGUGAUCCAAUUUGCAAAGGAUGUGGCGAACAAGUGGAAACCAUAGAGCAUAUGCUGCUUAGCUGCAGGAGAGCUAGGGAGGUGUGGAAGAUGGCACCAAUUCAGUGGGAUGGGAUAUUGGCGCACUCAGGUAACUUUUCCUAUUGGUGGAAUGAAGUAAUGGAAGCAGCAAAAAGGAAACAAGGUCAGAGCCACAUUGAGCUAACAACCAACAUACUUUGGCAAAUUUGGAAGGCAAGGAAUGAAUAGCAAUACAACUCAAAGCAGAAACACCCUUCGAAGAUUGUUCACAAAGCUCAAAAAGAUUGGCAGGAGCAGGUGUUAGCAAAGGAAAAACAAGAACCAAUGAGCAAUAUUGAAACAUCCAGAGGACCUAUGGAAGAUGUUCAAGCACGAGAUGAAACAAAUGAAGUCAAUUUGCACAUAGCUGUCUAUGAGGAUAACGACACUAGAUGGCUGGGAAGGGGAGUGGUGGCAAAGAAUCACAGGGGACAAGUGAAGACAGCUUGGGCCAUGAGGGACAAAGGUACAAACAUUUCAAUAUUGGACUUAGCUGAGACAGUAAGGUUAGCUUUAAUUAAGGCUAGAGGAAAGAAUUGGCCAGAACUGAAGGUUCAUAUCCCCCACAAGCAGCUUCUGUCAUCGUUGAUGUCAAGGAAAACUAAAGACAUUAGACUGGCAACUAUGAUAGAUGACAUCGCCAACUUAGGCUCUUUGUUUCAAAAAUGCUCAUUUUGUUUAGAUAUAACAAUUGACAAUAUAAGUAAAUCUGUGAGUACUUAUGCUGUAGGCAUAUAUGUUGAUGAGAAAUGGAACAAUCCUCAAGGUGUCUAACACCUUUGUAAAGUUUCUUGGAGCCGUUGCUCUACAAGUGUAUAGUUAUGUUUUGAUCAAUAUAUUCCUAUCGUUUCAGAAAAAAAAAAUCCUUUUUGGUUGGAACGGUAAUGGCAGCAGAGAGGGCAAUAUUAAUUUCAAUAAUGUCCCAAUUGAACAGCACUUCAAUCUUCCAAUAAUAGAGCAUUGCUGUCAUCAUCUAGUUAGUAAUAGAAUUCUCUUGUUUUUCCCUUUUCAAAUCUAACUUUGGUGGAUUAUUCAUUACCUUAAUUAAGAUGCUUCUGUACAGAUUUCUUUUAGCUUGGAUUUUGUAGGAUCCCGAUUUGGCAGAGUUAGACUCUUGAUUUAGAUUCUGUGGGAGUGCAAUUAGUGAAAUGGGGGGAAGAAAUAGAUUGCAAUUCUAGUGGGCUGUGGUUGUUUAAGCCUCAGCACCUCUCCCAUUUCCUCCGGCUUCCGCAGCUUCCCCUUCCCCUCAUCACUCGGGCUGCAAUAAACAAGCCUACCAAGAAAUGGGUCGCGUCCGCACAACUGCACAAGACAUGGAUGUGGUUGUUUAGUGAGAUAGUGGCAAUUUAAUGGUAUUUAUCUAUUUGGAAGGUAACUUGGUGGUAGAAAAGGGAAGCUUGAAUUGAUCUAUUCAGUUAAGAAAAGGGAAGUUUGAAUUUGGAAUUCAGGAAACAAAUAUAAAUGCAAAAGAUCCAAUUUCAGAGUGAAUUUGACUGUAGGAUGAUUAUCACGGUUUGAAAAUUUCGUAAGCAACUAGGGAUGUAAUUGAAUCGAAUGGAACCCGAAUAUCGUCAUACUUCAGUUCGACUCGAUUUACAAGAAAGAUACUCGAACGAGUAGCAUUACUGGAGCUCGAGCUCGAGUUCGAUACAUUGCUCAUAGAACUCAAACUCGACUCACAUGGGUUCGAGUUAAAAUGAGCCUUAUCGAGCUCAAGUUAAGAAGAUUUGGGGAUUUUAUUUUUCUUAACAAAUUUUAAACGAAAAGACAUUAUCGCCCUUCAAAAAAAUUUCAUACAACCUAAAACAUUUCAUAAAUUCAACCAUUCUUGUGGGCACAAGGGUAAUUUCAUAAUAAUAAUAUAUUAAAAUUUAAAAUUUAAAAACUCGACAAGGCUCAACGAGCUUUCGAGUCUUGCUAUUGGAUACUCGAACUCGACUUGUUUGUUCAUAUCGAGUUACUCGAAUUCAAUCAAUCCGCGUUCGAGUCGAGUUUUUGACCAAACUGCUUGCAAGUAAUGCACAAGCAACUUGGUCUAGCAGUUCGGUUCAAUUACAACCGUACAGUCAACUCAGUAGUUAGAGAUAAACUAUUUUGAGCAUAGCUUAUGUAAUCAACUUUGUUGCGGUGGUUUGUGGGUGGAAGGGAAGAAGAAGAAUGGGAAAAAGGGCAAAAGAAAAAGGAAAGAUGAAGAAGGGGAAAAAAGUAAAAUUAUAUUUAUGUCGUUGUCUUUUUUAUUUACAACACUAACAUAACUACACUAGUGAAACGUGUAUUACGCACGUCCCCAAUAAAUCAUUAGAUUUCUAGUUUUUGUCACCUAACUUACUUAAGUCGAACAGAUUUUGUAAUUUAGGGAUUUAAAUGUCUCAUUUUGAAGUUUAAGAGCCGAAGUGAAAUUUUGCGUAUGAUUUGAGGGGAAAAAAUGGAAUUAAUUCAAAUUACUAUGAAAUUGAUUAACAUCACCAACAUCAAAUUACCUCACAUCACCAGCGACAAUAAUAUCGCCCGCUUAGUGGCGCUGGAUCCAACUUCCAAGCAGCCAUAACUUCAAAUUACCCAGAGUCGGAAUAAUAGUUAGUCCCUGGUCACUAUCACUGUUAGCCAGUCCAUUGUACUCGAGCGCCGGCUUCUCCCAGCAGCCAGCAAAACUUCUGCAAAAUGGUACAAAGAGCAUGGAGAAUCAUCCCAAGGCCACUACUGGAGACCAUCCUCAACAACCACGCCCAACAUCACCGCGUGCCACAACCCCUCAUUCUCCACGGUCCUCGUGGCGUUGGCAAAACCACCCUCAUCCUUGAACGUACGAGAAAAUAUGCUCUCACUACCUUCAACUCUUAUUUUUCAUCACAGUUGGUAUUUAAUGGUUUUUUUUUGGGGAGCAGGUUUGCUGGAUGAUUGGAAUACUGGACCUCAUGUAACAGGGUAUGUGGACUUUGCAGAGAAUAUUAAAGAUCAGCACCCAAAGUAUGGUUGUUCAUUUCCAUGGGCAUCAUGGUCAAAUUGUCAGCCGCAGCCGGCUCUUUUGUCUCUCAGAAAUCAGCUUGAAGAAAGCCUUGAGUCCAUGGUUAUAAGGGGUAUAAAGCUGGGUAAAAUUAGUUCGCAUCAAAUAUUUACUACUAUUAACAAAUGGCAUAAUCCCACUACAGCAAUUGAAAGGAUUUGUGGGUUGAAUGUCAUUAAUAGUUUAAGAAUUAACUCAAAAAGGGACGUCGUGAAAAGGGAUGAUUCUGAGAGGAGUAAAAGGAAGGUAUCUGCAGUUGCUGCUGCUAGUUCUUUGUCUAGUUUAUUGAAUUUGUGGGAUAGGGCUGUUUUUCAGCUAUCUGUUCGAUUAAAUGCCAAAGAGAGUUUUGGGGGGGAUGUGAGUUUGAUGGAGGAUUCGUAUUAUAGGGAAGCAAUGGCUGCAUUGGAAUUGGCUAAGGAGGUUAUAAAAGUGCAGCAAGGGUGGAGAGCUAAUGCUAUUAAGCAUUUAAAUGAGACAGGUGGCUUUUCAAGGCCUUUAGCCCAUUCAGCAACUGAUUGGCCUUGUUUAUUGCUUGAAUUAUUGUCUUCUGCUGCUGAAGUAGGUUACUUUCAGGUAACUUCCAAGUAGAAUGCAUUUCAGUAUUUUCUGUUUUGCUUCUCCUGAUCAGUUUCUUGAAAGAAUUUGCCGCGAAGAAAAGAAAAUUGGGAAUAGGAAAUUGUAAUAGAAUGCUGUAGGUAAUGGAUGGUAUUCAUGAAUGUUAGCGAGUCUAUGAAACUGCUAAUUAGUUAAUAGAAGAUAUUUAAUGUUUGUGUUUUAUAUUUGAAAUUUGAGAAGCUCGAAAUGCUUGUAAGAUACGUCCACUAUAAUGGCUCUUAUCCAUUGCCUUUUUUGUGGGAGUUAUUUUAUAGGUAUUUUUUUUGUCAAAAUUGGUAGUCAUUCAUUUUUCUUACUUGGUUUUAUUUUAUUAAUUGUAGCCAAAGCUGGUGAUAAACAACAUUGAUGUCCUAAAGAAUGCAGUUUUGACAGAUGAUACUACUGUGAAUGCAUCCAUGUAUCAUGACAGCUUUAUAUGGAGGACUAUAGCUCUGUGUGUGAAUGAGAGAUGUCUUCCUGUGAUUCUUGUGACGUCAGAUAGGUAUAGUUUCAAUCAUUCCCCAACAUUACUGGUUGAGAAUGGUGGCUAUUUGUUUGUCCUGUGCAUGCUUUCUACUCCUGUUGUUUUCCUAACUGAGUUGUCAUUUCUAUUUGCACAUUGAGUUAGCAAGCCUGCACCUCAUAGUAGCACAUCAGGUUUUUGAGUUCCUUUUUAUCAUAUGUUCAACGUUAUAAGCUACAAAUUCAUUGCUCUUGUCAAGUGCAAGAUUCUAUGUCCUGAUUCUUCAUGACUUUAUUUGGAGUUUGUCAAGAACAAGAUAUGCCUUGUCACAAGGUAAGUUUGCUUUUUUCCUGACCUAGGGAGUUAUUGGUUUAAAAAUUCAUAAAGCCACUCGAUGUCCAGGACUAAUGCCAAGCCCACUUAGCCCUUCCUAGCUUGCGGGACGCUUAUGUGCUGGGUCUGCUUUAGUCCCUUAUGGACAACAUGUGAUACCAGCUUACUGUAGAUUGUUAAAAGUUUUCUUUCCCCCUGCCGAUAGAUAGUUCAUUUAUAAUCUUACUUCUCUGGAUGUCAGAGCACCAGAAUUAGGAGAUAACACAGGAUUUCUGGAUCAUCAAUUGUGGUCUUGGUCUGUACAACUACUAAAAUGGCAUCAUCAAAUUUUUUUCACUUAAAACUACAAGUCAUCAAAUAUUCUUUAUUUUACUUCAAUUGUGCGGUUGAUAACUUAUAGGAGCAAACAUACUAAUUGUGCCAAUUUAGUGAUUUUUGAAGUGGAAUGUUGAUGACAGCAGAUAUGCAUACCUUGAUGUUUUCCUAGUCCUUUUACUCUAUUUCAUUAUAACACUCUUAGAGUGCUGCCAGGUAUAGUACAAGAAAAAGGAAUGGCUACAAGACUAGAAAGUGAAAACUCAAAUGUAUUUAAUAAAUGUGUUCAGUUCCAACAUGGAUUUUGGACUUUGAUGGUUAUAGAGUUAAGAAACAGUUGUUUAAUAACUUUUUAUUUAAUAGAAUUUAGAAUAUUUACCUUGGGGGGGGGGACGGGUUGGGUGGUUUGGGGGAGGGAGUCUAAGUGAGUGGUGUCGGGUUCGAGCUCUCCCGUUUACACUAAAGAAAUUUUUUUAAAAAAAUUAGAAAUAUUUACAACUUUUGAUUGCUAGUUUAACUUAAAGAGAGAUUCAGAAUUGUAAAUCCGUUAGCUUUUCUUCUGUAUGAAGUAUGAACUUUUAUAAGUAAUUUUUUUAUUAAAAGAAAGUAGUUGCAUUUUUUUCACAACCCAAAGCUGAAAGAGUGUGACAUCUAGUUAUUCAAGAAUGUGAAACUGUACCCAUGUUAGAUUACCUAUCAUAGCAGGACAGGCUAAACUAUAGGCUUGUUAAAGUAGGUCCACAUCCCUCGAGAGGAAGUUAGUGAUCAUUCUGUUGUGAAGUUCUAGAAUUUUCAAUCUCACUGUUCAAUUUGUUCUGUAUUUCAGAUACCAUUAUUUGACUCUGUUUUAUUUAAUUAACUGGUAGAAUUUGAUCAAUUCAGUGGAUUUUUUUGUAAUUUGAGUAAUUUCUUAAAGUUUUGUACAUCUUAUACUUCUUUUAGUGGUGAUAGUCCCUUUGUAGUUAUGAAUAUUGCAUAAUGCUGAUUGUGUGGAUUUUCAGAAAUCCUGUAACUAAAUAACUCUAGAGAAGAUUAGAAGUUUUAAGAUUGGUAGGAGAAUCAGAAGUUAGAAGUAGAAUUUGGUAGUGCUGCCAGCCCAUCCCUUUUUCACAUGUCAUUAGCAGUGUGUGAUUCAUGAGUCCAACCCCUCAAAAUCAUCCGUUUCUUGCUUGAUCAAAGAGUAGUAUAGAAGCAUAAAAUUUUUCAUAAUUAUAUCUUAAACCUUUCCAUCCAACAUUUACAUUCUUUUUGGAGAAUUACGCUUCCUAAAAGUUUAGAAGUUUCAUGUUUUGUGUGACAAUAGCUUAUUUACAUGUCUAAUUUGGAAAAAAUGAAACCUUUUAAACUUUUUACAAUUAGAAAUAAUUUGUUGAUGGAUAAAUGAAUUUGAUUGAAAUGGCAGUGAUUUAGCUUCUGUGCUAGAUCUUGCACAUUCCUAAGCAUUGCUUGACAGUUUCCCAUUCUGCUUUAUAGCCAGCAACAAUAAGAUUAAAUUCUUGCAGAUCCCUUCGAUCAAGUACUAAAGUUAAUAAAGGUCCAACUGUUUCAUUGCAUGCUUAGGCUAAUCCCUGGGCAAAUUUGACAGGUUCUUUGGUGGUUCAUAGUCUGACAAAUCUUCAAUGCUCUUGCUUUACUUUUUGAUGGUCUAUUCAAGCUUCCAUUUUCAUAAUUUGAGAAAUCCUUGGUGUAAAUGGACCUUUUUGUAAUAAUAGGCAAAAGGUGUCAACAGGCCCUAAUGAAGCUUCCCAGCCUUUUUAUGCCUAAUGCUAACUUUCCCCUUUAUUUGAAUGAAUCCAAAUUUUAGCUACUUUUUCAUACACAAAAUUUCCUUUUCUCUUUUAUAUAUUCUUCAAUUGAUUAAUAAAACUAAGAACACGUGAUAUGUGCUUGCAGCUACUACUCUUACCAAGCUUUUAUUGAUUAUGGAUUUCCAGAUAUUUUCAUCUCUCGUGAGGUAACAGGAACUCUCUUUGUGUGUACCUGCAUGUGUAUUUGAUGGUCCUGAAUAUUGUUAGAAUCUUUUUUCUUGUAAAUAUGUAUGUAUAAAAAUGUCCAUAUCAAUGAACAGACUGUUGGUAGUUAUAGUUGGAAAUCAGAUGCAGUUCUUUGCAGUUUACCCAGUGAUCGAUCGUCUGUACUUAGGCUGUGAAUUUUUCGAAUAUAUUCUGAAUAUGAUAGUUAAAGUGAUUUGUGGUGUUCACCAAUGAUUAUGAGUCUGGGUGAUUGAGUUUAUAAGAAAAAUGCAGACAUUUGGGUGGACUCCAGCAGAAGCCAAUAUGCACAUGGUUGAUGAUUACUUUACUCAAGCUGAGGUAUGAUCGUGAUGACUAUUAGUAUUUCUUCAACAUGAGUUUUUAGUUGCUCUGACAAUGUUGUGCACUUGUUGAAAUUGCAGUGGAAUUUAAUUGUUGAGACCCUAGGGCCAAGUUCGCGGCACCUUUUUGAGGUUUAUGCACUCAAGCUUAGUAACUAUUACAAUAAGUAAGUAGCAAUAGUAAUGCAUGUAAUAUUGCAUGUUUCAUGAUAUGAAAUCGGUGAUAUUGGAUUCAUGGAUUUUGUGGAGCGUUUUCUAUUUAAUUGUUUACUUAUUGUUUGUCAAUAUUCUACUUUUAUUUGUAUUAAUCAUUUGGUACUCUGUAGAUAUGUUAACAACACGGUAGUUCAUAAGAAAUAAAUCCCUCAAUCUAAAUGAGAUCUUGAUGUACAUCAAUAAGCUAUCACCUAUCUAACUGAAACAGCUAUAUUGUAGGACAAAGUGUUAAUUUUUUUCUCACAUUAAUUCUAAACACUAUUCCUUGUGGGAUGAUUAUGUUUCUUUCAGUCACAAUGACUUCAAAACUGUUCCUAUUUUAGUAGAUCUAAAAACUCAUGUAGAACUUGCAAUAGUAUUAUGUACUUAAUUUAGUUUGAUAUGUCUGACUUGAGCAUAUCUCUUUUUUACCCGGUCACCUUUCCAUGGCAAUAUAGCAUGUGUCAGACAGAAAAACAAAUUAUGGCAUUUAAUUAUUUAGUAUCAAAUGAAAGUUCUUUUCCCUGGUUGAUGCAUGAGAGGCUGAAAGUAGACAUUGGAGCUCCAUAUGAGUAUGUUAGAAAUGUUCACAUUUUGAUGUUUACCAUAAACUUUGUUGGUUAUCCAGUAAAAAGCCUCUCCCAGUGUAUCUUCCCCCCCCCCCCCCAGGCUCUCUCUCCCCCUGUUUAACAAGAGUAUAGUUGUUUUAUUUUUUUGUUAAUUUUUCUGCUCAUUUUCCUACUGUAGGGUCACGGAUGAGAAAGGUAGCACCUUUGAAGACAUUGUGGAUGCAUACUUGGCAUAUCUGCAAGUAAGUUCCUUGAUUAGCUACUGCUUUGUAUGGUAUUUGAAGUUCUGCUACAUAAAGCUGCUAGCAAUUUGGAGCCAAGUUGCUUUGAUGAUUUUUCUGUACGUGUUUUGGAAAUAAAACUAAUUCCAAACAUUGAUAGCCUUAUGCGCCUAAGUACACUUAAUUUGAGUUGCUCAACAUUGUUCUUUGUCCGUGCUUUUGCAUUACCUCAUUUCCUUUAGGAGUUAAGAGUAGACUGCUAGAGAAAUGAACUUCUGACAAAAUCUUAAAAGGAAAAGUCUUCUAUGGAAAUUAUGUUAGGCAUAAGAAAAUUGAUCACUAUAUAUGUGGGUGGUUCCUCCUUAUUGGUUAAUCAUGCUUGUUUAAACAAAUGUGGUCAUAGGAGAAGCAAAUUGUUUUGAUACAAUGCAAGAUUCUGAGAGACUAAGGAUAUCUUUUGAGUUGCCAACAGACAUAGUGUAGUUUUGCUAUGUAAGGACAUUUCUUUUCUUGUUUGAUUUUUGGGGAUGAUCUAGUCUACAUAAAUGUUUCUCCUCUUUCGUCCUUCUCUCCUCUCUGUUCCUUCCUGUAACACAACAUCACAUGCUGGAUAAAGAUUGAAAAUUUGAUCUAUUAUCAAAUAUUUUUUUAUAUGAAAAAUAACAGGUGGCAAGCACAAAUUCCUGCGUCUAUGAGAUGAAAUCAAAGAAGAGGAAAAUGUAUUUGAUUCUCAAAACCAGAAUUUUUGUGGAAAGAAUUAGCACUUUUAGUUAUAACCAUUAUCUUGUCAAGUUCCUUAGUCCUCAAUGAUAGUUUAGUGAGUUCCAUGCCUUUAUUACCUUCCAAUUUAGUAGAAUGAUUUCCUGCAUUGGAUUCACCCAAGUAAUGUGACGGUGUAAUGUAAGCAUCAAACUUUUCAAAAUGGGUUUGCACAUUUAAACUUCUAGGGGACAACUUGAAUCCUAUACACUCCUAAUAAGAGGUUUUAGUCUAAUCUCUUUAACCCUAGGAAGGGGACCUUAGCUAAAACUAAUGCCCAAGCCCGAAGUAGUAAUUCAAAUUUGCUACUGCAAGAUAAUUAUGACUGUCCUAGUCAAAUAUACUUUAACUAAAGCUAUUUCUGUUGAGUAGUCAAUCCAAUAUGAUUCAGGAACAAGAGGUAACAUGAACAAGUGGCCUGUACCUCUCCACCUUAUAAGGCCAAUUUGGCUGUAAGAACAUCAGAUUUUCGGACUGGUCAGAACCAUUGCUUCUAAGGAGUGAUUUUUGAGUUUACUGUGUGUGGUCUUUAUGUUAUCAUUUUAUUCCUGUACUUGCAACACUCAAUAUUCAAAUUUCAGCCUUACAUCCUAAAGUUAAACUGAAGAAUUGCUCCAUAUAUCAGCAUGGUCUUGCUUAACAAAAUGAAGUUAAAUUGCUGUCCUAUUGAAUCCAAAUUAACAGAGAAUUAAUUGAAGUGUGUUACAUUUGAUGUUUGUGCCGUAUGGCAUCAAGAUAAUGUGAUAAUAAAGUUUUAAUCUUUUGUGCUGAUAUUAAUCGCUUCACAACUGUCACUUAUUUGCAAUCAGAACCCAUGGCAUUAGCUCUGUCAUGUCUUUACAGCUCAGCUACAUUAUUUUUGUGGUGGUACAAAUUAUUCUUUAAGUUAAUAAUCCAAUUCAACAUGAACCUGCCAUAUCAGCUUUUACUUUGAAUUUCUGUAUUUCAUUUGCAUUACAUCUGAGGGGACUAUGCAGUUUGAUGGUGUUGUUGAGUCUUGACUCGUGACCAAAUGAACACGGUGAAGUGACAAAAAGAAAGAUAUCUCUAUAUAGACUUGAAAAAUCUUCCUCUAAUGAAUUUGACUACCAUUGGCUUUACAUGAACAAGCAAAAAAGAAAGAAUCUAAACAAUAAGCAUAAAAAUUUUCAAGCCCUAGACAAGGAAUUGCUUUUUCUGGAUAUUCUCGAAGCAAGAACUAGAUUUUGUGAUGAUGAUACUAAAAAUGAAUAUUUUCCUAAUAUGUGUGAUCCUUUCUUAAAAGGUGCAUACUGCAGAAGAAUAAAAAAAAAAAUACGUUCAACUGCUAUAACUGUGAUAGACAAUUUAAGAGAGACAAUUUGGUAUAAACCAAACUCAUAAUGAAAGUAACUCUCUCUUCUAAAACUAGGCGAAGAGUACCUGUGAUACGCAUGUUCGAGAACUUAUCACCUGUUUGAACUUCAGUAAUGUUGAUUAAGUACAUAGAGCUAUCUAUAAUAAGGGCAAACCAUUUAUAUAAUUGGAAGUUCAAAAGACACAAAUUCUCUUCUUAUAUUAGAAACUUGUGUUAGUGCACAUCUUGCUAGCUUUCUAUGUAUAGGUGCUUUGAUAAUAUAUGUUCAACACAGCAACCUGCCUUAUUAUAAGGGAGAAGCCUGUCACAAGUAGAACUUACCUGAAGAACCACUAAUGAAGCAAAACCUCAGAUCAGAAAAGUAAUUAGACAACAAAAAGUAGUAUGUAAGAUACAUCUUCAGGAGAUAUUUUUGGUUAAAUUGCCAAUUAUAAGUUUUGUAUCCUUUCGACUUUCAAACACCUUCAACUUGUCAUUUGCAUAGUGGACAUCCUGAAUGCAGUCACUUGUGCAAAAUGAAACAUUCUGUGCUCAAAUUUUUAGCAAAACAGAGAUCAUGCUAGGAGGACCAAGAAAUCAUAGUCCUCAAAUCAAUAGCAAUGUAAUGAAAGUGCACAAGUUUUGCAAUUUUUAUUUUCUGGUGCUAAUUAGACCACCUCAUGAAGCAAUGAAAUAAUAUUUCCUCCACAAGCACUAGAAACCAGAAAAUCCUUGAUGUAAAUAAAGUUGACGUUAGUACACAUAUUUGUGCUGUAGAUAACUUUUGAUCUAAACUGUUCAUUACAUUCUUUCUUCUCCUUUAGUUAACUGUAGUUGAUCCUGCGAUGGAAAAAGCACUUCUUCACUUGCAAAAGUUUGCAUUGGAUGCACAAAGUGGAAAGGUUUCAAAAGACAGAUUGCGGUUUGGUGCUCCCUGGAGACAUCCUCCACAUACAGACGAUCCUUCCAUAUGCCACCAGUGGGCUAAGAUUCAACUGCUGGACUUUGUUCAAUCUCUAGUCAACACAGAAUUUGGGGUACUCCUUUCAUAUUUCUCUUAACAACUUACAAUUUUUUUUAACUGCCAGUUAUUAUGAUAUUGUUCUCAUGAUUCUUUUUUUUACUAAGUUUCUUGUCCCUUUUUCCAUUUAACUAGUCAAGUUGAAAAACAAGAAUGAGUGAAUUUUUGCCAUGAGGUUCUACAACUUGUAUUCUCCACUUGACGGAUUCCUUGAUUCAAUAAUCAAAAGUAUAGAUACUUAAAGUGUAAGGAAUUAUAUUUUCUUUAUUCAAGUUGCAUUAAGUUCAGAAACAAGCCAAUUUUCACUUGUCUAAGCAGAUUUUUCUUGAAUGCGUGAUGGCAUGGUUUUUAUUCUGAUAUGAUGGUGAAUUAUGAAUGCUGUUUCUAGCAGGGCAUUGCUUUUGUUCAGAGAGUAAUGUAUUGAAUCAGAUAAAUGCAUCAGUUCUGUAAAGCAUUUCCAAAUGCAAUAAUAGAGAUCAGAGUAUGUUUUGACUAAUUGUUUUAUGAAAUGAUAAAAGAGUAAAUAAACAAACUUUGUGGCCUUCAGUUAACCUAUCAGGUACCAGUUACUAAAUGUCUGUUUACCUUUUAUAUCCACAUGUCCAGGUAAUGUGUCUGAAGUGACAUAAAUGUAGGAUGAAUUUAUGUUCUUUAGGAGCAUGAGUGUUACCUCGAAAGAGCAAUGAGAAUUUUCUUGAGUAGAAGAUGUAAAAAAUCUGAAAGAGAUGUAAAAGAUGAGAUCAGUUUUGUAGGUGUACUGCUAGGAUAAAAAGCUGAAAUCAAGGGUGAGACGAAGAAUAAGCAUUUUAUCUCUAGAAUACUUAGAAGAGAGUAAAAUAUGUAAAGUCACCCUGGGCGCCUCCCGGGAACUUGGUCAUCAUUUGACUCCAUGUGUCAUUCAUUCUCACUAAAUUUCUACCUGUAGUAGUUGACUUCCUUAGCCCCUAUAAGUGUACUCUAUUACAACUUUGUAGUGGAAGAUUGUAUGCAGCCAUAUGUUGUCUUUACUGUUAAGUAAACAAAUGUUAUCUUCCAAUUUGGCUAUUUGUUGACGUUCCAAAAAAGAUAAAUUUUUUGGACAAUUGUGUAAUUGCAUGUGUUUGUAAUUCAGAGUCAAAAAGUCAAACCCGAGAGUUACAUGGCAUGACUAAAGAAUAUAGUUGAACCUUCUCACUAAAUGGCAUGACUAAAGAACAUAGUUGAACCUUCUCACUGAAUGCAUUUAGUUUUCUGACUCUGGUCUCUGGCUAACUAUAAGAUUUUUGGACUUGUACAUAGCCAUUGAUCCCUGGAUAAAGCCCAACUAGGAUUCUCCCAAAGGUCUUUAUUCAGUUGCAUCAGAAAUUGAUGCAGAAGGUCCACCUUAUAUGCUGAAGUAAGCAUAUACAGACUUCUACCCUUUGAGCUUCUUAACUAGUAUCCAUUGAUGCAUCACUGGUACCGAAAUUCAGCAAGAGAAACCUUGAAUUCACCAAUUUUGUUGCAUGAAUUGGUACUAGUAAAAAAUCUGGAUCAGUAUGAGUAACCUGGUAUGUUCCCAGUUUGCUAUGACAAAUGUUGUCUUCCAGUCUCAACAACAUUGCCUUCCAAUUUUGCUAUGUGUUUUCCUCCCCUUAAUAAAUGUUUUGUUGGUCCUGAAAUUUGUAAGCAUUUGACUGAAGACGUUUGAUGUGACAUUUCCUUCAUUAAAUGUUUACCAUGUACAUAUGCCAGUGGAUUUCUUCCAAAAGCACACAUUCAUAGUGUGAAAUUCAUCGAAGACCAUUGCCCUAGCUCAGAAGUUUUCUGUCUCAUCUUUAGACUUUCCAACACUUUUGCUUUGCUGCCAUGUACUGCAGGUUAACUAUCUAGCUGACUGUAGUCUGGAGAUCUUGGAUGAUCCUUCAGCUGUUGCCUUGCUAGAGGUACUUAUUUGAUGUUCAAUCUUUUUUUUUUUUUGGGUAAUGUUCAUUUCUUCAUAAAUUUCUUCUUUGUGAAGAACGUGGGAUUGCUUAUUGGUAUGUUCAUUUUUUCAUUACCAAAGAGCAUUUGCCAUGUUAUCUUCCCUAUUGAUUUGUUCACCUAUCUUGCUUCCAUUCAACUAUUUAUCUAGGCCUCUUCAAUUCAGAAUUCAUUAGGCAUUUAUUAAUAUUUGGAAAUUAAUUGGUAGUUGUGCUAUUAUAAUUUUAUCUAUUGCAAUAUAACCCUCAAUUUAUAUUCUCUCAUUGUUUGACGGUAUAUCUCAAAUUUGAAGCUGAUUAAAUUGAUUAGUCAAAGGAUUUAGGCAGCUACAAAAAUAUGGUCUCGUCUCUUUCUCUCUCUCUCUCAGUUUACAGGUUUAUUUUCUUUCCUAGGUUGGUUUGCUUUAUGCCCAACGUGACCCUUCAUUCAUUCGCCCCAUAACACGUGGUAUCCAGAGAUGCCUUGUGAGAUGGUAAGAGGUGGUUGUGUCUCUUGCAACAACUUUUGAAGCAGCAAGAAAGCAUUUCAUACCUUACUAGUAAUUUGCAGGCUUGUUCAGCAGCGGCUACAAAUGAAUUUUAAGGAAUCUGUUGAGUACCUUUGGCAAAGAAGUGUAAGGGGGCGCAGUUAUCGCCAUUUGAUGUUGCAAAUACGGUAAAACAUGGAUAUGACAGGUACUUGUUAUCUUCUGUUAAUAAAGGUAUACUUUGUACAUUUCUAUGCGCUUUGACCUAUGUUUAUGAAUUGCAUAGGCCUGAUUAUGUGGUUAACCAUAGAUUUAUAGUCGUCAUUCUUAGUGGCCAAAGCUAGCACUUCUCUAUUUCUUGGUGAGGCAAAAAGCAAAAAUAAUAACUCAAGACAAUUUGUCAAGUCCCAGGUUAGUCCCUGAAGUUUCUUUUUUAAACUUCCCAGGCCCUGUUCAGCUAUGUUAACACAGACUGUUCUCCCAAUCCCAGAGCACCUGUUUCAACAUGACACAACUCAGGUGCCGGAUAAAUGUCUGAAACGGUCAGACUCCAUUGGGUGCAUUAAUAAUGUUUGAGGCUUAUGGCUGCAUCAACUGCUAUUCACCACUGUUGUUGACGUUGGAGGGGAAGAAUUAAUCUACAGUUUGUUGAGAUUGGAAGAGGAUGGAGGACCGAUUGGAACUAAAAGUGAUGUGCCAGCAUGGAUUCUACUAUUAAAUCUGUCUACUGAUGGGAAUAUGGCAUCUGUGGUGAUGAAAUUGAUUGCACGAUGCCUCACUAGGGGAUUUUGGAGGGUUCAAUUCAUGUAAUCAAUGAGAUCAUCAAUGAGACAUGAUGGGAUGCUACACGGAAAGAGGGGAAGAUGAAGAUUUUAUUUUAUUUUAUUUUUUGUUUUGGGGGGGGGGGGGGGGAAGAUGCAGAGGAUAAUUUCAAAUUGAGGAAGAAUAUUAAUAGCUCAACCUCAGAGUAGCAGUUGGACUUGAUGUACUAGAUGGAGCAAUCCAUGGAGAAGAGUACAAGGUUUUGCAGAGUAGCCUGCUGGUGAAUCAUUGGAUACGCUAAAUACAUACAUUUUUCUUUCUAGUUGCCAUUGGAUUAUUAUCAGAAUCCUUGUCAAUUCUAGGUUACUAGCGGAAUUCCCAUCUCAUCCUGUAGAAGAAUUUAUCCAAUGGCAUAUGAGAAAGAUCUUCCAGGUAUAGCUGCCUCUUGCAGGUGCAAGUGAAUAUUUGUAGAAAUACAGAUAUGAGGCCGAAAAGGCAAAUGAUUGUAGAAAUUGCAGAGGGCUUUCCAAGUGGGCAUCAUGUUACUGUACUUGAAGACCGGCAAGAAAUAUCGCCAAUCACAUUAACGGCACUGGACCACGAACAAUUCAACAAUAAGAACCAAAUAAUCUAACAAUCAUAGGCAUGGUCUAAGAUUUUGACGGAUGAGGUUCCCCUCGAAAUAGACAAAAACUAGUAAACUACCAUACAAUGCUUUGAAUGGUGUUACCAAAUAAAAUCCCCAUCAUGCGGACGGACGAUUGAGCCUUGAAAAAAGGCGGAAAAUGAAAGCAUGAAAUUUAGAGAGAAGUUAAUUUUGACCAGUAACUAUGCUAAAGUAAAGAAAACUGUCAAAAAAUUAGGGAUUAAUAACAAUUUAUCUUCAUGCCGUGUACCUCAGUUCUCAAUUUAUGUUGUAGUAAAGCAAAAUGUAAAAAAUUUAGAGAUUAAUUACAACUUAUCUUGACGGCCUGCCACUAUAUAUGAGUUGUUGGUCAUUUGAGUUGUUGGCCAUCAUCAUAGUCCAUAAGAUUUGGUGGAAUUGGAGGUCAAGGAUUCAGCCGUCUGGACCUAUCACCAUUUGCCACUAUAUGUGGCCUGUCACUUUAAAUGUCUUUCCAAACGGGUGUAUAGUGCACUGUUUGGGCGGGUAGGUGAUUCAAUCCCCUCCGAUUUCUUCUUGGACCUAUUCAAGCCUCCCCCCUUCCCUAGUAUAGAUAAGUUUAGGUUUAUCGUGUCGAAAAAAAUUACAAUUUAUCCUCUUGGCAUAUACCUCAUUUCUCAAUUUAUGUUGCUAUUUUUUUUCUUCUCUCUUUUCUCUUUUUAAAUUAGCUUUUUUGGAAAUUCUUAUUUUUGAGAAAAUUAGUUUUCUUUUCUGAAGUUUGUGUUUGCCCAAAAAAAAAAUCAAAUAUUAAUUGAAUUAUCUUCUUUUACUUUUCUACAUAUAGUGAUUCUAAAUUAAUUUGUAUCUCUUCUAUUUGUAAUAAUCCAUCCUAAAUAAGUUUUAGAAUUUCCAUUUUCUAACUGUGUGUGUGUGUAUUCUUUAUAUUUAGUUCUUUAUAAUUAGUAAAUUAGAAGCAAUUAUAUUCUAAUUAAUUUCAUCCAUUUUUCAAUCUAAAAAAUCAAUGGGAAAAUUAAUUCUAUAUGUUUAUAAUAAGACAAUAAAAUAAAUGACUAUUUUUUACAAUCACAUUCGCAUGCCAAUUAUUUGGACUUCUUUUUGUUAUUUUUUUUAAUGACAAGCCCUGUACGCGCGACGCCAGGGGGAGGAGGAGGAGGACGCGACCCCAAACUUUUAUUUAGAACAAAAAGCAAGCUACAACUGAUUUCCUACAUCCUACGUCCUUAGCCAGUGAAAAAAAUCAUUUACGCGAAGGACAUGAUAUAUGUUCAUCGUGUUUGGAUUGACGGCGAAUCUAUAUAAUGGUAUCAGUGUCCGGGAAGCCAUCAGUCGUCGCAUACAAAUUGUAGUGUGAUUUGUUAGCUACAACUAUACGUAACGUUUGAACAAAGUUUGAGCGAUAAAGAGAAGUAAAGGAAGCAGCGAAAGUUUGCAAUGUCAUUCAUUUGCGUUUAAGCAAUGUGUUAUCCUUCAAUUUUGUCAAAUUACCUCUAUAUAUAAAGUUUGAGUAACAUUGUUUGUGAUAAGUCAAUACAUUUAUUGGAUUAAUUAAUCAAAUAAUUGUAGCUGAACGGUGUGGUUUUUACCCUUUGCUCCAAAAGGUAAAAGUCCUUUAUUAUCUUUAAAUGUUACAAUUAAUUUGAACCCACAUAACUGUUUGAAUACUAGAAAUGUUUUAAAAAAAAAAAAAGGGAAAAUCGCCAAAACAAUCCCUCAUGUUUGAGUUUUGUACUUUUUUAGUCUCUUACUUUUAAAAUGAUAUAUUUUGUGUCCUUAUAUUUUAAAUUUUGUAACUUUUUAGUAACUUACUUUUAAAAUGAUCAGUUUGGAGCACAUAUAAAAAUACACCAUUUUAUCCCAAAAGGCUGUUUUUAUCUCAUUUUCACCUAAAAUAACUAAAAAAAUAUGUGGAGAGACUAUUUUUGUGGUUUUCCCAAAAAACAAUUUUUUAGAUAUACUACAUAUGAGAUUUGAAAUAGUUGAAAAAUGUACAAAAUUAGCAUGAUUAGAGGUUAUUUCAAAAAAAAAAAGUUCAAAAAUAUGCUUGUACGAGGCAGAAUAUUUUAUCAGAUAAGUCACAUGGUAAAGGAGGGGAAAUAAUAUUUGUACGAACAUCUAGUAACCAUUGCAUACUUUAUUUUUCAAACACAGUUUGAUUCAUGGGAUGACACGGAUGUGAUUACUAAUUCCAUGUCAUUGUAUGUUUGAUUGCUUUUUAAUGCAUGGGAUUGUACUUCCUACCUAGCCAAAUUACCCUCUCAUAUGGGGGAUAAAAUAAUCUUUUGAAGAAAGUGGCAUGAGCCAUCUAGGGAUGAAUGGGAGUGAAAUAACUAUAUUUAGACUUAUUUACCCCUACUAAAAUAAUAAUGCAAUAUUGUACCAAUUAUAUAACCUUACUCUCUCACUAUAAUAUUGGAUUAAUUUGUCCUUAUUAAUAACAAAACAAAAUUUUAGACUAUUUGGCUACUACUAAUAACAUAACUAAGUUUUGGACUAAUUUGCCAAUAUUAAUAACGUAACUAAAGUCCGUACUAAUUUGCCCCUGUUAAUAACAUAACUAGAUCUUUUAUUAAUAUGCUCCUGUUCAUAAUAUGGCUGCGUAUUGGACUAAUUUGCCACUAUUAAAAGAAAAAUUAAAAUUUGAAUUAAUUGGGCCAUAGUAGUUAGUUAUGUGACACUUCAUAAAAAAGUUGGGUAUAUUAGACUACACCUGUAUAUAUACGCACACACUCUCAAGUCCAGUGUUAUUUGAGCUCGGCUCAUUAAAUCACAAAUUUUGGGCCGGGCUUUAUGUGCUAUUUGAAUGGGCAAAACUUGGGCUUAAAUGUGGACUUGAAUAAAUUAUGAGUUUUAGUUUGAGUUUUCUUUGGCUUGGUCUUGUCAAAACAGGGAUUGAUUUAUUUAUUCAUAUAAAUGUGUAAGUUAUGUAUGUGUAUAGCUUAAUCAAUACCUAUACGCUAUAACAACGUAUAAUUUAUAGCUAACUAUUAAAUACAUUUUUAGUUAUUAAUUGUGAGCUCGGUCCAAACCCAUGCUAGAUUUGGAAUCCUAAUUAAUAUAUUUUUGCAACCCAUGCAUGAGUCUCAUAGUUGUUAGCCCAUGUCCAAAACCGAGAGCUCCUAUCUUUUUAUGAGUCAAGUUUAGGUCUAUUUAUAGGUCUCAUAAAGAGGAUAUUUUUAUCUAUGAAUUAGUUAGAGAAAAUAGUUCAAAACGUCUCUUACAUUUUACAAGAUGACUUUUUUCGUCCCUUACUUUUAAAAGUAUAAUUUUACGUCCCUUACAAAUUCACAUUGACCAAAUUUAGUCUCUACCUAGGUUUUUCGACUAGUUUUUGGCCGAAAUCCACCACGUGAGUUGCAUGUGAUCAUUUUUUAAGGGCAAAAUUAUCAAAUCAAAUUUUUACAUAAUUUGAUUCAUAGUCCCUCAUAUUUCACAAAAUAAAAUUUUUGUCCCUAACAUUUUACAAAAUGAAUUGUUUCGUCCCUCACAUUUAUCAAAAUGAAUUUUUUGUCCUUAAAAUAUGAUCACGUGCAAAGCACGUGGUGAAUUCCGACAAAAAACUAGUCGAAAACCUAAGUAGGGACCAAAUUUGAUUAAUGCGAAUUUGUAAAGGACGUAAAAUUACAUUUUUAAAAGUAAGGGACGAAAAAAGUUAUUUUGCAAAAUGUGAGGGACGUUUUGAACGAUUUUUCCAAUUGGUAAUUCCACCUCAUUUGAUCUUCAAUCAAACAUAGCAUUUUUUGUGAUGUGAUGUAUGUGAGAUAAAAAGAUAAUUGGAAAAAUAAAAAGGUGUGUUGAAAAUUGUAAUGAUGAUAUAAACAAAUAAAUUUUGACAAAUAAUCCUCUAUCCAAACAAAUAAUCUCAUUUGAUUUCCAACAAAACAUAGGACCUCACUUUUUCUUAAGACAACUGAUUUAAUCCAAAACUAACUAAACACUAGAUAACAACGAGAUUACUAAUUCUAGAAUUACUCAAACUAGAAUGAGUUGUUCAAAGAUGAUUAAUUCUGUCUCAUCCAAUCAGUGAAACAAACACACUCCUUGGACUUUAAGUCACCAACCAAUUGGGCUUUUUUUCAAAAAAAAAAAAAAAAAAAAUCGGAGCUAAUAACAUAUUUUUUGCCAGUGCAUAAGAGUACAAGACAGAUUUUUCCACUAGCAUGCUGAUGAAAUGUAAUCUUUUACUUUGCAAUGGAUUUUCUUGAAAACGUGUUUGAGGAAGACGAAAUUCAAAUCAUCAGUACAAAGAGUCCAACAAGAUCACGCGUACUCAAUCAUUGAGCGUUGCAUACCCUAUCUCAUGAUUCAUGAGUCAUAAGCCAGUUCAUACCAACAAAAUAAACUGAAGCUUAUGCAAUCAAAGCUUUUGGUUUGAAGGGAAAAUAUUACAAAUUUGAAAGUUAAUGCUUGAUUGGUGGCUGCUGCUGCUUUAUUCAUUUUCAAAUACCUUAAAUCAUUUUCCAUUUUUCCUUUUUUUUUUUUAUAAACAAAUAAAUUUAGUAAGUGCAUGAAGAGAGAAGGUAUAAUCCACUAAGCCCACAAUAUAUUCUAAAUACACCCUUGGCUUUUCUUUAUUCUGUUUGCAAUAUACUCCUAGAUGUUCUUUCCUCUGCUUGAUUUCCCAUAAAAAAGAAAGUACACCAAGUCAGCCCAAAAAGAAAUUAUACUCCGGAUUAAUAGAUUAGAUUUUAAAAAUAUUUGUCGGCUAUAUGGUCACCAGUUAUUACGUAAAGUACACAAAGUCAACCCAAAACUUGAGACAUGGUCACGAGAGAAAAUAAUUUUUUAAACGUUUUUUUAGGUAAAAACCCCCGAAAACGUUAUUGAUGAUUUUAAUGUUUACAUCAUUUCUUGCUGCAGAAAAAAAAAAAACUGAUACGAUAAACUUUUCUAUAAUGAACAAUUUUUAUUAGAGUAUCACAUAUUCUAACAGUUCCUUUAUUUGAAUGUGUGUCAAAAAAGUUCAUAUGCACUGAAUCAGCCUAAAUCUUGACACCUUUUGGCUUUUUAUGUCAGCUGUAGCAAACAAACAAUCAAAAGCAAUAAAAAAUGGAUCCCAGCCAAUUAUUGAGACUUUUAUUUCUUGAAAAGGAGCCAACAUGACAACUUUGAUUCCCAUUCUUCAACGACCUUCGCUCUCUUUUCUUCUUCUCUUGAGGAAUUCAAUUUCUCCCUUUAAAUAGUACAAACAUCAUAGGCAGUCUCUCUUCCUCCUCCGCCUUCUUCCAUUCUAUUUCCCUUGUUUGAAACCAUUUUCCAUAGUCUCAUAUUGCCUAUAUGCAGCAAACGUAAUCAUCCACUCUAGAUCAGAAGGAUUCAUCUCCUCUCAAGAAACACAAGGAGGAUUUUUCAAUCAUCAACACGAAAUCUGCACCAAGGUAUUAAUAUAUUCAAUUUGUUGAUCUCUUAACGAUAAUGUCUUCGCGUUAAAUACAAUCAUAAGUUGGUGCCUUUCUGUCUUCUCUAUUUUCACCCUACAUUUGAAUUCUCUCAUUAAUUUCAAUUUUAAUUCUCUCAAACAUUCCCAGUUUUUUGUCGUCUCCAAAAUACAUAGUGCCAAUGUGAAAUCAAACUCUUCAACUAGGAAUAGGGAAAAAGUGCAAAAUCAUCUCAAAGACACAAAAGUAGGACGAAUGGACGGUCAAUAUAGGCCCAACAGACUGUGGAAGACUAUGAUGCAAAGGCUAAGAAUCAAAAUGAUGGCCUGUUGUGGAUCCUCAAUCAAUCUAAGGGUCUCUGACAGUACAGUUUGUGAAGAAGAAGCAGCCCAGGCCCAUGAGUCACACGAAACGGAGGAGGAGCUACAGCCCAUGAUGGCUACUGUGGGCCAUAACAUACAGGCCAGGGGUAUAAGUUUGGCCACUUUAUUAGCUGCCGAGCGUCAAUUGCGUAAAGUGGGUCCCAGAAAACAUAAGAAGCCGUUGAUGCGAUUAUUCGAAGAAGUUGACGGCGUGGAUUCAAAGAAGGGCAAGUGGUAUAGAGGAGGGAAUGAUAACUUGUGUUGCGUGUGCAUGGUGAGGAAUAGAGGUGCAGCUUUUAUUCCCUGCGGGCACACCUACUGUAGAGAGUGCUCGAGAGCGCUGUGGCUCAAACGUGUGCCGUGUCCACUUUGCAACCAUCCGAUCAAUCAAAUCCUUGAUAUCUUCUAAAUCAUUCUCUUUUUUUUUUUUUUAGUUAUUUUUUUAUAAUAUAAGCAGUAGGUUUUGACUUUGGAAUUUCUUACUUAAAUUCUCUCUACCGUAUCGUUUAACCUAUCCUUCCCCUUCUAAAUCAAACUCUUAACUGUUAUUUAGUCAUGGGUGGCUUUUUUUUUUUUAUAAGUUGGAAGAGUGAUACUUUCUAUCUUUUUUUUUUUUUUUCUAUCUUGUAUUACCUUAGGCCUUUUCCUUGCUUUUCCUUUUUUUUUUUUUCCUUUUGGAAACAGUUUCUUGCGAGUCAUGUAGACGGACGGUGUAUUGAAGACCUUGGCAAUUAAAAAAAAAAAAAACACCAGUAAAUAAGUUGCAAAAAUCUGCCAAUGGAUAAUGGUUCGUGUUUCUAGUAGCCACUAAGCAUACGUUACAUGCAAUAGGACGUAGGUUUUUUUUUUUUUUUUUUCUCUUUUUGGCAGGCACAACAGUACCUAGGUCACUUGUGGAAAAAUGUAUAAAAGAUCAUUACUCCAUGAGCUCUCUAUAAUUAUCAUAAUUUUCUAGUUCACACCUUCAGUCAGUUAGUAGUUAAUACAGUAUAACUCAAAUCAGGUUCGUGGACAUGUAAAUUUUCAUAGAUCCAUCUUUGAAAGAACCAAACGUGAUAAUGUUCAUCAUCAAACGUGAGCAAGAAUCAAGAGAAUAAAAAGAAUCCAGAUAAGAGCUCAGCACACACACACACGCAUGUGUGUGUAAACUCUUAUUGUAAUUAAUUAUUUUCUCUGUUGGAGCGGCAUGCUUAAUUGAACAGAAUUAAUGGGUCGAUAGGUACUUGAGUUUUAACCCUUUUUGCAUCUAACUAUCUUCCAAUCCAUUUUACUUAUAAUUUCUUUAUCUCUUUUAACAAUUUCUAUAUCAUUUAAUAAAUUUAAAUUAUUAUUUUGUAUCAUAUAUGGUACCUUUGUUUAGUGCAAAUUUAAUUAUUGCAUUGGUGAAUUUGUUAACUUUGAUAGAAAUAAUUAAUGAUUCAUGUAGAAAUAGAUUGGUAUAUUUUUGUUUUGUCUUGAAUUGAACUGAAUAUAAUUACGUGUAUAACCAUUUGAGAAAGUUUAAUUACAUGAAGACUAAAAUGGCAGUUAUAUGUUUGAAAUAUAAUAAAUUUCUGAUGUAAACUGGAAUAAUGAAUAAAAACAUUACUCGUGAUUCAUAAGUAAUCAUAAUAAAAAUAAUUCCGUGCUAAUAUACGGACUAAAUACUAGUAUAUGAUAAUACAAUUUAUGUGGCACAAAUCUGCUGUAGUGAAGGUAUUUGCAUUACAUUUUUUUACGGUAAUAAAGAGCUCUUUAUUUUUGUUUCUUUCAGUUUUGCUUAAACAAGAUUCUAGAGUAACAGAAUACAAAGCAAGGUACAAGUUUUGGAAGCCUUGAUAUCAACUUUGGAUAGAUUAAUGAACGAAUUUGGGUGUAAGAAACAAGUUUCAUCAAGUUAUUUGAACCUAUUGGAGGUUUUCUAACUGAAAAAAAAAAACACUCUUGUUGAUAAAAUGGUUGGUUAUAACACCAUCAUCUAAUUAACAAGAAAGUAAGAAUGACUUAUACUAAUAUGAGAUGUCUAUUCGGUCCUACAUCACAUAUUUGCACCAGAAAAUUUGCUUAUUUUUUUCCCUUAAGAAAAGAAUGUGUGAUAUUUUUGCUGUCUAAAAUUGUUCAUGUAGGAUUAGCCACCUGUGUUAUCUAACCAAAAGAGAAUUGAUUAGCACAAAAACUUUUGACAAGGACGACUUUCACCUUUGCUAUAACUUCCACUUCAAUGCGGAAGACAUAUUAAGAUCUUUAACUAAUUUUUUCUCUCUUUAAGAACCCAAAAUUCAUCCGUUACAUUGGUGAUAGUGCAGAUCUUGCAGCUAAGUCUACUAAACCAACUACUUUGAUGUCCCAUCAACAUAAGCAAUAAGACUUGGGACCUCCAAAAAAAAAAAAAAA